RNAcentral lists this long non-coding RNA (89780 nucleotides) under Gossypium barbadense (sea-island cotton). Its description in RNAcentral is "long non-coding RNA (GBAR_LNC019257)". The record is from RNAcentral. Lineage: Eukaryota; Viridiplantae; Streptophyta; Magnoliopsida; Malvales; Malvaceae.
GCUUCUCAGCUACCUUCAGAUGGUAUCCCAGAGAGAUUCACGAAGGUUAGUCGUCUCAAAAACCCUUGAUAUAAUGCUUUAUUUCUUGGGAGUAGAACCUAUUCUAAUAAAAGAUAAUUCCAGUAAACCUACCUGCUUAAGCAAUAUGAAGUGCAGAUUUGAGAUUGAGAUAAAUGAGCAAGUUAUAGAAUAAAGAUAAUAUUAAGUCAACAGUUUAUAAGGUUAGAAAGAGAGAACAUCUCACAUCCAUCAUCUCUUUAUAUGUGGUUAAAUAAAGGAUCGGGAUUGGAAGUUGGAUAAGAAAUCAUCAGCCAUAAUCAACCCCAAUAGCAAUAGUGAUAGCAAUGAAGGGAACUUCAAUGGGUCAGAAAUGAAUGAUGAAGAAGCGCCUCUAGUUUCAUCAAGGCUAUCACAUUUUGGACGUUCAUUCAGCAACCAUACCAAAUGAGUGACGAGAUGAAGGCUCUAGUCUAGUGCACCACCAAUGAAUGUGGAGAGCAAAUUAUUUGGACAGCAAAAGGAUAUGUGAAAUUGAAGCAGUUGGCAAGGGCCUGCCUUUCUCACUUAAAAGGUAAGGUAAGGUAAGGGAGAUAAUCCUUUUUUCAGAAGAGGUACCAAUCAUUUCGCAUUAAAAGUGAUUUUACAGUAAUAUAGCAGUUGAUGCAUAUUUUGAUAGAAUUGCCUUCUUUGACCUCUGUUCUGCUAACUGACAGACGGUGAUGCUGAAACAUUUUAUGGAUUUAGAAAUGGUAGCGAUAUUUAUUAUCUUCAUCAAGUUGACAGUCUGUCUUUCCCUCUCUUUUUUCUUUUCCUUCAAAAAGAAUCACGGUCAUCUCAUGCAUGUAUGAUUAAAACUCCCAUAUCAAUACUUUGUAGGCUCACUCACAUUAGCACAUUUGGUUGUGAUUAUGGUUCAUUUAGCAACUGAGAUUGCAAUUGCAUGGCUUCUAAGUGAAGAGAUGGAAAUUCAUGCAUAACGUGUGUAUAUAUAAGGUUAAAAUUAUACUAAAAAGUCCCUAAACUCUUUGUACAUUUGAGUUUAGCCUCUCUAUGAUUAUUUUUAAGAACUUAGUCCCUCUACUUUUCAAAUUUUGAAAUUCAGGUCUAAUUGUUAACACUGUUAAAAUUCUUAUCUGUUACAUAUUUUGAAAUAAAUAAAAUACUCUGUAGUCAUGUAACAGAAAAAUGUGACAUUGUAAAUUAUCUGGCAUGUCAUUGUAAUAUAGGUUUUAGAGUAAAUUAGUGUCUACAUUGACAUUACAAAAAAGCAAUUAUUUGUCUUUAUAUUUAGGUAAAACUUUAAACAAUAUAAUAUAUUUGAACAUUAAAAAAACACUGAUUUGUCAUAUUUUAAAAUAAUAUGAAAAAGAAAGAAAAAUAAAAAUAUGUUUUUUUUUAAUCACAAGUAUCAUUCGUUUUAUGGAAUAAGGUUUUUUAUGCAACAUAAAAACACAAGUCAAGAGUAUUUUUUAUGGUACAUUAAGGUAGGGCUUUUUCUUUUCGAAGAGUGAAUAUUUAAAGGCAAACUAAGGAAAAAAACCAAAAGGAGGGAAAAUAAAAAAGCUUAAAAAGGUGAGGAUCCAAACCGUUGUCGUGGUAGAGUAUUUUUUCGGUUUCUCUUUAUUUUGAUAGUAAUAAAAAAAAAGAGUAAUGUUAUUUUUUUUGGAGAAGAUAUCAUAUUGUCUUACACGAGAAUCACUAAAUUUAUCUUCUAAAAGUAAACUUUUAAUGUGGAACGAGGGAAUAUCAAUAGUAGCUAAAUUAACUUCACAAGAGGGACAUGUUCUUGCUAACCAAUUAGCAACCAUGUUUCUUUUCCCGUUCACAGAUUGAAAUUAUCAAGAUAUUGUCUUUAUUUUCCUGACAAAAGUCAUUGAAGGUGUACUUUCCAAUCAAUUUCUAAUUAUUUUAUUGUAAUCAUACAAUCAGUUUCAAUAAUAAUCUUGUUGUGGCCUCUAACCUAUGCUGUUUCUAAGCUAUUUCACAACUUUGAAUUCACAGUCGAGCUCAUUCCAGCAAAAAGUAAUUUAAUUUUUGUUAAUUUUAAAAGUGAACAACUAAAAAUAAUUAAUCACAACAAUUAAUGUUUCCCAUUAAUGCAUAAUUUUGAUUGAUAUAAUAAUGAAUUGGGCCUUUAAUAUUUAUAUAUUUUAUCAAUUUUGUCUUGAUUUUAAAAAUUAUCUAAAAAAUAUAUAUAAAAAAAUUCAAAAAAGAUAUGUAUAAAAACUUUAGCUUAAAAUAUAUGUAUAAUAGAUAGAAUGUAUAAGCUUCGAUGGCUAAAUUUGUUAUUAUAUCAAUAAAAUUUAUAUAAAAUUGAUGAAAAACAUUAAUGAUAUGAUUAAUUUUUCUUAGGGUACACUUUCAAAUUUGAUAGGAAUUAAAUUGCUCCAAUUUUUCUUAGAGACCAAUUUACUCAAAAUCGAAAUUGUGAGGGAUCAAAGAGGUUUUUUUUACCAAUUUAGAUGCAUAAGAUUCUAAGCUAUGUAAGUUAGAGGUUGCACUUAGGUAGUGUUUGGUACUUUUCCAUAAAAUGAUUUCAUUGAAAUGUGAUUAUCAUAUUGAAGGAAAAAUUAAUGUUCAAUGUUUGGUAUGCAAUGAAAAUUAUUGAUUAAAGUUUCACGAAAGUUGUUAACACAUUGGGCUCACUAAAUACUUUUUUGAGAAUUUGAUGAUAAUAUAGGCUUAAUGGUGUAAAAAGUCCUUAAACUUUAAAAAAAGAAAAAUAAAAGCAAUUAAGCUCUUUUUUUUUUGCGCUCAAUUGAACACUUGAUCUUUCAAAAUAUAUCAAAAAGGCCCUCAAACUUCUUCAAAAAAAGCAAUUAAGCACAUUUUUUUCACUAAAUUGGGUACUUAAACUUUCAAAAUGCAUCAAAAAGACCCUCAAAUUUUUUCAAAAAAGCAAUUAAGCCCCUGCUCUUAUUAAAAAUUAGAAAAAAAAACUUAUAAAUAAUAAAUAAUAAAUAAUAAAUUUUAGAAAAAUUAUUAAAUUUUAAUAGAAAUAAAAAAUUUAAAACUUAUUAAAAAUUAGUUUUUUUUAUAAAAAUUGUAAAAAAUAAAAAAAAUGUAAAAUUUUAUAAAAAUAAUAAAAAAUUAUAAAAUGCAUCAAAAAAUCCCUUUAACAAUUAACUUUAACUAUUGAUGGUUAAAGUUAACGACCCCUAGUUUUUUCAAUUAAAAUCAUUGCGUGUCGUAACACAACGUGACAUGUGGCGAAAAAUGAUAAAAAAAUCAAUAAAAGUUAUAGAAAAAUUAUAAAAUGCUUCUUUGGUAUGGUAAUUUUUAUAAUUUUUUCUUAACAAUUAACUUUAAUUGUUAAUCAUUAAAGUUAAACGACCCCUAGUUUGUUUAAAUUAAAGUCAUCAUGUGUCACAACAUAGUGUGACAUGUAGCAAAAAAUGAAAAAAAAAUCAAUAAAAGUUAUAGAAAAAUUAUGAAAAUUUUUUGAUACGAUAAUUUUUAUAAAUUUUUUUACGAAAUUUAUAUUUCUUUACAUUUUCUAUAAUUUUCUUACGACGUUAUAAAAUUUAAUAUUUUUUUAUAUUUCUAUAUAUUUUACAAUCUUUUAUGAUUUUUAUAAAAUUUUACCAUUUUUAUAUUUUUUUUCUAAUUUUUAGGAAAAAUUUAAUAUUUGAAUUUUUUAUUAACAUUUAAUAAUAUUUAUAGAUUUUAAUUUUUUUAUAAAUUUUAUUUUCUAAUUUUUAAUAAAAUCAGGGGCUUAAUUACUUUUUUUUUGAAAAAGUUUGAGUCUUUUUGAUGCAUUUUAAAAAUUCAAGUACCCAAUUGAGUAAAAAAAAAGUAGGGGCUUAAUUGCUUCUUUUUUUAAAAGGUUUGAGAGUCUUUUUAAUGCAUUUUGAAAGUUCAAAUACCUAAAUGAGUGAAAAAAAGGGAGUUAAUUACUUUUUUUGAAAAAGUUUGAGGGCUUUUUGCACCCUUAAAUUUUUAUGAAAUUAUGGUUAUUAAUUAAAAGAUAAUAUUCAUGUAUUUUAAUAUUUUCAAUAGUUUUUAUUAUUAAUAAAUAUUUGUAUUAAAUAUAUUUUAAUUGAUAAUUUUAAAAAUUAUCAUUUUAACUUAUAAUUUUACUUUAUAAUUCUAUUUUUCUUGCAGGUAAUAAAUAAACAUAUGUAUACUUUUAAAAUAUAACCAUAUAUAUUUAUAUAUUUUAAAAACAAUGCAGAGUAACUUUGCCACUAAUUAUUAUUAUUAAUUAUUAAACUAAAGAAAUUAAUAUUGUAAAUAAUUUUGCCUAACUAUAUUUUUAUUUUACUUUUCAUCUACCUGGAAAAAUGUGGAAAAGUAAUUUUCUCAUCUAUUAUCAAGAGAAUUACUUUUUAUUGUUUGUGAGAAAGUAACUCCUAUGGGAACUUACAUUCUAAGAAAAGCAAACAAUUUUUUACAUUCCAACCAAUUAAAUUUGUUCAAAAGUUAAAAUUUUUCUUCAUAUCAAACUCCUUAAAGUCAUGAUCUAUCUUGAUCUUUUAAUCGUUUAUAAAUCUCAACCACCAGAACUUGCGUAAUGCGUUGGCAAUGGCAUUACUUGUUUUCACAUGUAGAAAGAGAACGUAUGUAUAACCUAUUUACAUCAUUAAGCACAAAAACAAAAGAAAAAAAAAGAUAAGUAAUAUCUUCUCAUAAAGCUAAAGACCCUCUUCUCCAUAAAAAAACGUUAGAUUUGCAUCGAAGACAAUUCGAGUCUGCCUAUCGUUCUCAUUAUCCAAGUAUGAAAUUUUUCACUUUGCUUCAUGGAUUAUGAUGCAGAUAUGUUUUAAUGCUUUAUCAUUUGGAAUGGGUUUACGCUUAGUCCAACUGAGUUUCUUUAUUUCAUUCUUUUAUAUUUUAUUUUGUAAUACGUACUUGUCACCGAUAAUCUCCAGUAGGGGGGGAGAGAGAGAUGUUAAUGUUUGAAUGAUGACAGGAAAUAUACACAAGUACUUUCAGUUAUUCUAAAAUUCUCCCUAUUUUGUUUCUCCUUCUUUAUUCUCUCAAAAAUCAUUCUGAUUCUUCCUUUUGAAAAAUAUCCUACAUCAAGUUGGUAUUAGACUACAAUCUUGACACCGUCUUUGACGAAAUUACAAAAUGUUCAUCAAACUUAGCAAGACUUAGCAUGUACCUAAAUAGGCCUCAAACAACUUAAUGAGAAGGUGAAUGCUCUAAGGUUGAAGGUGAGGUCUAAGUUCAAGAAAUAUUUUGAGCUUAUGACUAGUAGAAUUCCAAGGGAUUCAUCUACCCAUGAAGAUUCCUCUCAUGGCGGCUUGGGUAAAGAAACAAUUAUAAUGAAUAAGUUUUCUUCUACAAUUGUAGCCUAAUCUAUUCGAGUACCCAUAUUCUAGACCUUACAAAUGGGAAUGCAUAAAAUUUAACGAUAGAGAUUUUAAAGGAUAACUAAUAAAAAUUGAGUAAUACUUUGUGAGGGAGAAGAUACUUGAAAAUUCUAAUGUGAGAGUGUUGAUGCUUCAUAAUAUCCUACCCCAAUAUAACAAACACUUACUACUGAGCCAAUACCUUACCACCUUUACUAAUUUCUAGGAGACCUUUUAAGGCAACUUCAACUACUUAUCCUAAGCCUACCUCUAAAGGAUUUAAUAGUGCUAAAAUGAAGGAUAGAAGGAAACGUUGACUCUGUUAUUGAUGUGGAAAACAAGUCCAUUGUUUUCCAUCAUUGUGUGAAAUCAGGGUUUUUUACAUAAAUAGGUUGAAAAAAAAAAUUACUGAAAUAGGGUGUCAGAAAAAGUAUUUACCAAAAUGGGUUACUUUUUUCAUUGGAGCCUAUUAGAUAGGCGCCAAUGAAUAAAAAAAAAUAAUUUUUUUUGAAUAAAAUAUUUUUUUAAUAAUUUUUUUAAAAAAAAUACGAGUCAAAAUACGGUCAACGGGUCGGGUCGGGUCGGGUGGCGCCUAUCAGGUAGGCGCCAAUGAAGGUGCCUCAUAGAGAGGCGCCAAUGAAGGUGCCUUAUAGAGAGGCGCCAUUACUAGACCUGUCCAUGGGCCGGGCCGGGCCCAAAAAAAUUUCGGCCCGACUCCUAGGCCUGGCUCGAAAUAUGGGCCUAAAAUUUUGUCCAGGCCCGGCCCGGGAAAAAAAUCAUAUGCCCAAGCCUGGCCCGGCCCGGCCCAUUUUUUAAAUAAACACCAAAAAAUUUUUAAAAAUAAAAAAAUAUAUUUUAAAAAUAAAAAAUAAAAAUAUAUUUAUUGUAUUCGGGCCGGGCCUGGCCCGGGCCAAAAAAGUUAUGCCCGAGGCCCAGCCCGUUUUCUAAACGGGCCUAAUUUUUUUGCUCAAACCCAUAUUUCGGGCCUAUAUUUUUACCCGAACCCUCCUAUAUUUCGGGCGGGCCAUCGGGCCGAGCCGCCUAGCCCAUGGACAGGUCUAUGGCGCCGAAGGCCUCAUAAAUUUAGGAUUAUGUUAUAAAUUUUUGUGUUUGUAAUUAUUUAAAAUUUAAUUUAUUAGUAAUAAAUUACUAAAUUACUAAUAAGUUACUAAUAAAUUUAUAACAUAAUCUUAAAUUACUAACAAAUUAAUUAUAAAAUAAUUACAAUAUUCAUACAAAAAAUUACAAUAAUACAAUAUAUACCGACAUUCAAUAUUCAUACAAAAUUAUAAUAUUACAAUAUUCAUACAAAAUUACAAAAUUACAAUAUUCAUAUAAAAUUGCAAUAUUUUUUGUUAUUAAUUAUUAAUUAUUAAUUAUCUAUAUUUAGUAUGAAUAUUGUAAUUUUUUUGUAUGAAUAUUGUAAUAUUAUAAUUUUGUAUGAAUAUUGCAAUUUUUUUGUAUGAAUAUUGUAAUAUUAUAAUUUUGUAUGAAUAUUGUAAUGUCGGUAUAUAUUGUAAUAUUGUAAUUUUUUGUAUGAAUAUUGUAAUUAUUUUAUAAUUAAUUUGUUAGUAAAUUAGGAUUAUGUUAUAAAUUUAUUAGUAACUAAUUAGUAAUUUAGUAAUUUAUUACUAAUAAAUUAAAUUUUAAAUAAUUACAAACACAAAAAUUUAUAACAUAAUCCUAAAUUUAUGAGGCCUUCAUUGGCGCCUAGACCUGUCCAUGGGCUGGGCCGGGCCCAAAAAAAUUUUCGGCCCGACUCCUAGGCCCGGGCCCGGCCCAAAAUAUGGGCCUGAAAUUUUGUCCAGGCCCGGCCCGGGCAAAAAUCAUAGGCCCAAGCCCGGCCCGGCCCAUUUGCGCCUCUCAGAAUGGCACCACCAUUGCCGCCUCCCAGGUAGGCACCACCAUUGGCGCCUCCCAGAUAGGCGCCAAUACUAUGUAUUAUACGGGUUUUAUACUAACCCGAAAAAGUAUAAAAUUAUAUUUUAUUCAAAAAAAAAAUUUAUUAUUAUUUUAUUCAUUGGCGCCUAUCUAAUAGGCUCCAAUGAAAAAAGUAACCCAUUUUGGUAAAUACUUUUUCUGACACCCUAUUUCAGUAAAUUUUUUUUUUCAACCUAUUUAUGUAAAAAACCCGUGAAAUCACAAUUAUAUCAAUUUCUUACGAAACAAGAUGAAGAUGACAAGGAACAUUAGGUGUUCUCUGAUUGUGUUAAGCAUUUGGAAAAAUUGAUAGCUCAUGACCAUGUUCUUGAGGAACUCAUUCUAUAUUUGAAUGUUAUGUUUGACAUUACAAUACAAUGAAGAUUCAAAGCAUGAUUGGCAAGCGUUCCCUUAAGGCAUGUUUGGUUGGGAGGAAUAGGAAUAAAUUAUAGCCCAAUUCGAUGGGCCCACCACCAAACUAAUGUUUGGUUGGCUGUAAUGCUUAUUACGGCCUACACUGAAUCCGUUCCUAUUCAAGGAAGAGGCUGCAUAGUCAUUCCCUUCGCUCACCACUGAAUAGUUGUUGAAUAGGAUUUGUUUUUUUGCCUUUUCAAUUUUUGCCCUCACCUUUACCUUCCUCCUUUUGUCACGGGCCAAAGUGCAAAGCCCGUGACCAUGGCACAAGAAGCGCCCCAUGGAGGUCUAUCGAUUAGAUGGGGAUCAUUUAACCCACGAGAACUGGCCCGAUUCAGAGAACUAUUGAAGAAGCCUGUCAGAUUGAAGCCUGGUUGGCCCGAUGAUGAAGACAUGGCAACUUAGGCUAAUUUUAGUAACUAAUCUUAGAAGAUAGAGGGAAUCAUAUCUUGUAAAGAUUAGAUUAGAUUUGAUAUGGCAAAUCUUGUAAAUCCCUAAAAUCAAGGGAUAUAGUGAAUCUCGCCCGUCGAUGUAAAUGUAUCUUGACCGUCGGUUUUGGGGAGCUCAACUAUAAAUAGAGAGCCUCCCCUCAUUUGUACUCAUCCAUUGUAAGCUCAAUUCUUAAGAGUAAUAGAAUUCUUUGAGCAUUUACUCAAACACUUUGUGUGCAUUCUUUCUUUGACUUUCUGUUGUUCACUUAUAGCUUCUUUUGGCACAAUCGCUUCCGCUAUACAAAUUGGUGCCUUGGAAGAGUUCUAAAGAAUCCUCACUUUUGGGCGUAAAGGCUGACUUAGGCAAGUUUGGGACGAACGGAUCGCCUAAGGCCGCACGGAUUGUGAGACGAAAGGUCUAGCCCCGUAACACUUCAACCCGAUAGCCUUUUUCAAUUUUUGGAUUCUCCUAUUUAUUUUAUCCACCUCUAUGGUUUUGAGCUUCAUUUCUUUUUCCUUUCUUUAUCACUGAAAUUCGAAGCAAAAAACAAAAUAUCAUGGGCAAGGGUCUUGGCCUCGACACUGAAAAUCAGCAAGAAAGCUAGAGGUAUAAAAUUACCACUUUUUUUAAAAUAAGAAAGCUUUAAAGUUGUAAUAUUUAUAUCUAAUUUUUAAAUUUUUGGGAUUUUAUAGAUCUUCUUUACAAGGAUUAUCAGACUGACCAAAAGUUUACUUUGACCACUAUCUCUCCCACUGGUGUGGUAAGUUUGGUUCAUAUUUUUUAGGUUUGUUUAAAUUUUUUUUGCCUAGAUUAUGUUUUCUUUAAUUAUUAUUAAAGAAUACAUUUGAGAUGCUUUGUCGUGUGAAACUCAAGUUGUGAUUUUUGUCAUAUUUAAUUUUAUAUUAAAUGCAUGUCUUAUUGUAAAAUUAUGUUAAUUACAAAAAAGAAUGUUUAAUUUAUGCUAAAAUUAAAGGUAAGGUGUAUGCUUUUCAAACAUGUGUGUGUGUGUGUGUUCAAUUUUUGAAGUAUAAUAACAGCUAUUUUUCUUGAAUUUCAUCAUGGUUAUCUCAAUCUUUUAACUGCAAUGUAUCAUGGAAGAUGUUCGAUUUCUCAAUCUGCUAUGAGAACUUGAAUUAAUUUGGCCUUGUUUUGUUGUUUUUCCCUUUAUUUUCAGGCAAUUACCUCUGCCAGAACAAAGAAAGGUGAUCUUUUCUUGGUUAAUGUUAAUACUCAGCUGAAGUUUAGGAAUGUUACAAUUGAUAUCAAAGUGGACACCAGCUCCAAUGUAAGUACUUCAUCUGCUCCUUCUGUUGGUUUCUAGUUUUAUGCAUAAGUUUGAAUUCUUGGUCGAAAUUUCUCUUUUGCAAGUUAGAUACGAUGCUCUUUCCUCCAUUAUAUAUUCUUUGGCCUUCAUCCGACUUCUAUUAUAAUAAAAUUAGUAAUCAUGUCUUGUCCCCUCUAUGUUUGAAACUCGAGCUUUAACCAGGAGAAUUUCUGCCUUAUAACAUUGUUUAGAACAUCAUACUGCUUGGGACCUGUCCUUUUUGGCGGAAAUGCUUUUCAAUUGAAGGAUCUCUUUGGUUGAGUUCGUAGUUCCUUUUUUACCUUCUUAUAUUCCUUUGUUGUUGAUAUAUAUGUUUGCCAUCUUUUGUAAGCCUUUUUGAAAAUCGUUUGAUGUACUAAAGUACAUUAUGUUUAUCAGUUAUUUACCACCAUAACAGUUGAUGAACCUGCACCCGUGCUAAAUGCAAUCUUUGGCUUCAGAGUCCCUGAUCAGAGGUCUGACAAGGUACAAAAUUCUGUCUCAUAUUUCAAUUUGCAUCUUUCGAAACUUCCUUCUUGUUUUGGCUUUUGUCGCGAGAACGUGUUACUUAGAAUGUGUUUGAGAUGCUGUUGGACAUGUCUAUCUUUUCGCUUUUGUGUAUACCAGAUUGAACUCCAGUAUUUGCAUGAGUAUGUUGGGAUAAGCUCAAGCAUUGGAUUGACUGUCAACCCGAUAGUUAACUUCUCGGCUGUGCUUGGAACAAAUGUUAUUGCACUAGGUACCGAUAUCUAAUUCGACAUGAAGACUGGGAAUUUCACCAAAUGCAACGCGUGAUUGAGCUUCACCAAUACAGACCUCAUUGCUUUUUUGGCUUUGCAUGUGGUUAUGUUCUAUAUACCUAUCUACAGCUGAACAUUCCAAAUGAUAUAAUCUCAAGUUUAAUACCUUGUUUGUCGAUGCAAGAAUGAAAAGGGUGAUGUAGUUAACGCAUCUUACUACCAUAUUGUAAAUUCAUCGACCAACACUGCUGUUGGUGCUGAGGUGACCCAUAGCUUCUCUACCAAUGUGAACAUCAUCGCCGUGGGUACACAACAUGCAUUAGAUCCAUUAACCACAAUCAAGGUACGGGUGAACAAUGUCGACAACGCAAACGCACUCAUCCAGCACGAGUGGCACUCGAAAUCCCUCUUUACCAUUUCUGGAGAGGUGGAUACAGAGUCUAUCGAUAAGAGUCCCAAGGUCGGACUUGCUUUGGCACUCAAGCCUUGAGAGCUUAAAAAAAAAGAAGAAGCUCAUUUUAGUAAGAGUAUGAUAGACUUAAAAAGAUUUUUGAAGUUUUAGUUUGUUGUUGACUUUCAUGGUGUUGCCAUCUUCCCUUUUAUGUCAAUGGUUUUUCAUUUUAAAAAAGAAUAAAGUGAUGUUAUGAUAUAAAAUAUGUAUUUAUAUAAUGUUUAAAUUAUUAAUGUUAUAUUUUUCUAAUAAGGAUAUAAAAGAAAAUAAUUUAUUAUUGGCUCUUUCUUAAUAUUUUGAUAUAUAAAAUAUAAAUUUUAAAUAUUUUUUUAACAAUUAAUAUUAAUUAUUUUUAAAAACAAAAGGAAGGUGUAAAUAAUAAGAAUAAAAUGUAUAUAUUUUAAACAAAUAAAAUUAGAUUAAAUAAGGGUUAAAGAUAUGAAAUUUUCGAAUCCAAAAAUAUUUUUAAAGAUUUUAAAUUCAUUAACAAUUAAGCUUUUAGAAUGUAUUUGUUGUCUAUCAACUAUAAUGAACAUAGAAGCAAUGGAUUCAAAUAAUAGUGUUUUAAAAUAUAGUAAAUAAAAUAUUUAAAAUAUUUUAAUAUAAUUUUAUAUAAAAAUAAAAAAUAUUUUAAUAUACUUUUAUAUAAAAAUAAUUAUAUUAAGAAUGUUAUUAAAUUAUAUAUUAUUUUUAUUAAAUUAUAUUUAAUAAUAAUUAUAUUAAAAUAUAUUUAAAAUAUUUUUAUUAUUAAAUAUAAUUUAAUAAUAAUCCUAUUAAAAUUUAAUAAUAACAAACAUCUAUCUAAAAAAAUUCUACUAAGGGUAUUCUAGUCAUUUUAGCUUUUUUCCUUAUGCUAUUAGAAAUCUAUUUCAUUCAACCAAACACAAGAAUAUUAUUACAGUUACAUUCCAUUCAACUAAACAAUCUAAUUAUUGAUUACAACUCUAUUCUAUUACAACUCUAUUUUAUUCCAAUAAACUAAACGUGCCGUUAGUGUUCUGGUUCAUUCAUGAAGCACCCAUAACUUCAUUGAUAGGACCUUGCUAAGGCACUAAGACAAAUACAACCCAUGUGGCAAGGACGCAAGCUUAAUGUUACCAUUAUGAAGGGAGGCAUUCUUUAUACUUAGGAAAAAUGUCAGAAUAUUCCUUAGAAAGUGCACAAGUCCAACUAUACUUUGUAAUUUUAUAGUGUAGCCUUUGACAGGGUGUGAUUUAGUACCAGGCAUGCAAUGGUUAGCUACCCUAGGACCCAUCAUUUGGGAUUUUGUGAGUUCCAGCGGAAUGGUGAUGGCUUACUUGGCAGGGAAUAAAUCCUUAUGCAGCUCAACUAAUUCCUUCCGAACAAGCUUCUCCAUUGUUACUUGUCCUUAACGAAUAGGAUGGAGUAUAAACCUUGUCCAAAGGUUUUUAGAAUUAGAUAGGUAGUUGAACUGAUUAAGUCAUUUAUUCUCAGUCCAAUUUCAAUUAAAUAGAUUAUUGAAAAAUUAUAAAAUAUGGUUUAACUGUUGGCUCAAUUGAUUUUUUUUAUUCCGGUUUAAAAUAGUUUACGGUCCAACCAAUUCAAUCCCUUUAUUUGUGCUAGUAUAUCGAUUGAUUCUCGGUCCAACCGUUAGCCUGAUUCCAACAACUACGGCCUUGUACUUACAAUAAUCCCCAACUCGGUUACUAAACAAAUUUCUAGCACCAUUGAAGGGGAAUGCUACUAAUUUAGAUUAGUUGCUAGAGGAAUUUAAGGAGCUGUUUCGAGCCACAAGGACUUUAUACUAAUAGGCCGUAAGACCAAAAAAUUCGUUUGAAGGAUUAUAAGAAUUUUGACCCCAUAAAUAUCCUGCCAUACAAAAUAAUGAAAUAGAAAGAUUGGUUUAGAGAGAUGGUGGGAUUAGGGUUUAGGUCUUCUGCAUCACCUACAGUGAUGGUUAAGGAGGAGGAUAUGAGUUGGAGAUUGUAUGUGAACUAAUGACAACUCAAUCAACUCACCAUAUCCCUCUAAUAGGGCAUGUCAAUUAUUUAAGUUCGGGCUACCAUAAAAAUCUAAUGCAUGAAGAUGAACAACUUUUAAAACACAUUAAGGGCAGUACGAAUUCUUGGUAAUGCGCCCUUCAACCUUUCAAAGCUUAAUAUUUGAGGAGGUUUAUAUUGGUGCUCUUCAACAAUACGUUGGCUUAUUUAGCUACAUGAUUUUAAGAAAAAUUAUUGAACAAAAAAAAUAUUUUACAUAAAAUUAUUUAAACACCAGAAAAUAUAACAUUUUUCAAAAAAUUGAAAAUUAUUUCCAAUAAAACAUAAGCAAUCUAAUAUGAACAUGCGGAAAGCAGUCUCUAGAGCAUAAACUGCUGCUUCCUCGACAUAAAUACUAUUACUUUGAAUCUCUGUUUUGUGAAAGUUCAAAAAAAAAAAAAACAUCACCUAUACCAUAAAAUAUAUAGCCUAAAUAAAUUCAUCCCCUCUAAGGCUCACAGAUCUAACUGAGAUCCUUAAAUGUUGGUGGAGCCAACCCAACCUGUGUGUCACUCAAGCUUCUGUGGACACCAGGCCUUGGCCCUGAGGAUCGCCAAAGUCAUUAAAUAGCUUUGUACAUAACUGCAAUUAUAUACAUAAUAAAUGUCACAUCUUAAUUUUAUUUAAAUAUAUGUGGUUAAAGCAGAGCAAAAUACUGUAUACUUUCGUGUACCUGUCUAUAAACUGUAGAAUCGCCAUAUGAUUUUCUUAAUUCAACUACGUACAAUGACGGACUUAUCUCAAACACCUGGCGUGCAUAAUUUAAUCACACGAUUACACUUUGAUAUAGUGAAUUUUGAAUCAAAAGCUCACAACGAAUUUUGCUCGUCUUUUAGCACGAGAAUUUAUACCUCAGCUGCAACUGAAAGACUGGCAAGACGUUUUUGGACCGUGUGCUCUUGCGUUGCUUUCAACUGAAAUCAACAUGAAAUUUUAUAGUGUUAUUGUUGCCAUUACCAUCAAGCAUAUAUACCAAAUUAGAUUAUAGCAUAUGUAUGAUAUGGGUCAACCAUAAAAUUACAUAAUAAAUAUAUUUAUAAAAAAAUUAAUAUAAAUAAUAAUUAAAGUUUUGGUUAAUCAUAAGUAUAAAUGGAAAAAAAACUAAAAGAAUAUAGAUUCAAAAUUCUAUUAUUUUUUUUUUAUUUUUCUCUUGCAAGUUAAAAUUAUACUCUCUCAAUUAAAAACUUUAUAAUAAAUAUAGGUAUAUGUAAUUAUGAUUGAAGCUAAACCAUCUAAGAGGUAUUUAAUUUAUAUUGGAAAAAACAUAUGAAGUAGUACUUUUGGCUAUCAAAAUUCAAAAAAGUGCAGCCGAAGUAUUAAACAAGAUGAAUUUAUCAUCUAAAACUCGUGCUUUUUGAACUAUUACCAAAAAAACUCGUGCUUCUUGAACCAAAAGCAAAAGCUGUUAAAAGACGCGCUUUUUUUGCUGUUGCCAUAAACACUUUUUGAAUGUUUAAUGAUUUUUUUAUAUUCAUUAAAUAAUCACAUGUUUAACUUUUGAUGAUAAUAUUAAAAACAAAAGAAUUAUUAGAAUGAAAUAAUUUUUUAAAGAAAAUCUAAAACUAUAUUUUUACAUAAAUUUUCACAACAUAUUUAUAUAUUUUUAAUGCUAAUAAUUUAUUCAAUUACUAUUAAAAAUAAUCUAAUACAGUACCAGUUUUAACAUAAUGGUUCUUUUCAAACAAUUUAUAUGUGCAUUAUUCACCAAACUAUACUAAAUUAAGCCUCACAAUCAUGCAUUUAAUUUAUAAACAGAGAAAUGCAGUGCAUUAAGCAAAGCAACUAUAUAAAUCAGUUUACUAACCUUUCCGUUUCUCAUUUGGACUCGAAAUCCCAUCUCUGUCACCGUGUCUUGGAUCUUUGCAAGCAAAUCUUUACCCGAACGAUUUGAGGUAAAUCUGAUCUUCCUUUCAGAUACAUCCUGCAUAUUCAUAACAACUAGUUGCUAUCAGAUAUAAUUGCAUGAUACAGUGCUUACAUUAAAGAAAGGAGGCCUUAAUUAGUUUGGCUGGUACCUCCUUCUCAAAGAAACCAGAAAGGUCUAGGCACGAUGACAUUCCUAUCAACUGAAAAGCAUUAAUGAGAGUAGGUGAUUCUUGACUCCUACCUCCAUCACAACCCUUCAUCAAAAUAGUGUUUCUCUCCGUUAUGUUCAAAACUUGCAAACAAAGGACUCAUCAAAGAUUAUAUAUAUUGGGGGGAGGAGGGGUUGUACAUACCACUUCACACAUUGAGAAAGCUUCAUCAUCAAUAUAUAUGUCUUCUUCCUCAUCAUCAGGUACAGCAGGAGUAUAGUCUUGCUUGAACCAGUCAUCUUCCUUGAUACCCGCCAUUGUUAUCCUGGUUUCAGGGUUUGGGUCAAGAAUCCUUCUUAUCAUGUUCCGAGCCCCAGGUGACAACCAUUUCGGGAUCUGAGGAUCCCCUUUGAAAAUCUGAAAUCCAAAUCUCACAAAAGGGUUACACAUAAAGGAAAUUAAUAUUUUUUUAAAGAAAAAAGCACAAUCCGAUUACCUUUUGAUAAAGAACUGCAAGGUUUCUAUCAUCGAAAGGGAGAUAACCGGUGAGAAUGACAUAUAAGAUGACACCACAUGACCAUAUGUCUGAAGUGGCACCAUCAUACCCUCUAUUUGCCAAAAUCUCUGGCGCGACGUAGUUUGGACUUCCACAUGUUGUAUGCAGUAAGCCAUCCUCCUGAAAAUAUUUUGAAAACGAAAUUAAAAAUAGAAGAAUAUCAUUAUUUUUGGGUGAUUUUCAUUUUUAGAUGAUGAGCACUUUACGUACCCUAAUAUGUUGAGGCAAUGCACUAAGGCCAAAAUCAGAUAUCUUUAUGUUCCCUUUAUCAUCAAUCAGAACAUUUUCCAGCUGAAAUAAAUAAACAUAUAUAUUAAUAAUGGAAAGAAGAGGUGAUGAAAGGACCUUUGUUUAAUGCUUUAACAAAUCAAAUAUAUGAUAGGUUUAGAGGUAAUGAAAGGACCUUAAGAUCCCUGUGGAAAACACCUUUGUUGUGACAAUAACUAACACCAUCAAUUAAUUGCUGGAAGAACUUUCUUCCUUCUGCUUCUGAUAGCUUCCCUUUGGAUGCCUGUACAUGAUCAAAAAAAGCAGCUAAGCAAAACAAAUCAAUGUAAACUAAAUAAUAUUAUUGCAGCAGAAAGGACCCCUAAAAGUAAUUUCAUCAAGUCCCUUACAAUUCUGACAAACAAUUCCCCUCCAGUUGCGUACUCUAGGACCAUGUAAAUCUUGGUUUUGCUUGCCAACACCUGCAUGUUUAUUAUAAAGCAAAGGCAUCAUUACAGCAACUAAGUACCACUCUUAAUCUUAUGAUUGUGAUUGUCAUCAUUAACAAGAGAUUAACAACAUUAGGACAAAUAUCACAUACAUUGUCAAAAUCUAGAAGCAAAACAUUAGGAUAAAAGGGAUCGGUUCUUUUUGAUGAUUUAACAAGUUGACCUUUUACCCUUUUUUAUUGACUAAUGGAACGGCAUGGAAUACUUAGAUUUUUACGUAAAUCAUAUGAACCUAAAUCACAUUCUAUGAUUCUAGCAUUAGUUUUGCAACAAAUUAAUCAAUGAAUACUUUUUGUUCUUCCUGGUGGAAAUGUAAAUAAAAUAACAACAUAGAGCCUAGGAUAUGUUGUAAAAAUUAACCAAGAAAACAAGUGAAGAAAAUGACACCCAUUACGAAAACGCCUACCACUUGCAAAAUUGGUGGGUUCAAAUACAUAAUUGCGGCCCCCAAAAUUCGAUUUAAUGAUUCUAAUUAUUUUGUUAUUUACUGUGUAGACAAAUAGAAAUUGCCCAGAAAAAAAAAGUGGUGAUUGUUGUGGGCUACCAGCUGGUGGGGGACUGAUGAUAUUAAUUCAAUACAAAUAAAUUAUUGAAAUACAAAUUUUUACUAAUUUAACAGUAAGAUUUAGUGGUGUUACUCAAAAGAUUAAUUUUUCAAUUUUCAUAAAGUAUGAUAUCAGAUACUAUUAAUUAAGCUAAUUGAAUCAAUUGGCUCUGUUAUUUUUACAACAAAAGGAAGAAUAUGGAUUAAGUGUGCUUAAGUACAUAUUAUCUUAUUUAUAAGUAGUAGUUGGAAUUGUAUAAAAAAAUUUCUAAAAUACAAAGUAGAAAAAUUUUAUAACUUAUAUUCAAUACUUAAAUCUUUCAAGACUUGAUAGUAAAUUUAAUUAAAUCUAUACUUUAAUUGACCGAUUGAUUUAGAUCUUAACUGAUUUAACUAACCUGAUUUAAUAUCGAUUAGUUAAAUAAAUUAAAAGUUGAAUUGGAAUUCUGAUUAAAAUAUUAUAUUUUAUAUAUUUAAAAAAUAUAUAUAUAUACAUACAUAUUAAAAGUUAAUCGGACCAGUUGAUUCUAUCAUCCAUUAGAAAAUUUUAUAAUCAAUAAUAAAUUUUAAUUGUAUACAAAACUUCCCUAUUUGGCAUUUCAAUUCGACUCCCCCUUAGACUCGUUUAGAAUAAGUCUGAUAUUGACCAGUAGUUGGCUAGUUUAUGUUGCUACGAAUGUAUUGUACCAGAUAUUAUUUACUCUACUUUAUAUUUAAAUACAAACAGAUGUUUUCAUAAAGUACAGGAAUCAAAGUCGUGAGAAAACGUGUAACUGGAUAUAUGUGAAAAUAAUAAUUAUAACGAGAGAAAUGGGCCCCACUUGACCUGCUGGCCAUUCUCCUAUUGGCUAUUUCCUAUUUAAAAAUUAAAGAGUAGGUUUUAAAUAUGUGGCUAGCGCUUGCGUAUCUCACCGUCACGUAUUUGUGGUUCAUAGUAAAAACAGCGACGGUAGCAAUAAAUAAACAAUAUAGAUUAAAAAAAUAGUAACUAACCGACCAGAUUUUAUGGGUAUGAGGUUCAGAUGAGACAUGUAGUUCACGUGCAUAACUAAAACGUGAUGUGACUUGCUUUACACGUGGCUUAAUUUGAGUGGCAAUAAUUUUGUUUUAGUUGGUCAGGGAAAAAAAAAGAAGAAAAAUGAUCCGUGUGGUAAAGUGGAUUAAGACGGAAGAAUGGUCCAAUUUGAUACCCCGUCAAAUAUAGUCGAGGCAAUCCAAUUCUUAUCUGGUGCAGGUUGUCUGAUCAAGGCUUGUAUCAUAUGAGUGCGAUUGUUAUGAUUAGAAAAAAUAAAAUAAAAAUAAAAUCAUAGGAUUAAAUUUUUAUUUUUCUAUUUAAUUGAUUUGAUAGAUGGAUUAGAAUGGUUUAAUAAAUUUUAAAAUAUAAAUUAAUAAUAAUUAAAAAAUAAUAAUUUUUUUGAAUAAAAUGAUCUAACAAGUUCAAUCAUUUAGACAAAUUUGAAACAUACAUUAAUAACGGGGUGUAGAAGGGGGCAGGCAGGCCCCCAAAAAUUAAAACAUUAAAUUGAUGUUCUUUUCUUUAACUUUUCAUUAAAUAAAAGAAUGACAUUUUUAGUUUUUAUGAAAAAUUAAUAAUUACUUUAAGCUAUUUUAAUACAUUUGUUUUUAAUUUUAUAAUUAUAUCUACGCCCAUUAAAUGAAAUUCCUAGUUUCACUUUGAUUAAUAAUAAUUUUAAAAAAUCGACUUUAAAAUAAGUGGGAAAAUUAAAACUUUCAACCAUUUGGGGAAAAAAAAUUGGUUUAAUCAUCUUGAAAAAUCUUAAAACAUAAAUGAAUAAUAAUUAUAAAAUUUAAUAAUAAAUAAAUAAAAAUCGGAAAUUUUAAUGAAAAAAAAAACCAAUAUGCAACUCAAAUUCCUUUUGUCAAAAAUUCCAAAAUUCAUAAUAAAAGAAAAAACAAAGAUGUUGAUUUUAUCUAUUUUUAACCGGUUCUCUAAUUUUUUUAUUAAAUUUAUAUAACUUUAUUGGACGGUCCAUUUUUUAUUUUUUUUAAAUCUAUGGUGCUUCAUUUCGGGUUAUAGGUGGUGGAAGUUGUUUGGAUACAAACUUCAAUACAAAAUUGAAGUUUGAAAGCAGAGUACUAAUGGAUUCUUAUCCAUCAAAAUUACGGCACAAAAUCAGGAAUUAAUUUAAUCUUUUUUAACCACGUAAUCAAAAGUCCAAACAAGAAAAUGCGUUUAUCACAGAGAGUAAAAUAAUAAAUUAAUCGGCAUUCAACAACACCACAAAUGAUUGAGAUAUGAUAAACAAAAAGGACAUACCUCGUGUAAGCGAACCACGUUAGGAUGUUUGAGGAGUUUCAAAGUAGCGAUUUCUCUCUUUAUCUGCGCAAGUUUCCAGAUUCAAGAUUUUUCGAAAUUUGUAAUUUGAAAACUGCCAUAAACAGAAAUCAGAGAACAUAAUCACAUGCAGAAAUUAACCAAAACAAACAUCAAUCGGAAAGAAAUUGAAAGAAAGGAAGGUACCUGAUCGGCGAUGCUGAGUUGAAUGAGCUUGGACUUUUCGAGGAUCUUGACGGCGAAAGUGAGGCCGGAAUGGAGAUUCUUAGCCAAUUUAACUUUGCCGAAAUUUCCUUCGCCGAGAUUCCUCCCUAAUUCGUAAUUUCCUAAUUGCAAAAUUCCUUUCUUCUUGUUCUCCUCCGCUGUUCUCUUGCUGCCCAUUCACUCCUCCUUUGAUCUCUGUAAAUCUAAAUCUAUAAUAAAAAAACUAUCAAUCAAUCAAAGAUCUCUCUCUCUCUCUCUCUCUCUCUCUCUCUCUCUCUCUCUCUCUCUCUCUCUCUCUCUCUCUCUCUCUCUCUCUCUCUCUGUGUGUUUGUCUCUCGCACUGUUAUCUAAUUUCUUGUUAUAAACGAACGUCUAUGAGAAAAAUGAAUAUAUAAAUGGAAAAAAAUACUAGUCUAAGCUACGAGUAGGAAAAGUAAUACUGGUAAACGAAGGAAGCCUUGAAAGAGAAGAUAAUGGAGGAGAGAAAGGGGAAGAGAGGAGUUUAGACGCCAAAAAUAUUGUUCUUUAACUUAUGAAACCGUUGAAACCUUCCUUUUUAUGCUUCUCCUCGUUUAAAAUAUUUUAUUACACAAAACAUUUUAAUAUAAAAGUAUAUCUAAUUCUGGUUUAGUCCUUCUACUAUACUAAAAUUUGAGUUUUGAUCCCUCCAUUUCCUUUAAUUUAUAAAAAAUCUAAAUUCCAUCCAUAAUGUUGCAUGCUUAAUUGCACUUGAAGUCAUAAUCUUUAUAUUAUUGUAACAGUAACAAUGCCAACUGAACUAAUACUCAAAUUACUAAUCUCGACUUUAAUUUCACAUAAAUUGGUUCUUGCCUCCUUUUUUUAUGAGGGAAAGGGUAAGUAUUUUCAAAACAGAUUGAACUAAGGACUAGUAAUUUGAUCAAUUAAACUAGUGGUAUAUAACUAACUAUAAAGUAAAUAGCUAUCAAUUAGCAAAAAUUGAAAAUUGAGACAAAAAAAAAUAGAGGGUUCAAUCCAUUUUUUAUCUAAUUAUUGUUGAAUCCGUGGUUUAAUGGUGUAAUUGUUCAACCAUCACUUCGAUCUUACAAAGUUAUUAUUCAAUGAUUAAACCCAAAAUUAGUGUCAACUGAAUACUUGGUAUCAAGUCCUUUCCCACAUCCACCCAACAUUCAAUAGAUGAUUCCUCUACUUCUAUAACUUUACUAGUAGGUCCAAUUUGAUAGUAUUGUUAACUGCUUUCAUUAAGGUGUUGACAAGGAGUUUUUAAAAAAAAUAAGUAUUCAACUGACAUAUAAAUUUAUUAAUAAUUAAAUACGGUUGAUCAGGUUUUCAUCUAACCCUAACUAAGAUUGAAUAACAAAAACAAAAGAGAAAAUUUCAAGUUUUCAAUUUAACUAACAAUACAUUAUAAACAUAAAGGACCAAAUUAUGUCAAAUUAAAAUAGUAGAGUUAAAUCCAAUUUUUCAGUAUAAUAGAAGGAUUAAAACCACAAUUAGACCAUGGAUAUAGGACAAAGAGGCCAAGCCCACGUUUAAAUGCUUACUUACCCAUUUUGGUAGCUUUUCAGCAAAGGAAAGAACAACGGUGGUACUGUUACAUAAUAAUUGCAUACUUAUCCUAAUUAUUCCAGCUUUUCGUCAAUCACUUACCAAAAGAUCAAACUUAUAUGCUAUGCAUUUGUUGUUGCUGUUGGAAAAAAUAUUAUUGGUUCCGCAAUUUUUGAUCUAUUUGGAGGAAAAAAAAAUUGAAUUUUGAUUUACAAAAUCAAAAUUUUGUUUUGACGACAAAAUAAAAUUAUAAAACGCAACAAACUAAUACUCGGAAUCAAACCAAAAUAGAUCUCGGCGAUGACCCACCUAUAGUGGGAUUUAAGCCGGGACAUAAUUUGUGUAGGAUGGAAGUCAAACCUAGAGUAUUAAGAUUUUAGGACCUCAGCCAUUAUUGAUGGUGCUAAGACCUCACAGACUAUUUUGAUGAGUUUGUGGAUUUAUGUUGUAUUUAUUUUUGUUAUGCGGUGUUUUAAUUAUUUUCGUAUGUUAGAUAAUUAGGGUUUUUUACAAAAAUAAUAUAAAAAAAUAAAAAAUUACUAAAAUGUUAUACAUUUUUUUAUUUACUAAAAAAUAUAUAAUUUUUUUAUUUACUAAAAUAUAUCAAAAAAACCAAAAAAACAAAAAAAAUAAAAAAGAGAAAAAAAAAACCUGGACCGAUUUGACAGUUCCCUGGGUCAAGGGAACACUGUUGGCGGCACCAAACAAGGGUUCCCUGUUGGCGGCACCAAACAAGGGUUCCCUGUUGGCGGCACCACUCGUGUUAUAAACACGAACUCUGUCUAGCUGAAACAAGAAAAAUUAGAAGAAAAAGAAAAGAAAGAAGAGGUGCUGCAAAAAAAAAAGAAAAAGAGAGAAAGAGAAGAGAAAAAUCAGGUAUUCUUUAAAAAUAAUUGAUUAUGUUAUUGUUAUUGUUUUGUAUAAUUUGUAUUUUUUUUGUUUUAGUUUAGUUAUUAAGAUUAAAAUCAAUAAAACUCAAAUUAAUAGUUUUAGUUAGGGUUUUAUUAUCAAAAUAUUACAAAAAAUAAAAAUUUUAUAUUAUUAUUAUUAUUAUUAUUAUUAUUAUUAUUAAGAUGUUAGUUAGUAUUAUUGUUAGUAAAAAAUUAGUAUUAUUUUUGUAGUUAGUUAUUAAUAAUUUUAGUUAGUAUUAUUUUGUAUAUAAAAUUAUUAAUAUUAUUAUUGUGUUAGUUAGUAGGAUUAGUGGUUAAAUGGCUUUCAUGUACAAAAUUGAAUAUUGAAACAUUAGUUUUUUUUAUUUAAGUUAUUUAUUUUAUUAUCCGUGCAAGAUGUUUUACGAGAUUUUGUUUAUUUUUUGACAGAUUAAAUAUUGAAGAUGGAUGCUAAGUUUUUUGUAUGCGUUUAUUUCGACGGAGUCAUCUUAACAACAAGUGUUUGAUGUGUAUUUGAAUGUCAGCAACAAAUAGCAAUGAGAUUUAAUAGAAAUGUCUCGUUUGAUGAAAUGAAGGCAAGGAUUAAUGCAAAAAUUUUAAGACGUUGUGGGAGAAGGAUAGUAAAAUUUUCUACAAGUUUCCAGAUUCGACAAAUCCAGUCAAAUUCGUCGAAAUGGAACUUGCAGACGACGAAGACGUUGAGACAAUGGUCGAUCUCUACUGUGGGAAUGGGAGUGACAAGAAUGCACCGAUUCACUUAUUUGCUGAGUUAGUCGGUAUGGAGCAAAAUGCAUCUGAUGAAGAAGACGGGGCUGAAGAACCGCGGAUGGUGGCUCCAAUAUCAUACGUUGAUAGUGAAUCAAGUAUGGGUGGGAUCAAUAUCGACCUGAAUAUUACACCCGAUGUUGAUAUGGUUGGUGGUGAAGAAGAAGGUGGUUGCGAAGAAGAAGGUGGUGGCGAUCAUUGGGAUGAAGAGGUCGAUAGUGACGGUGAUCCCGAUGUGGACGAUGUACCUGAUGAUAUCGAAGAUGAAGACAUUAACGCUUCUUCGAUCGGGGAGCAGAUGCGGCAUAUUUUGAUACACAAUAAUCCUGGGCCACACAUGUCGCUCAUAAACCCCGAUGCAGCGUAUGUAGCUGAGUUCCCAGAGUACCCUGAAAUAGUUCAUCGUCACGAGCUGGCCGUAACAUCUGAUGAUGAGGAGUUAUUCAUAGGCCAGAGAUUCAGCUGUAAAGAAGAGUGCGUAUAUGCCAUCAAACGGUACAGCAUGAAUAAAUCAGUUGAUUAUAAAGUCACAGUGUCUACUCCGACAAUAUAUGUUGGGGAGUGUUGGAAGGCAGUGGAAGGCUGCAAUUGGCAGGUGCGAGCUGCAUUCAUUAAAAGUUCUCAGAUGUGGGAGAUACGAAAAUUUGUUGGUCCUCAUAUAUGCACAUCAACACGUAUGACAGAAGAUCAUGAAAAACUUGAUUCAAAAACAAUCUGUACGUGUAUCAUGCCAAUGGUGAAGGACAUGCCGACCAUUAAAGUUUCGGUACUGAUUGCCGAAAUACAAGCACGAUUCCAGUAUCGAGUCUCAUAUCGGAAGGCAUGGAUUGCUAAACAGAUGGCGAUGGAGCAACUGUAUGGAGAUUAUGAUUCAUCGUAUAACGAGCUUCAAGGUUGGAUAGCUGCUAUGCGGGAGUAUGUAUCGGGGACUGUGAUUGAGUUGCAGACAAGGCCAUAUUACGGGCUGGAUGACCAGUUACAGCCGGCAAAAAGGAUUUUCCAUCGGAUGUUCUGGACGUUCGAUCCAUGUGUGUGGGCAUUUCCCCACUGCAAACCACUUGUGCAGGUGGAUGGGACCUGGCUGUAUGGAAAAUAUACACAGAUCUUACUUCUUGCAGUUGCUCAAGACGGCAACAGAACGUGCUCCCGAUAGCAUUUGCUAUCGUAGAUAAAGAGAACAUGGAGUUUUGGGAAUUCUUCCUCACAAACCUGCGGAGGUAUGUUAUUAGCAACGAUAACAUUUGCAUCAUCUCUGAUAGAGGGAAGGGUUUAAUUGCAGCAAUCAGACGUUCCGGUGUGCCGUGGAGAUCCGUUUACUGCAUCCGUCACAUUGCGGCUAACUUCCACAAAGAUUACAAGAAUGCAGACUGGAAGAGACAAGUCGUGGCAAUGGGUAAAUGAUAACCUUAUAUUUUCAAUAUAAGUUGUAAUGUUUCAUGUUAUGGAGUUACUAGAACUUAUUUUUCUUAAUAUGUAUGCAGCGUACGAGUUAGAGCCACAUAUGUUCCAGCAAAAAAUGAUCCGACUUGAGAGUGACAUGGAUGAGCAGACAAACACAUCUUUCCGACAAUGGUUGGGCACAAUGGAGCUGUGGCAAUGGGCUCAAAGUUUUGACGAGGGCUUUCGUUAUGGUCAAAUGACCACAAACUUAGUCGAGGGGAUCAACGCUGUUUUGUUAAAAACACGUCAUCUUCCGAUUGCAUCUGUAUUUUCUGCUACUUUCUAUAGGCUGGCUACUUUGAUACCAAGAAUGGGUCAGCAGCAAGUCGACCAGAUUGAGGCGGGGCACGUAUUUGUCGAACAUGUCAGGGAUACAAUGGUCGCAAACCGUCGGUUGGCGAGGUCAAUGAAUGUAGAAAUAUAUUCACGACGACUGGAAACAUUUCGAGUUACUGAGAACAUCAGUCAUCGACCUAGUAUACCAACUAGGUCCUACGGAGUUGAUCUCCGGAACCGACGGUGCGAGUGCAGAAGGUUCGAAACACUUCAUUAUCCCUGUGCGCAUAUCGUAGCAGCGUGUGCUAAAGUUAACGUCAAUGUUGAACAAUAUAUCGAUGAUGUGUACACGCUGGAGCGCACAUUGCGUGUCUGGGAAAAUGAGUUCCCCGUCUUGCCUGACCUAUCAACGUGGGAGGUGCCUCUGACGACUUUCGAGCUUCUCCCAGACAGAGGGCUGCGGAGGAAUCCGAGAGGUCGUCCGCAGUCAAGCAGAAUCCGUAAUGAAAUGGACAUCAGGGAGAAGUCUGACGGAAAGCGUUGUGGAAUAUGCAGGUUAAGUGGUCAUAGUCGGAAUAAAUGCCCUAACCGAAACUUUCAUGUUGGACAGUCGUCCGGAUCGGGUCGUAAUUGACCUAAUAUUGUAAAAUUUUUAUGUGUAAUUAUAAAAACUAUACAAAUGAUUAUGAUUACAUUGUAUCCAAAUUAAGUAAUAAAAUAAUAUAUGGCGUUUGGAAUUAUUAAUAUUACAUCGAAAAUGGAGGCAUAUAACCUUAAAUUAAGCAUUAAUAUAAUGCAACUUUAAAAUAAUUAAAUUAGUAAAAAGAAAUUGAACAAUAACCACAAUAACUGAAAGUAGAAUAAUUAAAUUAGAAUAAUUUAAUUGAUACAAAAAAGUACAAACGUGUUAAUGUACAAACAUGUGUCAUACACCCCUAAAAUUGAUGGUUCGAUGGUGUAGUCCUAGGGGUAUACCUAUUCGGAGGUCGACGGUCACGUUCUGGGUGCUCGCGACGACUGACAUUAUCAUUUGGCGCAGGUGGUGGUGUAGUAAAAACAGGUCCCUCGCUCGGCAGCGACGAACUUGAUGCACCUGAGGGAGUCCCAUAAUGCUGCGGAUAUGGGCCGGGCGAGUAGGAUCCGAAUAGUUCAAAGUCGUAUGCAUAUUCUGGCCCUGAGAAGCUCGGCAAAUUGUCAGUGCCUGGCAAUUCCGGAUGAUAGCUAUCUGAACCGACAAACCCAGAUUGUUCCGGAUCUGGCUGGGGCUCCUGCUCGGGCUCUGGUGGUUCCGGAGAAUAAUAUGCCAUUAUUUCUUUGUACGUCUAUCCUUUUUAAAUAAAUAAUAAAUAAUAACUCAUACCGCGUUAUUAACCGCAUCAGAUAUGUGGCUUUUUUUGCUAAUCAAUGAAGCCAUUGCGAAGCCUGCAAGUUGAAAAAAAAAGUUAGUAAAAAACUCUUACUUCGGCCAUUUGUUCGUAUUUUUUUCUCCGCAUUUUAUUACUUUAAAAAAUAUCUUCAUUUCUAAUUUUAUAAUUUUACAUAAUGUUUUAAAUUUAUUAAUUUAGUGUGUUUUUAAAAUUAAUUUACUGUAAAAAAACCAUUAUCCCUGCCAUUUACUCGUAUUAUUUAGUGUAUUUAGUGUAAAAUUAAUUUAUAAAUUUACUGUGUUUUUUUCCUUUUUUUAUUCUUUUUUGUUUUUUACUUUUUUUUGAAAUAUUUUGGUAAAUAAUAAAAAUUAUAUAUAUUUUGGUCAAUAAAAAAAGUUGUAAUAUUUUGGUAAUUUUUUAUUUUUUAUAUUAUUUUUUUAUAAAACCCAUAAUAAAACAUUACAAAAAUGAUAAAAUAUUUAAAAAAUUACCAAAAUAUUAUAUAUAUUUUUUAUUUACCAAAAUAAAAAAAUUACUAAAACCGGGUUUUUUAUUUGGUGUAAGAAAAAAAUCCUUAUCCCUGCCAUUUGCUCGUAUUUUUUUCCCGAUUUUUAUUUUCAAUAAAAAUAUAUUUAUUUUUUUAUUUUAUUACUUUAUAUUAUUUCAUUACAUUUUUUUAAAAAUAUUUGUAUUAACUAUUUCUCAAUUUUUUAAAAAGUUAGUAAUACACUAUUAUUUUGGCCAUUUGUUCGUAUUUUUCUCUCCGCAUUUUAUUAUUUUAAAAAAUAUCGUAAUUUUAAAUUUUAUAAUUUUAUACUUUUUCAGUGCAUUAUGUUUACAAUUUAUUAAAGAUAUAAUUUUUUUCGCAUUUUCUUACUUUCGGUGAAUAUAUAAUUUUCGUUUUUUCUUUUCGUAUUUUAUGUUUUCUUAAAUAUAUUUCUUUAUCAUUUUACUUUUAAUGUUAUUUUCCUAACAAAACUAAUUUCAACAUCCUAAGUCAAUUUCAUAAAAAAAAUUCCUAAUCAACAUAUAAUGUACAUACCAUUAAUUUUUUCAUGCUAAAUAUAUCUCAAAAAUUAUAUAUCCUAAAUAAAUUAAUAAAAUACGUAAAAUGUACUUAACAUUAUUUUUUAACACACAAAUAUUGAAAAAAUCUUAAAUUAAUAAUAAUAAUUACCUUAUUUUUUUUUUCCUUCCUUCUUUCCCUCUUCUUCUUCUUUCUUUUUUUUUCCUCUUCUCCUUUCCUUUUCUUUCCUUCUUUUUCUUUCUUUCCUCUCCUUUCCUUUUCCUUCUUUUUCUUUCUUCCUUUCUUUCUUCUUCUUCCCCUCUCCUUCUUCCCCCCACCAACCGGCCACCCUUAAUAUUUAAGGUGGUGCCGCCAACAAGGAAUCCUUGUUUGGUGCCGCCAACAAGGUUUCCUUGUUUGGUGCCGCCAACAGUGUUCCCUUGACCAAGGGAACUGUCAAAUCGGUCCAGAUUUUUUUUUUGUUUUUUUGGUUUUUUUUAUAUAUAUUGGUAAAUAAAAAAAAUUAUAUAUAUUUUGGUAAAAAAAAUGUAUAACAUUUUGGUAAUUUUUUAUUUUUUUUAUAUUAUUUUUGUAAAAAACCCUAGAUAAUUACAUUCAGGGGUGGCACCUGGAAAAAUAUUACAUUAACUUAUUUAUAUUUUAUAAGCUUAUAAAUGAGUAAAUGGAUAAAUUGUACUUUAUCCUCAAAAUUAUAAAGAUAUAAGCUAAUAAAAUGAUAAAAUUACAUAUUAACUCUUAAAAAAAUUCAUAAUUCAAUUUCAACCUCUUAAAGAUAAUUUCUAACUUCGUCGCUAAUUACAUUAUACCUGAAAAUAUAAAAUUAUUUGUCGAUGGAUUCAUAUUAUUUUGCGUCAUAACUGUUUUGAGGAUAAGAUAUUUAUCUAAAAUUUUAAUAAUUCCUUUUAAUCAUAUUUUAAUUAUUAAAUGUUUGGCUUAAAAUAUUUCAAAUUAAAUAUAAAAAGAAAAGGUUAGUAUAAAAAUAAAAUAAAAUAAAAACAGAGAAUGAAGACCCCUUGACCUGUGAUAUGGCCAAAAAUGAACGAACAAUUAGACAAAGAUUGGUGAGCAGCCAGGAAUUGGUGUGGUUGCUUAAGUUUAUAUUUGAUAGACAAAUGAAAAUUGAGUGCACACAACUUAAAAUAUUGUCUAUUAAAAUCCUAUUUUAGGAUCAAAGUUUGUUUUUAUCAAUUCAGGUUCGCAUUGCCCAAAUCACCCUUAGCCAUAUCUUAAUUUUUAAAUUAAUAUUUAGACUAUACUCUAAUUUCACUUUUUUUAUUGACCACUCUUUUUUUAAAUACCUCAAAUACCAUUAUGAAAAUUGGGUAUAAUUUGGAAAUCAAUUAGGUAAUAAAGCGUUAUUAUUAUUAUUAUUAUUAUGUAAUGCAUUAUCAGUGUAUACGUCUCAUACAGACACAUUAAGGGGUAAGCAAAAUUCGAUUCGAUUCUAAAAAAUAAAAAAAAAUCGAAUUUCGAGUUGAUCGAAUUGAUCAAGUUAUUCGAUUUUUUCGAGUCAACUUGAGUUCGAGUCAGGUUGAAUUUUACAAUUUGAGUAAUAGAUUAGUGUUAAUACCCCUUUGAUCCCUAUCAAUUUUGAAAAUGAACAAAUUAGUCUCUCUUAACAAAAAUUACAAAAAAAAAAGAUAAAAUAAUUUUCAAAUUUUCAAAAUAUUUAUAAAAAUUCUAAAAUUUAUAUUUAAAAAAUAAAAAAAUUUUAAUUUUUUAAACAACAUAUAAAGAAAGUUAAAAUUUUUAAAAAUUUCUAAAACAAUAAUUUUGGGACCUAAAUAGGUAAAUUAAUGAUUCAAGUUAAACAUAUUAAAGUAUCUUUUUUUUUCUUAUUUUGCUUUGAAAAAGUUUUCAAAUAUAUAUGGUUUCAAAUUUAUGUGCUCUAAUAUCAAAUUAGUUAUAUUAUAACAAGAUUUUAAUUUGACAUGCUUAAUUUUUUAAUUUAACUCGAAUAAUUUCAUUUCACUCGACUUGAUUCGAAAAAAGGAUGAUAAAUAGGACUUGUCAACUCGAUUAACUCAAAAUUUUUUCACUCGAUUCGAUCGAACGCUCACCCUAGACACAUCAAUCAUUAGAGUAAAAUUAAAAAAAAAAAUUGAAGAACUUGAAAAUAAAUACAUUUAGCUUUAUUUAAACAUAAUUUAAUAUUAAUUAUAAUUAUUUUAUUUCUCUUUCGGGUUAUAGGUUUGAUUUAAUAUUUAUUUUCAAAAUAAAGUUAUUUAUAUUGAUUUUUAAAGUCUUCAAUUUUUUUUUUACAACAUUAAUGAUAUAUCAUUUUAUUAUUAACUAACUAAUGGUGCAUAAAAUCUAUGCACUAAUUGGAUCAACUGUUAUUACAUCAGUGCAUGUGCAUAGGCCACAUUUCAUAACCAAAUUGGAUCAACUAGUUGAAUGACUCAAGAACCAAUUUAAAAUAAAAGGUUGGAUCAACCAACCUACAAAUUGAUUGAACUAAUUUGUCAAAUCUGUCAAAUCAAUUAAACCGAGUUAAAAAAAAUCAAUUAAACCAAUAAUUACACCCAUUGAACUGAUUUUCUCUACUUUUUAAAAAUAGAUAUAUUUUAUUUUUAAUAAUUUAUUCAAUUAAAUCGGAGAAAUCAAUCAAAUUAGAAACCGUUCGGCCAUUACUUUUAAAACCUUGGCAUAGACUUAAUAGAAUCCAAAAAAAUCCAAAUCCGAAAAAAGAAGGAACCUGAAUCCUAAACACGAAAAGAAUCAAACCUGAGAAAAUAUCAAGCUCGAAAAAACUUCAACAUGAAAAGGCCAGAAUCUGAAAAUUGAUAAACAAAUAAACUCAACUAUUUCACACAUUGAAACAUACAACUGAAUUUACGAAAUAUCCACCUUUUUCACCGUAUGUUCCUAAAUUUCUAUAUGUAAAGGGGAAAAAAAAGGGAAAAUCUUCUUGCAAAAAUUAGCACAAAAAUCAUUUACAGUUCAACACACUGUUUAUGACAAACUUAAGAACCCGGAUGCUGGCGGUUUCUGAGGCAGAUGUCGUGGACAUGCUUUGUAAAUGAUCCACAAUCUGAGACACCUGCCUAAAGAUUGGUACCACAUGCAUGGCUAUUGUCGGAUCCGAGGGGAUUAUGGCAACAGCUACAUCAGUCAUCCAUACAAGCUUUCUACUUGUUUCCUUGUUGAUAUCACAAGCCAGUUGCUGAAAAAGUGCCAGCAAUACUCCUUGGCUCAGUGGACAUGGUUUCAUUGACAAUAUCCCUUGCAGAUUAACCUGGUUAAUUCAGAUCAGACCAAUGUCAGGUCUCAAAGAGUUUUCUUGUCAUGCACAACAAGGGUUGUUGGAAAAUAAUGUCAAAGAGUACAACUAGUUAUUGGAACUUACCUGAGAACACAACCAGGAAACUAUAGAGACAUCGCUUCUAUGCAGGGCUGAGGUGAAUGCUUCUUCAUAUUUCUUUUCAGCUAUCAAUCUUGCUAACUCUUUAGUUGGAUCUAAGUGUGCCUCAGGCUGCGGUACACGUAUAACAUCGGUGUGAGGCAGAUGAAUAGUGACUGUCAGAUUCAUGAGAAACAGAGAGAGGGGAGCAUACCAUCUCAUGCAGAUGAGUCAGUGGUCCAUUACUCAAUUGUGAAACCAAGGGAUUUCCUGCAUUGGAGUUGCCACCUGCAGCUGCUAUAGCUAGAAGAUUUCGUUGCGCGUUGGCCAGUUCACCACUUAAGGUUUGUGUGAUUGAAGUUGCAGAUUUAAUAGCUUCCUGCAAAUAUAAAGCAGGUCAUCUUAAAAGAGUUAGCUGUACCAGAAGGUUUGUGUGAUUGAAGUUGCAGAUGUAAUAGUUUCCUGCAAAUAUAAAGCAGGUCAUCUUAAAAGAGUUAGCUGUACCAGCAAAGUCAGUAAUACAGGCAAAAACUUUGCAUAAACAGGAAAGGUUGCCUUUGUACGUUUCAUCAUAUUGGACAUCAUUAAAGCUGGCUGGUAACAACAUUAUAUUCCCGAAACAAUCAUCCAUUAAUGAUGUAAAGUUCUUGGGAACAAAGAAGUCUAGUACCCUAAAGCCUAAUACUCUCCAUAAAUAUUAAAGGCCAUCCUUCUAUGGUUCAAUUCUAUGCAUGUCAGUGUAAAAGAACCAUGUUAUGAUACUAUAUUCCUAGAAUCUCCCAUUCAGAAUUUAUCUUGGUAGCACACAUGGUUAAGCUGGCAAUAAGAUUUUCCCGGAAUAUGUUCGGUUAAAGGCAACCUCUAUUGCUGUAUGCAACUCAUUAUGCAAAAUCAUUCAAUCUUAGCUAUAAAGAAAAAGGGCUAAAAUACACUCAUGCAACUUGUCCAAGAAAAGAUAUUAAGUUGGCAACUGUAACCAAGACCAGUAAAAUUAGUAUAUAAAAUGAGAAGGAAAUUUAAUUAUAUUUUAUCAUAGUUAUGCUACAAGAAAGGUAACCUUUGACAUUUUUAAUACAUUAAAGUGGGAAUUAAGUCACAAUGAGAGAAACCACCGAACUGUCAACAAUCUACCAUACCUGUAGAGCAGCAGCAAGGGAAGAAUGUGAAUUUUCAAAUUGCUGCUGAGCAGUUGCUGUGUGUUCUAUUAGCCCUUUAUGAAAUGUGACAUCAAUUUGCUCAAACAUUGAUUUGCAUGACAUCUCAAAUGCUGGAAUAACAGAAGUUUCCAAGCUAGAUCUCAGUGCAUCCUGUGGACAAAUCCAGAAUUUCUCUAAUCAGCAACAUUAUCCAACUUUAAAUUUUAAGAUAUAUGAACAUUCAUUCCAAUAAAAAAAGUUAGCAGAAUGUCACUAGGGAGGAUGACCAUUAGAGACUAAAAACAAAAAGAAAUAACUAGAAAACUCAGCACAGUUUUUGGACAUUCAUCUGAUGGAUUCUAAAGCCAAAAAGUUUUCCUUAGGAGACACUAGGCAGGUGUCUAUUCCCCCACCCCACCCACCUCUCUUAUCAACUAUUCAACUUUAAAUUCAGAGUAGUCUAAGUUCAACCACCUAUAUCAACAUAAACUAGAGGGAAAAAUAGGAACAGGAAUUUUAUGCAGAAUGGAAUUUAGAGUUGCUACCAGUCCAUAAGGGAAGCUCAUACAAUUAGUAAGGUAAAAUUGAUCUAUUGAAUUUGGUGAUAUUGGACAGUACAUGUAAUUGCAUUUUACAAUAAAGGUAGACAUCUCUAUGAAAGGUUAUGAAUUACUUUUAGAACUGUCCAUAAGUAAUUUGAAUGCUUAUUUGCCAAACAAGAAUACAGUCACCAAUCCUAGCUAUCUAAAUUCUUAUAAAUAAACCUUUAUCAUCUAGAAAUAAAUUAUCCUUCAUUAUCAAGUUGUAAAAGAGGGAAAAAGAAAAGCAUGGCAAGGUUCAAAUCAGCUCAAUAAUGAAAAACAACCAACUACAUAAGAAAGAAAAUAGUUGAACAAGAAAUCACCUGAAGUGCUUGCUUUCCAGUAGUUUGAAAUUGUGCUUGGAUUUGCCUGGCCACUGUUGCUUCAAGUUUUGAACUGACUGACUUCUCCAAAUGAUUCACUGCCCUCUCCCCAAUGCCUUUCUGCAAAAUACCCAAUUAAAAACCCCAUUAAUAUAACAAACACAAUUUUAGUGGCUUAAGGCAAUUGAAUACCACAUUUUACUGCAUUUAGAGGACAAAAUUCACUACUUAUGAAUGAAGCUGAAAGAUGAACAGCAACAGAUUGUUUAGAAACAUUUGAGGCUUCACCAAAAUUUACCCAGAAACAAGGUAGAAGAUAGGACAAGAACGAACUUUACAGCAUAUUUUCAAUGAUAAGAUCAGCUCUAUUUAAGAUCAGUUAAAGUGUUAUUUAGCAUGUGUUUCCCCAAACAAAAGAGUGUUUAGGUAUAUUUUUCUUUAACGCAUCAGUAUCAUAAAAUUCAACAGAAAACAAUAUAUUAAAUAUAAAAUUCUUACUAUAAAUAUCACAUUGAACCAAGCCAAGAGGCACCUGUUAGCAUUUCCCAUAGGAUAUAAUUGCUGCAUUUCCUAUCAUGUCAUCGUUUAUAAUGGUGCUCUGUCCAAAUAAAUGACCACCGCAGUCUUAUGGGACACAAAACAAUCUGAUAUGUCAACAGAAUUUGGAUUUUUGUUUUUACCUGGAAUGACUCUGUAAUAGCAGAAGAUAUACUUUUCUCCAGAGUGGGACUAAUAGCACGAGCCACAACAGGGCCAACUGCAGCUAUUUCCUUCUUUAAGGAUUUCUCAAACAUGGCUGGCAAGUCCUUAUUUAAACAGUUGGUGAUCAAAUUUGUUAUCUGCUGCAUGCGGUCUCUCUCUAACUUCUCUUGUUUUGCAUUUUCAUCUUGGAUACGGGCCCACAAAGCAUCUGUGUUUGCCUUUACAGCUUUCUCAAUGCUCCUGCCCAAGGAUGCUUCCAGUCUUUUCCCUUCUUUGUUAACAGGAGCAGAGACAAUUGCAUUCAUCUGCUUCUGCAUUUCCUUCUGCACGCUAAGGGACUGCUUGGUGCAACAAAAACAUUAUAGUAAGAAGACUAUACGACAAACAUUAACACACACAAAUAAGCGUGUUUAAAGAGGAGAUUCUUCAAUUUUAUUCUAAGAGAAACGAUUCUUUCUUCAAAAAGUUGUUUAUUGUAUUUUUUAAAAAACUACCUGCUCAAGCAUAUCCCGCAUGGCCAGCAAUUGGGGGAAAUUAGCAUCAGCUGACAGAGCCCCAGAACUGCAACCUGGUUCAUUAGAUGAAUCCGUGGAAUUAUAUGGGCUAGCUGAAGGGGAAGAUGGGACAGAUACUUGAGAAUUUUUCUUCUUCUGCUUUUUCCCUUUAGCAGAAGCUGGAGAUGGGGAACCAGUGAUGGCAGUGUUUGUUUCACCAACCUUUGGAGGGGCAUUUUUAAUCACAUUCUGGUCACCCCCAUCACCAGCAUUAGUUAGUCUAUCUGCUUGAACCAAAACACCCAAGUGAUUAGCUUGUUGAGCUCCCUCAAUGCCAUAACUUUCUACACAAAAAUCUCUAGCCAUCUGAAUGCCAAGUUCUGAUGCCUGUGAGUAGAAGGCCUUUUCUUUGUUAUCUCCAACUGUAGUAUGAGAGCCUUGUGAAUAUUUAGUCUCACCAAGAACAUCAACUUCUACCUCUACACUUUCAGCAUCAUUCUUGACCACAUCUUUGAUUGUUGCCUCACCCUCAUUAAUAACCUGACUGAUUUGUGCAUUUUCUGUCGAUGAAGACACGGUAGACAAUAUCUCUGAUGGUGUUACCAGAUGGGUUGGAUGUUUGAACACUGCAAUAUCUUCACCUUUCUGCAAGUUCUCACCUGCGUAGGGCACUUCAACAUUAUUCUCUUUAACCGUGUCUACUUUGUGAUCAACAGAAUGAUCAGGUGCUGAGCGGUUAACAUGAUCAACACUUGAUGGAUUUCCAAAACCAGAAGACUUCCGUGAUAACCUUGGACUUAAUGGAAGUGGAGGUGUUGCAAUGUGCACAUUUUCAGCACUACUACCAGACAGCAAAGCACUUGGCUUAAUUUCCAUGCCAGACACAGCACUCUCAGAUAUGAAUGUAACCUCUGAAGAAGCUACGUUUUGUGAACAGCUCGCCAUGGCAGCGCUUUCAGAGCUACUGUAGUUUAUAGUCUUCUCAGUUGGUUUAUAUCCAUGAGAUAAUUCCUGAGAAGCAGAACCAUCAGAGUUCAUGGCAUCAGAAACAUGAGCAACAUUAGAAUCAGUUUUAUCCAAGUCUGUGUUUUCCAGGGGUGGUGGUAGGCACUGAGACAAGUCCAAAGCAUAUUGCUGAAUAGCCUGUGUUUGAACACAGUAGACUUGGACAGUAUAUUCUCCACCUGGCAAACUAUCACUUGUUCCCGUGAGACUCAAUAUAGGCAUUGUGACAGUGAAUUCAGCUAUGUAAUCCAUGCAGGUAGCUGCAGGAUUAUGCCCAUAUUCUAUGUGUACAGCAUAUAUAGCAUUCUUCUUGGCAUUUGCAAGCAGAAACAGGCCUGCAUGGGGCAGUGCCAAAACUUGAUUAAAGAAUGCAUUGUCAACCUCAGACUCAGCAGAACACCUCAAUUCCAAUGUCUGCAUACACUGCCAUGAUUCACCAUCACUGGGCAACAACCAGCCCUCUUCACCUGAAGAGGCCCAUAUCUUCACUUCACGGUUUAGUGGGCCCUAUAGGUAAAAAGACAAUAGAAAAUUAGACACUUGGCAUAAUGAGAAGAGAAUUUAUGCCACAUUACCAACACAACAGCAGAAGUAAUUUUCUGUCGAAAUCACAAAAGCUUCAUAUGGUCAUAGAAAAUGUUUUAUAAAAAAGGUAAAGACAAUCUAAAAAGGAAAAGAAACAGAGGCCUACUCCGGUGAUAAGAACAAUAUGAUCAGGGCGAUGUGGGGCAGUCAAGAAUGUUGCCGAGUAAACAGGAUGUCCAUCAUGUGGCCUCAACACUGCAAGUGGUAUGGGCUUACGAUCUUCCCAAAUUUUCACCUGUCACAGAAAUUUACAGUUUCCAUAAAUAUCAUUACCAAAUUGAAGAAUGAAUACAUAUGGCCUGCUGUGAAUCUAAGCAUACUGCUUAAUGGAACAACUGGCACAAGUCGGACCAAAAACUUCAAUUUUCUGGGCCUUAAAAUGUCAAUAGCUGUCAGGUACUUGAUUUGCAGUAUUGCCGCAUUAAUAGUAGUUUAUGGUCAUAAUGAGAAAAUCGCUUUGGACAGCCAAAAACCUUUUAUAUGCAUUAAAAUGGCUCAACAUGCAUCACUACAACCAUCAUGUUAGAUGGAAAUAAAACAUUAUCAGGUUUACAUGUCAAGUUCUGUCAUGGUAGUAAAACCAUUGAACUUCAAAGAGGUUGUCUGUGUUAGAGAUAUGACAAUCAUUCAACUUUCAAUUUUUCCUUCUUUAUUUUUUUCCAGGAGCAACUGUAUUAAGAACUAAAAUAGAGAGAAUAAAUCAGUAAAUAAGGAGAAGAGUAAGUACAAACCGUGCCAUCUACUGAAGCUGAAGCUAAACGGGUAGUCAACCAUUGGCACAUUGACAACUCAGUAAUCUCACCAUCAUGUUUGCCAACAAACUGAACCCCAUCAAUAAGCUUAUCAACAGAGGUAUUAAGAGGUUCCUCUGCUGAAAAUCCAUCAAGUUUUCCAACUUUGAUUGUAUCAAUUUUCAGGAUACGAUUUCCGAUAGCAACCAUCAAAAUCUCCUGUUAGAUAAUAUUUGUUGAACAUUUACAACACGGAAAAAAAAUAUGGACAGGAAAAGCAAGACUAUAGAAGAUAUACAAAGACUUGGCAUAAUAGUUACUAUCUGAUAACAUCAAAUACAAACCGAUUUAUUACUUGUUUGUGAGGAUGCCAGCAGACUCGUGGAUGUUUUGAUGAUUCUUGCCCUACGAUCUGAAGGGCAAUAACAACUUUGCCAAAAAUUUGCGGCUUAUCUUCAUCAUCAGGUCCCUCAUUGAUCCUCCAUACAAAAACCCGGCCAUCAACACUUGCACUGCAGAAAAUGAAAGAUGAGCACUUUUUGAUGACACAAAUGAAGUCAAUUUAUCCCAUGAAAUAAGUAGAAAAGAGUACCUGGCCAAAAGGUGGACAUCCUCAGCAAAAAAAGCCAUAUCUGUUACUCUCUAUAUUUGGAGAAACAAAAUGAAUGAAAAGGUUGAGCUGGUAAUAAGAUGUUUCACAAUAGGAACUUGAUAAUAGAAAAGUGGGUAUAAAGAGAUAUAUACCUGAGUGUGGCCACGAAGCAAGGACCGGAGGGCAGUGUUGAUGUUGAGGAUACGUAUAUUCCCAAGCUUGAGACCAUAGCAAAUGUAAUUCCUAUUAACAGCAAUCUGACGACCAAGAACAAGGCCAGGAUCAGAUGCGUACUUGGUAAUGGGAGUGACCUCAAGUUGGGGUUGUACUUCACUGGGUAGCCUGACAUGAAUAUCGUAAAGGAGAUUGGUCCCAGAGAGAUGCCUGCCCUUCGGGACCUUGCUGCUCAACAGUCGGGCAGGUGAGGGAGAGGGCGAAGGAGCAGAUGGGGUGACAGUCAUAUUAAGAGGCGGGGCAGAAGGGACGGGAGCAGGAGCUAGUGACUGAGCUUGAGUGCCAAAGAAGGCCAUCAAAAUGUCGUUUCCGGAAGUAGGAGGGGUGGGGAGUUGGGGUUGGGGAUGAUAAGGAAUGGGUCCAGUAGGAUUAGGAUGAGGAUGCAAAGGGUGUUGGGGUUGAGGAGGAGGAGGGUAAGGAAGGUAGUGGUGGAAAGGGUAAGGCCCAGUAGGCGGAGGGUAAGAGGAAGAAGGCGUCAAAUAGGGCGGUGGAGGCGGCGUUGAGGAUUGGGCUGGGAAAGAUGGGGAUGUAGUAAGGUUUGAAGUGUUAGGACUUGGAGUUGGACUUGGAGAAGUUGCUGUCACGUUCACGUUCUGAAGAUGCUGAUGCUGCAACAUAGGGCUAGAACUGGGUUUAAACAGCUUGUUCAAAUCAAACCCACCGCUGCCACCACCGCCACUUUGCGGUUGAGGAUUGGGAUUUGAAGCCAUCCAAUCCCAAAUCCAAAAAAGAGAAAAUAAAAAGAAAACGAUGAAAUCAAAGGCUUGUUGAGAUCUUACUUUAUGUGAAACACAAGGAACAAGAGGGUUUCAUGGAUCCGCUUGCUUCGAUUCAGAUCAGAAUCCAAGUUUUUAGAUUAUAUCGAUUCUUGAAUCUCUUGCUCCCCACUUUCUUCUCCUUUGGGUGGCCCAGACUGGAUGAUGACUCGAAGACGCCAAUAAACUAUAUAAAAAUGAAAAACACCAACAGGGGAGGCGAGGCUUUCAGUUUUAUUAGUUAAGUAAUUUUAUUAGUAGACCAUUUCAGGACUGUACAAAACCAGGGAUGAACGCUACUACACCCAAAGUGGUAUCAAGCAAUUUCGAUACUACACCCAAAAUGUUAAAUAUCAUAUAAUCAAGUUAUUUCAAUACUAAAUUUUCAAGUUACGUUGCUAGUUAAAACUCAAUGAUUUAAAGCUCAAAGGAAACACUCAAUAGUUUAGGAUUUUGGGCAAUUUUUUUUUCUUCGGUUUAAUCAAUUCAAUCCAUUCGGUUUGAUCAAUUCAAUCGAUUCAAUUAAAAAUUAAAAAAUUCAGCUCAAUCAAUUUUUUUAUUCGAUUUAAUCAAUUCAUACAGAUUCCCAAAUCAACUGGUUCAAAAUCAUUCUCAAAACUAAUAUUUGAAUUGAUUCUUUAUCCAUCUAAUCGAUCUGAUUCGAUUUAUAUAACAUUAAUUUUGAGUUGAGAUUUAAGGUUUAAAGGGAAGAGUUUUAUUAUUAUUAUUAUUUUGAUUGUAAUAAAAAUAAUUAAAUUAUAAAUUUUGGGUCAAAAAUAUUUUUAUUAUUAUUUUAAAUAUAAAAAUACUUAAAUAUUAAAAAAAGUUAGAAGACAAUACAAAGGGACGAAAAUGGAUCCUACCUUACCUCCUUCCUUAACAUUGUCUAAAGAUAUAAUGCUAGGGUCAAAAGUUGAGGUUUGGGAUGGAAAUAGGAUUAUUAGUUGAGAUUUUAGGUUUGAGUUUAGGAUUUUAUGUUUAAGAUUUUUAUUUAGGAUUUAAGUUUUAGGUUCAAAGUUAGAGGUUUGAAGAUAGGUGUUUGAGGUUCAUCGGUUGCAUUCAAAGUUCAGGUGUUGAAGUUUAAAAUUAAGUUUGAGACUUAAGUCGAUGUUCAAGGGUCAAGACUUAAGGAUUAAUAGUUUUAAGGUUUCGGGUUGAGGCUUAAAGUAUUGGGUUCAUUUCCAUUAUUUGAGUCCUAUAGUCUAAAUUCUACAUAUGCCUUAACUAAGGUUAAUGAUUUCGAGGUUGUAGUUUAAGAUGAUAACUCUCGGCGAGUUAUUUAGUAUAAUUUUCAUAAUAUAUUAAGAGUACUUUCUAGCUUUUAGGUUAGUUUUUAUAUAUUUUUGGUUAAUUAUAUUUUAUUUACAUUUUUAUUUAUUUUUCAUUAUUUUUAGGGUUAGGUCGAAAUUAAUUAUUAUUUUCCUUUUUCUUUUCCAUUGUAGGCUCGAAAUGAAGAAUGAAAGAGAUAGAAUAUAAACUAAAAGAUGGUGAAAAGAUGUCUUCUAUUCCACCAAUCAAAUUAGUGUUGGAGCUUUUCUGUAAUUUAGAAAAUUUGGUAGUAAAUAACCCAUUCCACUACAAUUAUUUAUUCAAUGGAGCACCAUAAUAAAAAAAGAAUUUAAGGGUUUUGUGAUUAAAAACUUUGAAGAAAAAUAAGAGUAAGAACUUACUUGGAGGCAAAAAGAAAACUUUUUCACAUAAAGGAAACUUUAAGCUUGCAAAGGCAUGAAAAAAGGGGAUCCGGAGAGUUUAGUACAAAUUCUUUAUAUAUUUUCUCUCUAGAUUCUUUCUUUUACAUUUUAUUAAUGCAAGAUUGUUAUGAGUAUCUCUUUGCGAUGUUUUCUCAACUUCAAAUGAACUAAAUUAUAUUUUCCUCGGAUGAUGAUGGAUUACAUCUUAGUUGAUUGAUUAUUUAUCUCUUCAAUUAUUUUUAUUUAUGUUAAUUAUUUAUUCAAUUUUGUACUUAUUUAAUUUGCAUGUUUGAUCAUCAAGUCGUAUUAAUUUGAUUACCUUAAUUUAUCUUAGGAUUAAGGUUAAGUUCUAAAAGGAAUAGAUUAGUGUCGAUGAACGAGUUAAUUUGCGAUUAGGAUAAAAAUAUACAUGAUGCCCUAAUCAAUAUGAUGGAAUUAUUCUUAAUGACUUAACCAGAUUACCUGCGUAGUAUAAGAGUAUAAAGAGUGUGUCACAUCCCAAAAUUAGGUCUAGAAAUUUUGAGGGUAAUUUUGGAAUUAUGGUACGAAAUGAGUUUGGAAAUUUGGAAUGUGGUAACCCAAAAACAUCUUCAUCUAUGGCUUUUUGAAAGUUAAAUCAAUUUUUGAAAAGGAUAUAGAAAAGAACUUUAAUUUUAAAAUAUGGACUAUUUUGGAAAGGGGCUAAAAUUAGGAGUAUCACAAAGGUAAAUAUACCAAAGUUUAAAAAUUGCCCUAUUUUCUUUUCCCCCACUUACACUAAACUCACUAAAACUAUUCCCCCAUCUUUUAUUGUCAUCCCUUUUCACCCAAUUUGAAUUUCCAAACUUCAAUUCUUUUGAUUUUCAUCAUCUUCCAAGCAUUAAACCUUCCUAAAAUUCCAAGAAAAGCAUAAAAAAAAACCACUAAUUUUAGCAUUUUUCAACUUGUGGGUUUUUUGGAUUGUCAACCAAACGCUUGUUUUUCUUUCAAGGAAGGUAAUGUUUCGUUUUUCUAUUAGUUGCUAAUGAUAUUUAGCCUUUUAAAUUGAGUUUUUAUUCAUUGAAUCAGAAGUUUUGAAUAGAUGUCAAAAUUUGAGUUGUUAAUGGUGGAAUUUGGGAUUUUGAAUGAGUAGUUUAGAGUAGUUUAGAGUGGUUUGAAGGUUGAGAAUCAUUCUUAGAUAAAUAAUUAGAUAUUGGAAUCAAUUGUAAGCAUUGAGAACUAGUAGGAUUUAAGAUAUUUGAGUUUUGAAUUUGCAAGUCGAAAAUUUCAAUUCCAAGAGGAAGAAACCUUAAACUUGUGUUUUUGAUUGUUUGGGUGUGUAUAUAGCUGUAAUUUAAUUAUGUUUGUUGUGUGGCCAAUUUUGGCGAAGAUUUGGAACCGUUGGAGCCUUCAACUAGUAAGGCAAAAGGAAAGAAAAAGCUAGUUUAGGCUUUUGGCAUCUAGGCAAAAGGACGAAUAGUGAGUGUUUGGAAUCACUGCUUGUAGACAUGAUUUAGUGUUAAUCGAAAGCUUAGGAAUAGCCUAAACCCCUAUCCUAAGUUUCGAGUGUAAGCUUUCUUAUACCCCUUGUUUAAUGUAAAGUAUGUGAUAUUGUGAAGUGGAUUGAGUAUUAAGUUGUGAUAAUGUGACAUGUGAUAUAUAUUGUGAUAGCUCUUGUGAAUGUGUUAGUUGUGGGCAUAUUAAACUUGCCGAAUGAUAGUGAUGAUGUUGUGUUAGCAAUAUAAAUAUGCAAUGAAAGUGUGUAGAAAACGGUAAGUACAUAUGUAUUGAAUUGUGAAAUGUGAUGAUGAUGUGACAGGUAAAGUAAGUGAAUAUUGGUAUGUGGUAUAUGAUAAUCUAAUUUUUAAUGCAUUCAUAUGUAAAUAGCUAUGUGAUUGCUCAAUGAGAAAAGUUGUGACACUUACAGUGUAAUUAAAUAUGAAUCUAAUAAGUGUGUUAUGUGUACAAAUUAUGAUGUGAAUUGAUGUUUAUGAACAUAUAUUAAGUGCAUAAGAACAUUAAUUAAAUGUGUGUAUUUGUGGAUACUUUGGCCUUGUGAUCUCAUGAAACCGUUGGAUAUAGUUGGCAUGCCAUAGGAUUGUGAGUACUCACCCUUGUGUUUUGUGAUUUGGGCAUUGAGGCUCCGAGACAGAUUGGAGGGAUAAGGGAAUGUUGAGCCAAGCUCCAUUCACUGAGAUAUGUUGGUGUGUUGAAGAGUGUUUAGCUUAAUGCUACACUUAUGGGAUAUGUUAGACUCUUUAAGUAAUUAGUGUGAUAGAGAUAUGUGUAUCCAAUAUGUGGUAUAGAUCCCACUUUUAUGUUUCAUGUAUCCAAGUUGCCAAAUUAUCAUUAAUUGAUUAAUACAUGAAAAUGCUGUGUGUAAAUGCAUGUGAAUAUAUAAGCUAGACUUAAGGGUCAUUAAAACAUGAAUACGUUGUUUUGUCUUAAUGAAUUAUUGUUAAAUGGAUCAUAUAUAUACGAGUUGAGUGUAAUUGCAUGUGAGAGUAUAUGCUAGUUUUAUGAUUUAAUGAAGCGUCAAUAUAUUAUUUUGACUUGGUUAGAAUAUGGUUGUGAAUAUGUUGUAGCGUACUCUUGUUUUAACUUUUGAUGUUAUGUAUGCUUUGUGGUUAUUCCGACAUUCACUGAGCUUGUUUAAGCUCACUCACUCUUUCUAACCAUUGCAGAUAUUUCGCGUUGGUGGUGUGUGGUGCAAUUCCAAGGAAGUGAUCCAAGUUAGGCUUUAGAUUUUAAGUAGGUAAUAUUAUUAUUAUUCGUUGAACUAUGGAAAUAAAGGCAAUGUGGUUAAAACUUUGGCUGGUUAUUAUUAUGUUCUUGUUGGUUUAGUAUGAUUGUGAACUUUUAGAAUUUUUUUUGGUAAUUAUUACUAUUUUUUAUUGUUAUUACCAUGAUUUGGGUCGACAAGGUAAAAUGUUGCGUUGGACAGUGUUUUGGGUAAAUUUGAUGCUUCACACUGUGGUGGUUAAUGCAUGUUAGAAUAAAGAUAUGUUGAGCAUGUUUAAUACUCUAUUUUGCCGUGUUUUUGCGAAUCUGAGUAGAGGUAUUGAUACUCAGGACAUAAAAAUCGAUACCUUGGAGUGGAAUUGUAUACUUGCGAAGUCAGUAGCUUAAUUUGGUAUCGAUACUCAAUCACGAGUAUCGAUACUCGAGGUGAAAAUACCAAUAACUUUUCCCAUGUAUCGAUAAAAUGAUUUUGUUUAAAAUUUGACAGAAUCUAGUUUGGUAUCAAUUUCUUACUAGUAUCGAUACUUAUCUUCCAAAAUAUCGAUACUUGUGAUGACGUAUCAAAUAAUCCCUACGCAUGUUUUUUAAAUUAUUUCUAAUGUUGACUAAGGUAUGUUAAGUCAUUUUAAAUGUUGCCUAAGAUGAUUAAGACUCAUUACUCCUCUAAAUAUUUGAAAGUGACGAUGGUUGCAUGUAUUUGAGACUAUGUGAAUAUGUAUGAGUUUGAUGUUUGAUGUAGUGUCCUGUUACUUGGGCUCGACGAACGGGCCGGGUAUAGGGUGUUACAUAGUGGGGAAGAGAGAUUAACUUAGAUACAAAAGGGUCUAACUAAUGUCAUUGAAUUUUAGGUUAUUAAUGACAUAGAUUAAACAAUUGAAUAAUGGAUGAUUGAUUAACAAAAUUAAGUGAAUUUAGACUUCCAAAUUCAUAAAUAAUAAGAAUCUGAAAAAGAUUUCAUUGGCUUUAGCUUGUAAAAUCCUUAUAAUUUGCUUAGUUUAAUUUUAGUAAUAAUUAUAAUUUAGUUUUUUUUUAAUUUCUCAAUGUAUUUACCGGAGUGAGCCCAAUAACUAACCCUUCACAUUCUAUAGGCCCAUUAUAGGGUAGAUGUUGGCCAUGAGUUUUAAAGUUGCUCCAUACCCGAGGCGAGGAUCAAACUCUCGACCACUGGUUUCUUCAUAUUGUUUGAUUGACAUGUUCAUUUGCGCAUGCAAAUUUAGUCAUCAUAGGGUCUAGGGUAUAAUGUUAAGGGUCAAAUGUUGAGGUUUGAAGUUCAAAAUAAGGGCAAGGGAUCAAGUUUUAGGUUUGAGUUUGGGGUUUGAUGUUCAAGGUUUAAGUUUUAAGUUCAAGAACAAGAUUCAAGGGUAGAUAUGGAAGGAUAUGUGUUUGAGGUUUAGGGUUUGAGUUGCGAGAUUCGAGGUUUAAUAACAGGGUUGGGUUCAGGAAGAAAAUAACUUUAUAUAAGGACCUUGUAGGCAAUUUACUAUAUUUUCAUCCUAAUUUAUAUGGUGAUGGAACAAAAAUGACUUUAUAUUGUGACCUAGUAGGGAAUUUACUCUUUGUUUAAAGGAUAUGAUCAUUUUAUUUUCAAAUGAACAAAUAUUUUCAUUUUAUUUUUUCUAGUUGUAAAGGUGAAAUAAAAUUUAUAAUUAUAUGUCAAAAGCUUCUCAAAUUAACUUUUAGUGUUAAGUGUUCCAAGAGUUAAUAAGUGAUGUUGGGUGGGUAUUGCACAUGUGUAGUUUCUUUCUCGGUGUGUUAGGUUUUUUUUUCUCCACCCGAUCUUGUUAUCUUAUUUUCUUUGUUGGUUAUGUAAUUCCUAAUCAAUUGUAAGGAACUCAACAUGGAAUAUACUAUAUGAAAAUCAAUGUACUUGUUAAUAUUUCAUGCAUGAUUCGGCAUCUAAAACCCAUCAUGCAAUUUGCUAUACAUAAAUAAUUUUAUUUGUUAUUUGUUAAUUGUUAAUACUUUUUUAGAGAACAAAUCUUUUAUUGCAAAACUUUUAUAUAUUACAAUUUAUACAUUGGUAAAAAAAAAAAGGUAAUACACAUUCUUUGGUAGUAAAAAGGAUUAUCAACUUUGGUUCAUCUAGUUUUGUCCAUUUUUCUUUUUAUUCCUUCCAUUUGAUUUGCAAUUUGCUUUCUGUCUGAGGAAACUUAGUCAUUCUAUUUUUCUAAUAGUGAUGACAAAUAUCACAUUAUGUAAGAGUCCCAACAAGUAAUUUUCUAUUUUAUUUGGAUUUUUUUUAUUGUUUUGGUAUUGUAAGUUAUAUCGAAAGACUCAAGAAAUAUAAAGAAGAUCAAGAAUGUUUGUAAAAAGCCACUAAAGAGUCUAUUUAUAGGUUAGUUUAGAAAAAUAACAUAAAUUUGAUUUUCUAGUAUCUAAAAUUUUUAUGAUGUAAUAAUUCAUUUUUAUUGUUGUUUCGUAUUGUAUUUGUAAAUUUUGUCCAUUUAUUAGGAUUUUUUUUCCUUUUUAGAGAAAAAUAAUAAAGAAAUUAUUUGGCUUGUGUCUUUGGUUUUAGAUUUUUUUUUGUUUUCUUGUGACAAGGGUGAAAGUACACCUAAGUUUUUCAACAUAAAACCUUUAAUUUUUGCAAGUGUGCGAAUCAUUGUCAAGUAAGGAAUACAAUGAAAAUGCUUUCUAAGGAAAAAAAUCGAGGAUCUAACCCAAGGGAUGGAUGUCGAGAGGUAAAUUUAAAGGAUAAUUCGUCCAAUUAACUUCAAUGAAGCUUUAAAUUAGUGAUCAAUUAAAUUUCCAUGUAGGAGUUUAACUAAGCAAAUUCAUGAUUUGCUAAACUGCUUAAGGCAUUGAUAACCUUGGAUUUUAGGCACUUAAGGCUCUCUCAAUGCUCUUAGGCUCUCAACUAAGCUAUUGGACUAAGGUUACACCCUAACCCUGAUGUUCCUAGAGUAGUUAGGUCAAAUAAUCUAGGUUUCCCUCUUAUCACAACUCUCACUUGUAGACUAGACAAUCAUUAGCUCCUUCAAUACUUGUAACACCCCUUGCCUAACUCGAUCGCCGAGUCCAAGCUAUAGGAUACCACAUUCAUUGUGAUCUGCCACAGUUUGUUAUGGAAAAUUAGAAUGUUUUUGGCACUUAAUGAGCUUGUUUUUUUAGCUAUUUUAUGAUUAUUUUGAUUAGUUUCCAAUUUAGUAGUUUAGAUGUAAUUUUAGUAAAAUAAGCGUUUUUACGCAUAUUUUGGUGUUAUGAUGACCUGUUUCGCCAAUAUAUGCCUAGGGUAGGACUGACGAGCCAAUUUAGUGUGCAGGACACCAAUUUUAGGCUAGGGAACAUCAGGGGAAACACUAGUAUCACGACACCAGCAUGCAGUGUCACAACCUCACAUUUCGAAGCAAGAAAAGUCCCUGUGAAGUUUAGUAAUGUGACACUAGUCCUGUGGUGUUGUGACAUCAUUGUGACGAAGAUCAAAAUAUUGCUGAAGGUGUUUUCAUCUACACAAUGAAUUUUUUUCAGUUUAAUGACCUGUAUUUGAUCUAAUUAGGGUAGCAACAAUUGCCUAUAUAUAGUAAUGUUUAGGUAUUAGUUAGGGGCUAUUUUUUAUAGUAGAUUUAGAUAUUUAAUUUUAGUUUCAUGUUAGUUGCAAUUUAGUUUUAGUUUCUCAAUAGAAUUUCUAGUUUUGUUUCAGACUUGGAUUCGACUGGUUCCAAGCUUUCGUUUCUUCAGUAAUUUAUAAUUUUUCUUUGGUUUUCACUUGCAAUUGACGUUAUCUUGAUGGCUGUAAAAAGGUUUUUGACUUCUAAGUGCAUCCCAUAUUGAAACGGAUCAAUUUCUCUUUCCCCUUCUCUUUAGUUUAAUAUUUGCUUUGCACAUUUAAAUUGAAUUUAAGAAAUCUUGUAUUUAGAUCCAUGAGUAGUUAAACCCAUAUGGGGAUUAACAAUCAGAGGUGGGAUUAAUUAACGGAAGAAUUAUGGUUUGCCUAAUAAUUAGUUUGCUUGAAUUAUGUAUGCUUAAACCCUAGGAAGUAAUCUAGGUAAAUAAGGUCGAGAAUAAUUUAUCGAGCACCUCUUAAUUUAAUUUAGUUUAAACUGCGAGGUCGACAUUAUGAACAUUGAGUGAAUUUCGAUUGUUAAUUUUAUUUGAUUUAUGCUAUCUUUGUUGUUUAAUUUUGAUUUUGUUUUUCGUACUAUAAUUUUAUAUUAUUAUUGUUUAGCCCUGUUAGUGUAGAAAGUAGUUUUUGGUUUAAUUCAACCUUUAUUGGGUAUGAUCCUUGGAAUACUUCCCAAAGUGUUUCAUUGUAAACUUUUCUAUAUUACAAUUUAACCCGUGUACUUGCAGACACCGAUGUCUAUUUUAUAUCUUUUUUUUGUAGUAUUUCCAAUGUAGAUGUUCGUACGUCUAGCAGCAGUCAAAUUACCGAAGCAACCACAAUAAAUUUCAAUACAAUUCAACAAUUCUAGCAUGCUUUCAAGUAGAAAACACAUCCUCGAUAUGUUGUAAAAUCUUUUUUAGGUCUUAUAAGAGCUUAUGAAAGCUCUUUUGCUAACCCGAGAUUGGUUAAUGACUUAAUCGAAAAGUUUUUAGAUUUACCGGUUGACGUCACGACAUCACGGCUUUCGCAUCGCGAUUUCAUCAAUUAUUGAGUACCGUCAUGACUUCAGGAAACUCUACGUCUCAACACCGCUCACUAUCGAUCUAAGUUGCGACAUAUACUUACGGACACCACUGUUUUAAUUCUUUAUCUUUUGUAGUAGUAUUUCCAGUCCAAAUGUUCGCAUGUUUGGCAGUGAUCAAGUUGUUGGCGCUGUUGCCGGGGGGGUUGACAUAAAAGUUAAUUUUAUUUUCUACAAUUAGUAGGAUAAAUAGGAAAAUUGAAAAUUAUAGAAAUGGUAUUUAUCUUAUUUUAUUUUUUCCGUUUUUAAUUUUAAUUUUAAUUUCUAUUUACUAAUUUUUCUUCUGUCUUUGAUUUCAAUAUAUGACCCGAAGUGGAAGCACUCCAAUCUAGUCACAUCCUAAUUCAAAGUGAUUUCUAAGAUGUAACUGUAACGCCCCAAAAUUUCUAAUUUUGUUAUUGUGAAAAUAUGACACAAAUAUCUAUCAGCGUUGGUGGUUAUAUGUUUUGGGAGUGUUUGGGAGUUCCCAAGUUCAAGCCUUUGCUUGGGCAAAUUUUGGUAUUUUGAAUGAAUUAGGCCUUACUCUUGUUUAGUAGGCUUUUAUUUGAUUCUUGGGUAAAUUACAUUAGAAUGGGCUGCUGGUUUGGUUGUUAAAUGGUGUGUUAUUAUGGUGGAGGUCUUGUGUUCGAAUCCCUAUGCAGGCAAGGGUAUUAUUUUUUUUGCUCAAAUUUCGAGAUAGAGUUGUGUAAUAGGGGGAUUUUGAGUAGUGGGAAUUAGGGGAGAAGAUUAAGGGAUUUUGGGGGUUAUCGGGAUUUUUUUUCCCAUAAUCGAAUUUUGACUCUCUUUUCAAAAAAAAUUUCUGCCGUCUAUUCUUCUCCAUCUCAUCUUGCCUAAAUUCUCUAAGUUUUCCAUCUUUCUCUCCUUCCUGAUUUUUGCCUAAUCCAUUUAUUUUCCUUCGUUUUCGUACGCGGUUAGUGCUCGCUAAGUUUCAGUAAAUGUUUCUCUUUGUUUCUGUCAUGAAUAUCUUAGUGACUGAAGUGGUAAUGUUUUUUUCUCUGCGAUUUAGGCAUAAGGGGAGGCUCGAACUGGUGAAUUCAGUGUUCUUAUCUUAACAAUAGUUAAACGGAGGGUUAUCGUUGGUGGUAAGUUGGGUUUCUGUUCGUUCUUGGUUGUCAAUUCUCUUGUAAAUCCGUUAAACUGAUGUUGAGUAUCUUGAUUAUAGGCUUUGGAGUGCUCAGGGACUAUUUUAGCAUAAAAACAAAAUUAGGUGUGUACCCGAAAUGCAAAAAAAAAAAGAUUCAACGAAAAGUCAAAAUUGCUUGCUGUUUGGACAAUAGUAGUAGGCUAAUUUUGAAAAAUCGCCAUAAAUUGUGGAAAUCGAAUUAGAGGAUGAACAAAAUAUGGAAUUAAAUGUUAUUGAGUCUAGUUUCUCACAGAAGAAACGGUGUAAGUAAUGGAAUUGUAAAUCGUGAUAUAUAAUAAACUUUGUGAGACAAGGUCAGAAUGAAUUCGAGUUCCCCUGUUCUGACUUUGGAAAAUUAUCAAAAAGUGUAGAAAAAUAAUUAGGAGUUAAAAUUUACAUGUUUAAAUUAUGAAUGAGUCUAUUUUCAAUAUAACAAAUGGAAACUUCAUCCAAAAUUUUUACUAAGAGAUAAUUAAUUUUUAGCAAAGAAGGGUCGAAGCUGUCAGACAGUAGAACAGGGGUAAGAAAGGAUUUGAGUCUAGUUUCAAAUAAAUCAAGUGAAUCUUAAUUCGGAAUUCUGUAGCUCAAGAUAUAAAUAAUUUAGUAAUAGUGACUCAAGUAGACAACUUUGAAGGAACAUAUAAGUAAAUAGUGAAAAUAUAUAUGAAUAAUUAACUAGCACGGGUUACAUUAAAAAUGGAUCACGCGCCAAGGAAAAUUUGGGCUGAGUGGGCUACAUGGGCAUGUGAGCCCAUUUUUCUGAAAAGUUCUAUAAGGUUGCAUGAGUCACCCAAGUCGACUGUGGACCUACUGUAGGAUCGGUAAGCUUUACUUAGAUCCCUAUAUGUGUGAUUUGUCUGACUAAUUGCUAUACCGAGCAUGACUUAUGAUAUUUGAAUGUAUGUACUAUUAUUGCAUAAUGGCAUGACAUAUUUUGUAUGUUGCAUUGCAUCGGGGUGGGUUGAUGAUAUUUGGAGGAAGUGUCUGAAAGGCUAUUAAGCCUAUUAUCUGGUUGCUCAGCUGCAACCUUCUGAUUAUGUGCUGCAUUUCGGUAUAGCAUGGUGUGUAAGGAUGGGUGGGUUGGUUUAAUUCCACAUGGUGUGUAGGGUUGGACGAAGAUAGUAUGUAGAGGCUGGUGGGUAGGAUUCUGAUUUAUUUUAUUUGCAUUCUGUAUCUGAUAUAGGCCAAGUCCCUAAUGUAUUUUUGAGUCUGUAUCUGAACGGGAUAAGGCCCAAACUGAUUCUGUGAUGGGCCUAGGCUCCAGACUGUAUCUAACUGAAUUCUGUUGAAUAUCUGUAUGCAUGUUUUCUGUGGGGAUUACACACUGAGUUUGCAAAAACUCACCCUUUUUCUAUUUAAUCUGUACAGGUAAUCCCCAGACUUGACGGGUCGGUGCAGCGGAGGACUCGAUGGUGGCCACACCUAAAUUUUAGACUGUUUUUCCGUUAAUUCUAGAAUUUAUUACUUAUUUGGGGUUUUUGAUGUAACUUUUGGACUAUGGACUUGUUGACUUUAAAUUUGGGACUUUAAAUCAACUAGUACUUAUUUUUCUGAAUUAAAUAAAAGCUAACUAACUAUAACGGUUUUAACUCGACAAUCUUGUCUUCAAAUCCCAUUCCAUGUGACAUCGCUAGAUUCAGCCAUAACGUCUAGGCCGGGUUUAGGGUGUUACAGUAACCGUCAAUUGAUGCAAAAGGAUCCAUCCACCCGUGGUAGUUGACUUACCUCGGGAAAAUCCUUUGUUUAAUGAUCCACUUGAACCAAAAGUACAAAUCUGUGGAGAGCUAUUGAUGGCUUAACAAAUGAUGUCGCGUGGCUACGUGUCACUGACAGUAGGUGCAGUGUGAGGAAGUAUGAGCGACUGACAAUGUAACACCCUAAAAAUUUAAGUCUUUAAUUCUUUUGCAUGUUUUGACAAAUUGCUUGUUUGCUUUAAUGGCUAAGUGAUUUGGGUGUGUAUGGGAGUGUUCGAGACGCCUGGGUUCAAGUCUUGGCUCUCUGCAGAAUUUUUAAUUUUGGCUCUUAAAUGAACCUGGACAUAGGCAUGUUGGUCUUAUAAAUAUUAGUGUUGGUUUUAUGACACAAAAAGAGCUUGUGGUCUGGUGGCAAGGUGGUGUGUUGUGUAACUGUGAGGUCUGAGGUUCAAGUCUUGGGUUGCGCAAUAGAGUAUCUAUUUUGCUGCUUGAGCUAGGUAGGUGGUGGAGUUGGAUUAGAAUACUGCUUUAUGGGAGUUUGAACUGGUCGUGGAGGGAGUUCGGGAGGAUUAGAUGGUGAAAUCAGGAGGGAUAAGGGGAGGGAUUUUAGGAGAAAAUCAAGGAGUUUGUGGGAGAGGAGGAGUUGUGUGCCGAAUGGAGUAUGCUUGUGCCGAAUUUGGUCUAUGGCACUGAGAUAAAUCGGCUUUGUGAAGUGUUUUUCCUCUGCUUGUGUGGUUUUGGUCGGUUUCGCAUCUUGUUUCUUUGCUUCUAGGUGCCGCUUUUUGUUAGUUUUGGGGUACCUCUCGGGUUGUUUUACCUAAUUUCUUUUUAGCUGAAACACACUCUCCUCCUUCAUCUUUUCUUUUCUUCUUUCUUUCCGAUUUUUUCUUCCCUUGUUGCCGAUUUUCCCCUUCUCUUUUCCCUCUUUUUUUUACUUUGUGUGCCGAAUCUUUUUUCCUAUUCUCCUUUUUUCUCCAUUGACCGAAUAACCUUCUUUUACUGUUUGUGAUUUCAACCUUCUUUUAUUCAUUUUGACCAAGACAUCUCCUUUUUGUUUGAGUGUGGUUGUAGUCGAACAUUAUCAUUCGCAGUAUUGUUCGCUACGUUGAUCUUUUCCGCUGCUGCUCUUUGCAGUUCCUGUGCUACAGGGUUCUGAUUAUCGGUAAGUGGUUACACUCCUCUCUUGUGUAAGCCUAUUCUCUUCUUUUCCUUAUCUUAAAACCAAAUACCAUCCUUUGUAAUCUUUGAUUACCAACUACUGAUGAUUUCUCGAUGUGCUGCUUGUUGCGAUAUUAAGGUGUUCCUUGAGGAGUGGUGUACUCUCCCCCUUUAGGGAUUUUCGUCCCCGAAAAUCUUACCAGAUGGUAGGUUAAUGAUUUACUUCCACAGUAUAUUUCAAAUUCGCACUGAUUUUGGAUUUUCAUAUCUUUUACAGAUAAUCACAUAGAUUCAUAAGAAAAUCAGGAUAGCGAUAUUUCAGCAUCUGAAGCUACAAAGUAUCAAAAAAUUACAAUCCAGAUAGAAUGAUAUCCAUUUUGAUAAUCUGAGUAGUUUUCAGAACUAUCAAUAUUUCUCUCUUUUUAUAUUGUCAUCAUUUUAUAAUUCAUUCACUUUUCCGACCACAUUAUUAUUCUUCCGUACACGAACUUCUGUAACUACACUCGUAAGCUUAUUCAACCAAAAUCUCACAAAUUUCAUUGUAACAUUUUACUAAAUGGGGGUGAGUGUAGUAAAGCCUCAAAUUUAUCUUACACAUAAAUGUGCAUAACACAUACCAUCACAAAUAGCCAAUUCAUUACUAAGGUUCACAUUCUCAAAGCAUUUAAUAAACAUUUGCUUUUAAUCACUUUUGUUCUCAACACAAAUUCUAACUCAAAUCACUAAUUCACAAUCAAAAUUUCUAUAUAGCAUCAUAAUCCAAAUAUCAUAACUCAUAUGCUUGUAUAAUUAUAACAUUCAUCAAUAAAAAAAAAUGUUUUAUUCUUUGAUCAUACUUUUAUGAGUUUCAACUCAUAAUCAACAUUUUUUUCACUCAAACAUUUUAUAUUUUCUAUACUAUUAGAAUUAACUCCGUUGAAAAAACAUAUCUGUCUCAUCAAGAUAAUUUUCGUCAUAGAACAANNNNNNNNNNNNNNNNNNNNNNNNNNNNNNNNNNNNNNNNNNNNNNNNNNNNNNNNNNNNNNNNNNNNNNNNNNNNNNNNNNNNNNNNNNNNNNNNNNNNNNNNNNNNNNNNNNNNNNNNNNNNNNNNNNNNNNNNNNNNNNNNNNNNNNNNNNNNNNNNNNNNNNNNNNNNNNNNNNNNNNNNNNNNNNNNNNNNNNNNNNNNNNNNNNNNNNNNNNNNNNNNNNNNNNNNNNNNNNNNNNNNNNNNNNNNNNNNNNNNNNNNNNNNNNNNNNNNNNNNNNNNNNNNNNNNNNNNNNNNNNNNNNNNNNNNNNNNNNNNNNNNNNNNNNNNNNNNNNNNNNNNNNNNNNNNNNNNNNNNNNNNNNNNNNNNNNNNNNNNNNNNNNNNNNNNNNNNNNNNNNNNNNNNNNNNNNNNNNNNNNNNNNNNNNNNNNNNNNNNNNNNNNNNNNNNNNNNNNNNNNNNNNNNNNNNNNNNNNNNNNNNNNNNNNNNNNNNNNNNUGUAAAGGAGAUCAACUUCUGUAGAUUCGUGCUUAUUAUCAAUAUCAAUCAGGCUUUUCUUAAACUCUCUAUUUCAGUCCAUUCCCUAUGAUUAAUUAUUCCAUUUAUUACAUGUUAUUUAUGAAAGCCAUGAGGAACUUAUACUUUAAUGGAGGAUUAGCGAGUGGAAGCAUGAUCUGUUAACUAUUUUGUAGGGUUAUUCAACGAAGCAAUUGUUUGAGAAAGGAAUAACGUGAAACAAACCCUAGGCCUGACAACCUUUGGAAGUCAUCAAGGUGGGAAUUAACCCAAAAAUUGGUAUUGCCCAUUCGUGAAAACCUUGACCCCUAACAAGUCUGGACUGGGAGAUCGGAAGAUAAGUAGUUCUUGCUGACUCGUAAUGUUAGUGGAAGAUCGGAAGAUCUUACUACGGUAGUGACUAGUUGAUUGAUGAAGAACUUGAGACGACAGUUAAUUAAGAUUGUGGCAGCAAGCUAAUCACCCAUAUUUAGAUUUGUUCUUUUAGUGUUUAGGUUAGAAUUGAUCAAGAACUUACCUCCCUUGGGUAUGAUACUCGGAGUACUCACCUAAUUCAUUGUAAAACUAUAUUACAACUCGACUCGUAUACUUGCAGAUACCGCCUCAUCGUUUUAUAUCUUAUUGCAGUAUUCACACUCUGGACGUUAGUACGUCUGGAGGCGGUCAAGUUGGUGGCAUCGUUGCUGGGGAGGCAAUAUCACUAGGUUAAUUAGAAUUUUUGCACUAUAAAUGAGUAAUUAAGAAAUUUGUAGUUAUAGAUACGUUUUUUUCCAUUUAUUGCUACUAACUUCCUUUUUCUGGGUUUAGUGUAUGACUUGUAGUAGGGGCACACAAAUUGUAGUAGCCACAACAAUUUGAUUUAGAGAAAAUAAUUCAAAGGAAUCGUUAACAGCAACAACAACAGUAGCAAUAGUAGAUGCAAGAACAACCACCACCCGUUGCGAGUAAUGUCCUACGUGACAAUCCAUUGUUCGACGACACUGACGAUAACGCCCUGGGAGACCCACCAGCACCACAACUACCCGCAAAUGUGCAUAUAGCUCAAAAUGAGAGAACACUAACGGACUAUGCCCUACCAACUCUAGACAUGGUUCAAAAAUGUAUAGCACGAUUGGCGAUUAUAGCUAAUAAUUUCGAGAUCAAAUCGGCAAUGAUACAAAUGAACCAAAAUAAUUUGCAAUUUAGGGGCACUAUUGUAAUACCCCCUACUCGUAUUAGUCGUCGGAAUAGGGUACGAGGCAUUACCAAAUUUUACCAAAUUAAUUUUCUGUUAUUACGAGUUAAAUACUAUUAAUUUAUCAAAACAUGUCAUGACGUCCCUUAGAUAGGCCUCUGAAGCCCAAAACAUACAUCGGGACCAAACCGAGAUUAAAUCAAAACCAGAAGAAAGUUUUCGCAAAAUCUCAAAGUUUUUUUUAUGAACUCGAUAUAACCCUUGAAUAAAUAUCUAACCUUCCUUGCAAUUUUAAACCGAGACCAAUCCAAACCAACCAAUCCAUUUCAACAUAUUUUCAAGAUAGAUUCAAACAUAUCUAUAAGAUAACCUCAUCACAUACCAAAACCAAGAUUUGUUAGCCAUACCAAUGGCUAAGCUUACAUUCAUUUCACAUUAACAUUUAAUUUAUUAGCUUACACAUGCCAUUGAUUUCCAAAAUAAAGUUUCCUUUUAUACAGAAAUCUUGAGGUUGAUAGUGUGAUACGUCUCCGACAGAAUCCGACCUCCGAGCUCUUAACACUACAAAAUAGGGGAAAAAGAAACAGGGUAAGCACUUUGUGCUUAGUAAGCUCAUGUAACAAGAAUUAUACUUACCUAAUAUUUUCAAUACAAUGCAAUAAACAUUCAUACAUCCAUUCAAUGUAUUAUUCCCCUAACAUGCACAAACUCAACAUUCAAGUUAGUUCAAUAAUUUUCAUGUACCAAUAAUAUAUACCAUGAUUGAUGAGCUCAUCAAUACCAUGAUUUCUAUUCCCUUGUUAUUUUUCCAUAUUUAUCCCAUUGAACUUCUCGAAAUUUCGAUGAAUUUUCAGGGGUACACUUUAGUGUACAAAUCCGGGUUUGUCAAUUCAUAUUCAUGUGCGUACAUUUCCAUUUCAGAGAGCACAGUCCCGCGAACCUCAUCCUUACAGCGGGAUUACUAGACCAGGCUAAAUCCCCUGUAAUAUAAACUCAUAGAGUAUUGUCGGGAUUACCAGACCAGGCUAAAUCCACUGCAAUGACAAUUACUCUAAUGAGUUUGGAUCUAAAUUACCAUUCCAGGCUAAAUUCAGACCCUAAUUUGGAUUACCUUUCUGGGCUGAAUCCAUUUUCCAUAUAUUCUUCGGGAGGGCUAUAUCAGGAUAGGAUCACCCAUCCGGGCUAGAUCCUUUUUACUGUCAAUUCCUUUUUAGAGAUCCAUCGAAUUUUCCUUUCAUUCAACUGAGAUUUGUUUUCUCUUUUCAUCAAGAAUAUCAAUACUUCAUCAAUUACCAUACAAUAAACAUCCAAAUCAUAUUCACAUAUAUUUCAAGCAUUUAAGAAUAUAAUUCAAGUUACACGAACUUACCUCGAUACUAGUUCGUAUACAAAAAUCUACUAAUCUCGAACUUUUUCUUUUCCUCGAUCUAGCUUCGUAUUCAAAUUUUCUAGAUUUAAAUAAAUAAAUUUAAUCAUUAAUUUAAUACAUUUGAUGUUCAUAUGUCACAUUCUCUAUAAUUCCAUUAUUAUUUAUAGUUCUUUCAGAGCUGUCUCAUUGAGUUAUAAUUACUAAAUUAUUUAUAUCUUAAGGUACGAAACUCCAAAUUAGUAUUUGCUGAUUUUUCUCAAAACUAGACUCACAUAUCUUUUUACCAUAGAAUUUUCAGAACUUUUGGUUUAGCCAAUAAGUACACCUAAUUCUUUAAUGUCAUCCACGUUCGGCUAUCUGACAUUUUUUACCCUUCUUCACUAAAAGCUUAUUUUCUCCUAGUACAAGAUCCGGAUGAUGUUCUUGUUUAUUUUUUUUUCAAAAAUAGACUCAUUAAGGAUUUUAAACAUAUAAAUUAUAACCCAUAAUUAUUUUUAUACAAUUUUUAAUUAUUUUCACAAGUCAGAACAGGGGAUUCUGGAAUCAUUUUGAUCCUGUCUCACAAAAUUUAUUAUAUCUCAUAAUUUACAAUUCCAUUGAUUACACCGUUUCUUCUAUGAGAAACUAGACUUAAUAAUCUUUAAUUCUAUAUUUUUUUCAUCCUCUAAUUCAAUUUCCACAUAUUAUGGUGAUUUUUCAAAGUUAACCUACUGCUACUGUCCAAAACUGUUUUAGUGCAUGAUGUUGAUUACCAUUUUCCCCUAAGCUUUGAAUAAAUGAUAAUUUCAUCCUUGCUCAAUUAACCACUCAAUUGAGCUGAUUUUUAUCAAUUAACACUAUAUUCUAUCACUUUAAACUACUUUAUAACCUUUGGACAUCAGAAUUUUAGCACUAGACUUUAAUUGCAAACUUUUUAUCAAUUAGGUCCUACAAAUCAAUUUCUUUUGAAAUUAUCUAAUAAAAUUAUCUCAUAAACAAAUUAAAGCUUCAAUUUCAUGUUAUUUAAUCAUAAACUUACAGCACUCAACCAUGGUGACUUUUAAUUUCAUCUAUGAAAUCAAAAACUAAUGAAUUUAGUCAUAGGACCUAGUUGUAAAAGUCUUAGAAACACAAAAAGUACAAGAAAAAGGCAAUGAUUAACUCACUUGGUGUAAAAAUUAGGAAAUACCCGCUUGAAUGAACCCUUAGGACAUUUUUGGCUGAUGAUAAUGAAGAAAAUAUGAAGAGAAUUCUAGAUAUUCUAAUUUGGUCCCAUUUUUAUUUUAGUAAAUUUUGUUAUUUUCCCAUUUUUCCCUUAUUUCACCAGUUCUCCUGAUUUUUUAGCUUAUGCCACCCAAAAUAUCUCUUUUUGGGCUUAUUUACAAUUUAUGUCCCUCCUUAUUUAACAAUUGAGCUAUUUAACCCUUCUAGUAACUUUUACACCCUUUUCAAUUUAGUUAUUUUCACUUAAUUAAUUACCCAAACGUAAAAAAUUUUCUAACGAAAUUUUAAUACCAUAUUGCUAACACUUCAUAAAUAUUUAUAAAAAUAUUUUAACUCAGUUUUACGAGGUCGAGGUCUCGACACUUUGUUUUUACCCAAUUUUCUUCAAUAAUUUCUUUCUUUUUUAACUAACCACUAAAUUGGUAAAUUUUUUAUCGAUAUUUUCAUACGAUUUUCCUAUCAUACCAAUAUUCAUGCAAAAAUAUUAAAAUAAAUUUCUCUUUAAAUCAAAUUUGUGGUUACAAAACCACUGUUCCGAUAACCCUGAAUUUAGACCAUUACAACUCUCCCCCUUUAAGGAUUUUCGUCUUCGAAAAUCUUACCAGUAAAGAGGUUUGGGUAUUGUUUCCUCAUUGUCUCCUCUGGUUCCCAUGUCGCUUCCUCAAUCCCGUGCUUUUGCCAUAAUACUUUUACCAAAUUUAUUUUUUUGUUUCUAAGCUCCUUUGUUUCCCGUGCUAAUAUCUUGACCAGUUCUUCACUGUAAGUCAUGUCCGGCUGAAUGUCCACUUGUCGGAGAAAUAACAUGUGAAGGAUUUGAUCGGUACCAUCGUAGCAUAGACACAUGAAAAGCAUUAUGAAUUCUAUCGAGUUUCGGUGGUAAUGCCAAUUGAUAAGCGACUGGUCCAAUUCUUUCUAUGAUUUCAUAUGGCCGGAUAAAUCUUGGACUCAAUUUACCCUUUCGACCGAACUGGAGAACUUUCUUCCAAGGAGACACUUUUAGGAUUACCUUAUCACCCACAUGAAAUUCAAUCUCUUUUUGUUUAAGAUCGGCAUAUGACUUCUGACAAUUGGAAGUUGCUUUUAGACUAUCCCGAAUCACCUUUACUUUUUCUUCUGUUUCCCGGAUCAAAUCAACCCCAUGUAUCUUCUUUUCACCGAGCUCUGUCCAAUAUAAUGGUGUUCUACAUUUUCUACCAUACAAAGCUUUAUAUGGAGCCAUUUUAAUACUGGACUGAUAAUUGUUAUUGUAAGCAAAUUCAAUCAAAGGUAGAUACCUCUCCCAAUUGCCUUCAAACUCUAAUAUACAACAUCGGAGCAUAUCUUCUAAUACCUGAAUUACAUGCUCAGAUUGGCCAUCUUUCUGAGGAUGAAAUGCAGUGCUGAAAUGCAACUAAAUACCCAAGGCUUCUUGCAAUUUGUCCUAGAAACGAGACGUAAAUCGGAAAUCUCUAUCUGAUAUAAUGGAGACAGGCACUCCAUGUAGCCUCUCUAUCUCAGAUAUGUAUAAUUCAGCCAGUUUAUCUAAAGAAUAAUCCAUACAUAUCGGAAUAAAGUGCUUUGAGUUUGUCAAUUGGUUAACAAUCUCCCAAAUGACAUCUUUCUUCUUCGGAGACAACGGUAACCUAGAUGCAAAAUCCAUAGUGAUUCUUUCCCAUUUCCAUUCUUGUAUAGUGAUUGGUUGAAGUAACCCUGAAGGUACCUGAUGUUCAGCUUUAACCUGCUAACAUACCAAACACUUUGAUACAAACUCAGAGAUAUCACGUUUUAUACCCAGCCACUAGUACAUCUUUUUCAGAUAAUUAUAUAUUUUAUUACUCUCCGGAUGUACAAACAUAGUACCGCUGUAAGCCUCGUGUAGAAUCUUUUAUAUGAGCUCUGUAUUAUUCGGUAUACAAACUCUACCUCUGAAUAAUAAAAAACCAUCAGAACCAAUCUGAAACUCUAAAUCAAUACCUGACUCACACUGUGCGUGUUUAACCUGUAACUUCUCAUCAUUCUUCUGAGCUUCACAUAUUUGCUGUAGAAAUUUCAGUUUAGCUCUCAAUUCAGCUAUGAUUGAACCAUCAUCAGUCAGUGACAACUGGGUAUUCAUAUCUCGUACAGUGAACAUAAUAAUCAAUCUAUUACGCCCUCCUUAUGUGGGAGGGAGAAGCUAUUCCUUCGUGUAGGAUAAUAGAUCGCUUUCAGGAUACAUCCGUACCUAUGUCUUCGUAAGGUCUUCACCUCCGUGCAAAUAUAGGGAAAUAUAUUCCCCUGAAGUGAACUUGGUCCGUAUGAGCCUAUAAUAGGUGAGGAUUAAGGAAUCUAUCGAUUCAGGUACCCUUACUCUAGAACCAAACCGUAUGUAAUGAACCUUAAGAGCCUACCUUAGGUAGAACCAUGUUGGACCUUCAGCGGUUACCUUAAUAGAUUACAAAAAAGAAAUGUUUUUAAUUGUUAUUCUUUGUUCUAAUUUGUAUUCCAGCUUUAUGCAAAGUGUACCGACUUAUUUCAUUUUUUAUGGUUGCAUUGCAUUUUCAUCAAAAGAAAAUGAGUUUCUUGAUAAAGUGGAAGACAAUACAUUUGUACGAAUAUAGUCAGAGAUAGGGACCAUAUUCUAAGUAAAGCUUUGGCCCAAGUACGAGAAGUGGCUAACCACUUGCAAACCCUAGCUGUCCAAAGCUUAAAAUAUGAAUCAGAGUCGGAUCGGGGCCGAGAAUUAGCUUGGUGUAUUAAUAAAGUUAAUUUUUUGAGUGUUAAGGCGAGGCUGUAUAUAUAUUCGCUUUAUGUAAAGAAACUUUUUUUCUAGUAAAGUUGUUCUAAUGGAAUUGAACUAGAAUCAAUGCCUCUUUGCAUGCAUCUUUUCCACGCAUUAGCAUUACAUUUCAUUACAUGCAUUUCAUUACAUAAAAAGUACCUUAAUUAAUCAAGGAAUUGUGAUAGUACCCUUUAAAGUGGGUUUGGCAAAAAAUGGUGAACGUGGGCAUGAUCCUUAAAUAUUCAAAGGAGGUACCAACAUAAGUAAAGAACUACUGUGAGUUUCAGGCUAUGGAAGGUCAUGAGAUCCAUGAGUACGCUGAAUUUAGAGCUCUAGUAUAGAGUCUGAUGGACAAUAAAAAAUUGAAAUUCUUUGAAGAUAUUGAGGAUAUAAAAGGAGAAGAUGUUUAUGCUUCCGAAAAGAGAGCAUUAGAGAAAACUUAUAAGGUCAACCACCAGGUGGUGAUUAUCUCCUGACCAAAUGGCCACGAAGUUGGGGCACAAACCACACCAAGAAUCAUAAUCCAAAAACCCAUGGCCUUUCCUUACAAAGAUAGCAAGAGGGUCCCAUGGAGUUAUGAUUGUAAUAUGAUGGUUCUAGGACGAGAGAACUCAAAAGUUACUUCAGAGGGGUCCAUGAUGUCAGUUUUUUGACGCAGUGGGAAACUUUAUGACCCUGCAAAUGUAGGAACCGAAUCUCUCAAGGAAAAAGCUCUGGUAGUUGUGCCUAAGAAAGGAAAAGCCACUAGACCUAAGUCGUUAGUCAAUGAGUCGGUGACUGAGAAUGAAGCUAAGGAGUUCUUUAAAUUUUUGAAGCACAGUGAGUACAGUGUAGUAGAGAAACUACACAAACAUCUGACUCAUAUAUCAGUAUUAGCAUUGCUUCUAAGCUUAGAGACACGCCACAACGCAUUAAGGAAAGUGCUUAACGAAACUUACGUCACCGAUAACAUCUCUGUGAAAAAGCUAAAUCAUUUGGUCAACAAUCUGACUGCCAAAAAUUUCAUCUUUUUCAAUGACGAAAAAAUAACUCCGGGAAGUAUGAGAUUAAUGAAAGCUUUGCACAUCAUUACUCGCUGGUAUACACUACCUGGAGUAUUGAUUGAUAAUGAGUCUACCCUGAAUGUCCUACCUCUGUCCACACUAAAUAGGCUGCCAGUUGAUAGCUCUCACAUGAAGGCAUGCCAUAACAUAGUAAGGACAUUUGAUGACACGGAAAGGAAAGUGAUGGGGAAGACUGAAAUACCAUACCUAAUCUAUCCAAACACAUAUGAGGUGGAUUUUCUGGUAAUGGACAUCAAGCCUACCUAUAACUUCUUAUUAGGAAGGCCUUAGAUUCAUUCAGCAGGGGCAGUGUCGUCGUCACUACAUCAAAAUUUGAAAUUGGUGACAGAGGGUCAACUGGUCACGAUAAACACCGAGGAGGAAAUCAUUGCAUCCGUGACUAGUGACGUGCCAUACAUAGGAGCAGAUGAAGAUGCUAUAGAAUGCUCAUUUCGAUCAUUGGAAUUCAUCAAUACAACUUUCAUUACUGAAGAAAGCAAGAUCCCAGAGCCAAAAGUAUCCAAAGCCAUAAGGAUGGGCCUAGAAUUGAUGGUCAAGAAAGGAGCCUUGCCUGGAAGAGGAAGGAACUGGAAAAGAAGCACGAAAGAAGAGGAAGGAAUUGGAAAAUAAGCACUAAAGAAGGAAAACACGACUAAGUGGGAAAAAGAUCAAGUGGAAGCCGAUGAUUUUUCCCCAUAUAUCUGAAACAUUCAAACAUUCAGGAGAAAUCAUCUACCUUGAAUGAAAAAUGAUGGAAAAAGAGAACCUGUUAAUCAAGACUGUGGGAGGAAUGUUGGGAAACUUAAGCAUCAAGGCCAUAUCUAAAGAGGGAAGUGAAGAAGGGGACCUAUUAAGAAUUUUUCCCUACACCCCCAAAAGUAUUCUAAACAAGUGGACCGUGGAGGAGAUCCUUGUAGUAUUUAGGACUAUUUUAGAGUAAUGUUUAGAACACACCUGUUGCUUUAAGCUUGGGAGCAAUAGGGAUCCUUUUGUGAAAAGGCACAUGUCCACUAUUUUUAUUUCAAUGAAAACAAUGCAUCUUUGUGUCCCACUUGGAAAACAUUCUACUAUUUUUUCAUUCAUACUCAUACUACACAAUUAAUCAUUCUUAAAUUCAUUUGUUCCUUGGAUAUUCUUUUAUUCCUAUACCAGGUCUCUGGAUAUCAAUGAUAUGAGUGAUGCUGUAGUUGACUCCAAGCCUUCUUUUGAGCAGAAAAAUAUGCCUAGGAGAACCUCAGGACUUUGAAGAUGAGCAAGAUUGGAACUUAUCUUCUGAUCUGCUAAGAAUGGUAGAGCAAGAUGAGAAACAGAUCUUACCUCAGAAAGAAUCGAUGGAAAUUUGGAGUUUAGGGGAUGAACAAGAAAAGAAAGAGGUGAAAAUUGGAACUUGCAUUACUACAGAAACAAGGCGAGAUCUCGUUGAGGUACUAUCAAGAUAUAACAUCCUGAAUUUUGGGGUUAGAAGUUUUGAGUUUUUUGGUUAGGGUCAGAGAAGGGUGUGCUAUUGUGUUUAGUUGCAAUUUUAAGUGCGAGAAUGGGCUUGCUGGUCUGGUGGUUUGUUGUGUAUUAAUUGGUCUUUGGGUUCUGGGUUCGAGUCCUUGUGUGUACAUUUUGGAGAAAUAUUUCUAUUUUGUUUUAUUUUUUAAAUAGUAGUUUUGUUUUAAGAUAAAAGAUAUAACCAUUUAUUUUUAUUUUUAUUCUUUUUUAUUUUUUAUUUUUUAUUUUUUUCUUUCUGGACAUUCUUUUCUUCCUCUUCUUGGGUUUCUUUUCUUUUUCAUUUGAAAAGGGUUUUUGCUGGAGAGUUUUAGAGGGUUUCACUCAUUGUCGUUGAGUCAGUGCCUGGACAUCGUUAAUUGCUAAUAAGGUGUGGGUUUUGAGACUUUUUAAUUAUAUUUGUGAAUUGUAAGUUUGAUUUUGGUGGAAUGCGAUAAUUUAUGUGCCUUUUGGAAAUUGGUUGUCGAUGUUCUGUAAUACUAUUGAAUGGCAUGGAAAUUUGUAUAUGUUUGUGUGUUUUUGAAUCCCAUCGAUCGAGGGUCGAUUUAGUGACCGAAAAAGUUGAUUUCCAAGCUAAUUGGGGGUGGUUUUGUGACCACACAGGUGGCCACACGGGCGGUUCACACGGCCGUGUAUAGUUAGGAAUUAGGGUUUUCAGGCAAGUUUUGGUGCCACACAGCCAUGUGGCUAAUUUGGGGAAAUUAGUCGAUUUUUACACUGUUGUGUCCCCCGACACACGGGCGUGUGUGAUUGGGCAUUUAGGGAUUUAGCGAUUUGGUGCCACACGGCCUACCCACAAGGUCGUGUGGCUAAUUUAGGGAUUUAGGGAUCUCACACGGGUUUGUGUUUUAGACACACGACAAUGUCUAGUAAGCACACGGGUGUGUGAGACCCUCAAACGAUCGUGUCUGUCCUGCAUUCUAUUUUAGCACAAAUGGAUGGAGGGUUAGACGACCUGCUCACACGGCCAUGUCCUUGGCUCACACGAACGUGUGUCUCUCUUUACACGGGGGUUUUGACCCCCACUCAGCCUGGGCAUUUCCACACGGAUGUAUGGCCUUAAGUCACUUAUUUUGGUUUUGUAUAUGUUUUGAUUUGAAAUCGUGUCUGUAAGUGUUUCGACGCUUGGCUAGGCUUUAGUGAGGGUAAAUAAGACUUUGAUAUGGGCUUCAGCUUAUGUGUUUUUUUGUGACUGUUGUCUGUGAGAUGUCUGAUUCUGAACCCGGUUAGCUGGGUGUGUGUGCAUAUCUAUUAUGUUUAUCGAUGUGUUCAUUGUUUCUGUGAGAUUGUAUGUAUACAUACACUUGCAGAAAGUAAAUUUGUGGGUUCGCUGCAAAGAGAAGGGAGACUGAUUCUGAUAUGCUCUGGCAGUUCUACUGCAACUUAUUCGUACAGUGGUUUACGGCUAUGUGGCCAGACUGUGUGAUAGAGCCCAAACCGUGUGGCUAAAAAAUGUGUUCAUGAGGCCAAAUGGUGUAACAAACUGUGCUCGCGUAACUCAGGGUCACCAUGCUAUGUAACUUUCUAAGGCAGUGUAAAACUAGGUCACAUAGAAGUGUCCCCAAGCCGUGUAACAAAUUGUGAAUUAUGGAUAAACUUGCACAAAAAUCAAAGUGGCCACACAAUCAUGUCAUGCAACCAUUGUAACACCCUUAACCCAUCUCUAUUGCCGGAUUAGGAUUACGGAGUAUUACAGUACAAUUCAGAAUAUUUAACAUCAAAUAAAAACUAUUAUUUAGAUUAAAUACUAUAAUUCAAACUCAUAUUACAUUUAUAACACAAAUAUACUUACGGGAUCUUAAAUCGAGCUUACAAAGCCCUAAAAAUAGUUUGGGAGCAAUCCGAGAUCAACUUGAAACAAAACAAUUUUUUUUGGAAAAAAUGAAAAUUUUGAAAAUAUGGGUCACAUGGUCGUGUGGCCAGGCUGUGUGACACAGCCCAGAAAAUGUGAACAUUCAAAUUAUAGACAUACAGCCGUGUCCUAACCCGUGUGAGUAUUCGAAAUAGGGCCACACGGUUGUGUUGCAGGCCGUGUGCCAAACCGUGUGUGUAUGCGAAGUUGGAUCACACGGCCUAUCGUAGGCUGUGUCUUUGACUGUAUGAAAUCUGCACCUAAAAUAACAAAGACACACAGUCGCGUGGUGUGACCGUGUGUGGCACACGGCUGUGUGACAACCCGUGUCCCAGGCUGUGUGCAACAAAUGUUACCCCUAAAACAAGUCAUUUCCAAACAAAAAACUUGCACACCAAGACACACCAAUUAUAUUAACAUUCAUAUAACCAAAACACACUUCAAAUACAUUCAAAACAUACCAAUUCAACCAACCUAUAAAUUCUAACCAAUAUGCCAUUCAAAGGCACCACAACUUAUAUACCAAAAUAGAUCAAAACCAAGCCUAUACUUCGAUGUCACAAGCAUAUAACAAAUGGUUUGCAUUUCAGCUAAAAAACCAUACAUUAAUUCAUGUCAAAACUAACAUUACUCUUUUCAUUCUACCAUAUUCAUUUGUACCAUAAUUCAAACAAACUUGUAAAGUUUAUAUGAAGUGAUCAAUUAGCACAACAAGGCCAUAAACACACCAAGGUAUCAAACAUGAUCACAUAUAAGCUAUUACAAAACAUAAAUAUCAUUUUAUUAAUCUAACCAAUACCACAUAUAACACACAAUCAAAACAUAUACAAAUUUCACCUAUUACAUGACAAGUUCCACACUAUACUUGGAUUUUCAUACCAAACCAUGAAUUAGCACAUAAUUAACUAAAGCAUAUAUUCAUCACAGAAGUAUAGAACAUACCACUCGUAAUAAGUACUUAAAACAUAUACUAGAUACUCCUAUUACAUAUUUCAAAAACUUCUAUUACAUGCCAUAAAACCAAGUACAACCAUUUCAAAACUACCAAAAUAUAGUUGGAUAGUGUGAUCUUCUAUUUGAUUCGAUUGCCUGAUUUCGCAAAACAAGAUCUACAAGGAAACAUGAAGACAACACGAGUAAGCUUAAAUAUAGCUUAGUAAGUGAUAACUCUUGAAAAGAGUUAUAUUUCAAGCCUCUAGAUUGGAUUAAUUAUUUGUAAUUAAGUAAAUAUAUUUGUACUUUUAGAUAUUUUUAGAACAUUAUAUAACAAAGUUUGGAUUGUGCUAUACGUAUUUUUAUUUGUUACUUCUAUUAUUGGGGAAGAAAGGUGUUGUUUGUGGUUGGCAACAGGUGCAGGAUGAAGAAGAGAAGAGAAAAAGGAUAGGAAAAUGAAUGAAGUGAAAUAUUGUCAUGACAAAAUGUUGGAUAGAUUGCCAGCACGAAUACCAUAGCAAUCCAGGAAAAUGACUCAGAACUCAGUCCACGUCACUCUCAGCCAGCUGUACUUGUACAAGAUAAAUCAUCCUGAAAAAGAGGAAGCAAAAGGUGUGCGCUAAGAGAGAGGGACCUACCCUAUAAAUAAGAAAAGAGAAAAGAGAAAAAAGAGGAUCAGAGAGAGAGAGAAAGAGAGAAUAAGGAUUUCUAUCUCUCUGCAUCAAAUUCUCGUGCAUUCUCAGAGGAAGAGUGAAAAGGGUAGCAACUUACAGAGCAAAAGAAUUACAGAUGCAAGGAAGGGGAAGAGAAAUCUACACUGGGUUUUGCAUUAAAUCUCAUUAUCAGAGUGAAAGCUGGAGUAGCGAAAGCUUCCAGCAGUUCGGCCUUUAUUUUCUAAUUUGAAUUUGUGAUUCGUGCAUUUAAACAAUGACGUUGAACAAUUCUAUUAUGAAUUCUAAUGUUCAACCCAUGAAUUAAUUUUCUUUGGGUUGCAAUUAUUGUGGGUGAAUUUUUAUUAACUUUUAAUGCCCAUGGUUUGAUUUUGAGUUGAAUAUUGUUUCAUUCGAUUUGUGAUUAUUUUUAAUGCAUGCAUGCAAGCAAGCUCUAGACAUAGAUGACUGUGUAGCAUGUUAUUAGAUCAGAUUUAAUUUUGAAAAGAUAAAUUAGAUUUGAUUAUAAUCGGUUGAUACAGGCAAGUAUUUGAAAGAAUAAUUGUAGCACUCUAGACAUAGAAGUUGCAACCUAUAUAAGGAAAGGGAGAAAAAUCUGGAUACCAUUCUUAAGUCUGUAGACAUACAAAACCUCAGAAUGAUAUCUUAAAGUCUGUCUUUCGAAAGAAGUAGACUACAGUAAUGAUUCCUUGAGCUGUAGAAUGGUCAAGAUUUUUCCAUGCCAUUAUUAUGUUAUAGAAAUAAACUCAAGUAAUUCCAACCUUUAUCAUUGAAUAGUACAAACUCUUUCCCACUUACUCUUUGAGAAUUAUCACAACAUUUUAUUUUUCAUAGCAUAUUUUAGUCAUAAUUGAUUUUCUUAAUCCUUCAUUACAUCUCUUUAUCAAUUAUUCACCUGUCGCUUUUGCUCAAUUUAAUUAGUCAGUUUCAUAGUAAUAGCAUAACUAAUUAUUUUAGUCAAUUUCGAUCCUUGUGGAGACGAUACUCACUCAUCACUUUAUUAAUUGAUUCGACGUGUAUACUUGCAGAUUUGCAUUACACAUUCACACGUGACAAUAAGUUCACAGGUUAAAAGGUUAUAACUUACCGAACAAUCACAAUUUUAUAGUUAACAAAAUUAAUGACUAUCAUUAACCCUGUCAAUUACAACCAUUCAAUAUGUGAGUUUCGUAAAUACAAGUCAUUGGAUCAUUUCAUUUAUACAAUAUCAACCAUUACCAAGUCAUGAUAUAAUUUCAGAAAUCAUGAACACAUGUGCAAGUCUUUCACAAGAAAUCAUAAUAAUUUAUUAGUUACAUAUUAUCAUUAGGUCAUGUAACUAUUAAAAAUUCAGCUCGAUGAACGAUAUAAGCAGAUACAAAUACGCGGUUAACCAUCUAGAACACAAAAAAUGCUCAAAUGAGCAAAACCAACCAUGAACACACAUUGGAACCAAGUGUCUUGCCCGUAGGCUAACAUCUCUCCAAUAACACACCUUGGCACCAAGUGCCAAGCUCGAAGUUUUACAUUCGCCCUCGAUAACACACCAGAAACACUGUAAAUAUAACACGAUAGUCCGCAACAAAUGAUGGACUCCAAUAUAUUAAGUGAACAGGAAUAAAUCAUGAAUCAUCAUCUAAUCUCAAAUCAAACUCGUACAGCGCGCAACAUAACCUAUUGACAUGACAAUUGUAUCUUAUCCUAUGAUCAUCUAGGCUCGAUAUACAAAACCGCAUAAUAACUUACAAUUCAAUUACAUUUCUCACCUUUAUAAUCAUUUCAUUAAAUAUAUAAUUAUUACAUACAUCAUAAUUCACAUGUCAUUAAAAUAUUGCAAAUUAUACUAAAUUAAACCGUAUGAACUUACCAGGGCUAAACUACAGUAUUGACAAAAGUUAAGGGACUACUCAGGAAGUUUCCCUUUUCCUCGAUUAUCUACUUGUUCUUGAUCUAUAAUAUAAUUUAUUUCAAUUAUUAGCCUCCAUUUCAUAUAUCACUCAAUGAAAUACAUAUUCCUUUCUAUUUAUAUUUUUUCACAAUUUCCCCAAACUUUUACUCUUUAUUCAAUUUAGUCCUUAAUAUUGAAACGAGUCCAUUUUCACAAUUUAUUAAUAAUCCCAAUUUUUACCGAAACUUUAACCAUGUAAAAGAAACCUUUAAAUUUUUAAAUUUUUCAAUAAAACCCUUCCAAAUUUCACAUGCUUUUAAUUAAAUCCUAUAACUUAAAAACUAUACAAUUUACUUUACAAACUAGCUCAAAUUCACUAUAAAUCUUUCAACCAAAAAAUUUUCAAUUAAAAAAGUCAUAAAAAACAAUGGUAAAUCUUAUACCCUUUAAAAAAAUUCAAAAAUUAGUCCCUAGGCUAGAUAGUUUAAGCUACAACAAUUCCAAAAACAUAAAAUUUUCGAGAAACGGGUUAAAAAUGAGCUUACAUGCAAUAACUUAAAUGAUUAAAUGCUUCAAGCUACUUUCAUGGUCCCCCCCCCCAAUUUUGACAAUCAACAACAAAGAAAGAUGAUAACAUUGUUUAUUUUAAUUGUUUAUGUUUUAAUUAGCUAAUUACCUUAUUACCCUUAAUUAAAACAUUCAAAUUUCACAACAAAACACCCAUAACCGUUCACUACAUAUAAUUAAAUGGUAUAUUUACCAUUUUGAUCCAUAAAUUUUAAUUUCUCUAGCCAUUUAGUACUUAUAACUAAUAGGAACUAACUUUUGCAGCUUCUACAAUUUAGUCCUUUUUAAUUAAUUAACUAUCUAAACGUCAAAAUUACCUAACCAAUUUUUUAAUACACCUAUAUAAUCAAUUUGUAAAUAUUUAAUAAGAAUAUUUACAACUCAGUUUAUAGAAAUGAGAUCUCGAUACCUCAUUUUCUAAAACCAUUUGACUUUAGAGACAAACCCCUUGAAUUGAACUAAUCAUUCAAUUAAUUAAAAUUAUCAAUUCAAAAUUUACUAUAAUACUAUACUUGACUAAUUAAUAUUAAAUAAUAACAUUUACGGACUCACUCAUUGGAUUUGUGGUCUCAAAACCACUAUUUUUGGUACCACUAAAAAAGGGUUGUUACAACCGUGCAGGACACACCGUGGCAACCCAUGUCAUAGACCGUCUGUUUCCAAAAUUUCUUCAAACUCAUGCAAAUUAACCUACAACUCCUAGAAUCCAAGCCAAACAUUUACCAUAUCAUAAACCUAUUCAAAAUGUACCAAAUCAAGUCAAAAUAUGUCAAUUCACAUACAACCUAUGUGCCUAACCAAUAUGCCCUCAUCAGCACCACAAUCUAAACAUGAAACAUCAACCAUUCAUGCCAAAACUUUUAUGCCUACACAUGUCCAUACCAUCACCAUUUCUUUUACAUAAUGGCAUUAAGAAAAGGGCCACAAGUGACCUAAACAUAAACACCUCUUUUUACCAACUAAGUAUACAUUUUGUACCCAUUUUGUACCGUUCAAUACAAUUAAUCAAAAUAUCCACAAUUACCAUAUCUAUUACCAUUACAUACCAUUACCUAAACACAAAUAGAUACUAAGUACUUAAUUCAUCAAAGUUUCUUAUAGCUCAUUCACAAACAACGUAUUAAAACAUGAACAUUAACUUGAAAUAAGAACAUCCUAUAUACAUUCCACAAGUAACCAACUAUCGAACUUCAAAAUCUACUGAGUCGAGUGACGGUAGGUGUGUGCUUCUCGUUGAUCCAAUCGACACAUUUCGAAUGUCCAAAAUCUACAGAAAAAUAAUAAUACUAGUAAGUAUAUUAAAUAAUAAGUAAGCUAAUACCAUUUAAACUUCACUUACCUCAAAUUAAACAAGAUUCAGUUUGAGAUACAAUUUAACCUAUCAAAAUUCAAACCACAAUAUUAAUAUAGACCUCAUGCUUUGAGCUCAACCACAUGAACAUCCAUUAGUAAUUUUGUUUCCAAGAAAAUGAAAUUUAAUCUCGUAACCGAACUAUAAUAAUCAUAUAGUCAAUAUCAAAGAUAUGUCUCCAAGACUUAAAUAACAAACAUUCCCAAUGAAAUUUCAUAAAAACCUUGGUAUAUAGAUGAAAUCAGUAGUGUCUGGUUACCCAAUAGGGUCAACCUACACGAUAAAUUGCUUGGACAAGACUUAAUAUUCCAAGACUUAAAUUGCAAAAAAUUUAGGAACAUGGAACCUAUUUCUGUGUUCUCGAGUCCACAACGUAUGUAGGAGCUCAAAACCUAAUCCUAUAUUCUCGAGUCCGCAACGUAUGCAAGAGCUCGGAACCUAAUAUUGUAUUCUCAAGUCUGCAACAUAUGCAAGAGUUUGGAACCUAUUCGAUAUUCUCGAGUCUGCAAUGUACGUAAGAGCUUGGAACUUGGGCAAAGUCAUAAACCUGUAUAUGACCAUUUACUAAUUUUAUCGGGAAAUAUCUUGAUAUACAUCAUAAUUCCAAUCCAAAAAAACCAAUAUUGAUAAUAAUAAUAUAAUAGAUAAACAUAAAUUAUUAAAUUCAUACUGUAUAAACUUACUUGUCGAAAUGGUAACGGUUCAACUAUUAGGGACUAGUCAGUAAUUUUCCAUUUUCCUUGUAUGUUCUCCAGUCGCUGAGAUUCUUGAUCUAAAGUAUAAUUUGAUUUUAUUAACCAAUCCAAGAAACAUAAAACAACAUAUAAGCAUCAAGUUCUUAACCCAAUUUCAUUUAUACUAAAAUUCCUCAACUUUUACAUUUACCAUAAUUUAGUCCCUAAAAUUGAAACUAUUAUAAUUCUCACAUUUGAGUUUCGAUUUUAAAAUCAAUCUCAAUUUAGUCCUCCAACAAUCCACUAAAACCCAAAAAUUUAGAAUUUUCCUACACAUUUUGGACUUAUUGCUUUUUAGUCCCUAAGUUCAAAAUUAACAACUUUUUAUUUUACAAACUAGUCCAUUAACAUAUCUAAGCUUCAAAAUUAACCAAAUAAUCACAAAAGCUUCAAGAAAACAUCAAUGGUAACUUUAAAAAAAAUUAACAGUUUCAGAAAAUAGUCCCUAAGUUAGCUAAAUCGAGCUCCUGAGAUUCCAUAAACAUAAAAAUUACAAGAAAUGGGCUUGAAUUCACUUACCAAUUGAAGAAACAAAGUUGAAAAUAAAACCCUGAGCUCCCCCCUAACAUACGGCCAUGGAAGAAAAGAAAGAUGAGGACAAUUUGUUUUUCUUUCAUCUUUUGGUUUCUUUAUUUUAAUAUAUUUAGGUAAAAUUGUAAUUAUUAAGAACUUUAAGAUUAAGUUUAAAUAAUUAUACCAUUAACUAAGUUUAAUCAUCCUUAACAAAUAAAUAAUGCCAUCAUCCAUUAACUAAUGUGAUAACAAUUGCCCAUUUGCUUAAUUGAACCCUCAGAGACUAAGAAAUUCUAUCACAGUUCACUUUUGUUAACUCAGUACAUAAAUGUCAAAAUUAUCGAACCAAAAUUUAAUACGACACUUAAAUAAUUUCAUAAAUAUUAAAUAAUUAAUAUUUACAGACACAAGCUGGAAUUAGGGUCCCGAAAUCAUUAUUUCUGAUACCAUUGAAAAACGGGUUGUUGUACUCUCGGUCUCACUUGUCUAUAUGUUCUCUUAGGAGAUUCAAUCCUAGGUUUUUAGAUUUAUUCAAAUUAAUCCAAUUUAUUAUGAUUUGGUCCUUCAUCCAAAAAUCAACUCACCACAUCUCCAUCAACCAACCCCUUUUAAGUUUAGCUACUCAUGUUGAAAAUAAAACUAACAACCAUGGAAAUGAAAAGCAAAGAAGCCAUUAAAGUAAAGCUUAAGAAAAAUAUGAAUGUUGAGAUUUUUAUGCAAGAAAGCUUAAAGAACAUGAAAUGAAAAGCAUUUAACAAGAAAAUCUAAAGCAAGAAACCUACAAGGAAUGAACUUUAACAACUACAAAGUAAAAGAAACUAAAAUACAUUAAACUAAAUCUGAAAAUGUCUUACAACCAAGGUACAGGUACUAAAGAUGCAAAUAAACCUAAGCUACAGUGAUAACUAACUUAACUAACUACAAGAACACUGAGAAUAAGAAGAAAAUACAGUAGAACAAACUCGAAAACUAAGAAAAGAGAUGAGAAAAUAAAAACCCUAGAGAAGUUGCAGAAAAACUAAGAGAAAACCUAAAGAAACUAAAGCUAAAAACUAAACUAAUAUGUGUCUCCUCUAUCCUGAGCCAAAAUUGGUUAUUUUAGGUUGAUGGUUGAUGAAAUUUUGUUGCCAAAAUUUCCCAUACACGGGCCCUCUGUUAUUGGUGUGUCGGGUGGACAAAGACUACCCUUUUGUCCAACUUUGUCCCCUCACGAUAUUGGUAUCAUGAUACUCAAGAAGAGGAUAUUGCGAUACCCCAUUCAAUUUCGAACUUGGGUGUCUUCUUGGAGGUUGGAUAUCACAAUACCCAAACUGGAUAUCGUGAUACCAUUGAAUGGUGGUCUCCAAUCUUUAAAUCUGUUGGAGGUUCAUGAUUCAAAGGUUUGGAUAUCGUAAUACCCUUUCCUUUAGUGUUGUUUUCACUCAUUUUCAACCUUCAACAAGUCCCUACACCACUCAACCACACGUUAGGUCGCCUAAUGGCACUAUUGGCCAAAUUGGGUCAUAAAUGAGUAAAAACGAGACAUUUGCACUCAUUAAAUUAUAGUUUAAUAAUUAUGGAAAACUAUGAAAAAUGUGCUACUUUGCUUAAGAAUAAGCUCCUUAAGUAUACUGAGAAAGCCUAAUUUUUCAUAUCAUUCCUCUAGUUACCCUUGGCAAAAUGGUGGUACAAUACCACUUACCACUCAGCUAUCAAGUGCACACCUUAUGAAGCCUUUAUGGUCAAGAUCCUCCUCUCCCUUUACCAUAUUUGGAUAGUUCUUUUGUUGUAGCCACAGUGGAUCGCAACCUCCAACAUUAAGAGACAGCUAGAUAGCUCCUUAAGUUUCAUUUGAAGAUAUCUCAGGACAUAAUGAAAUAAGUAGCGAACAGGAGGAGGUCUAAGAGAGUUUCAGGUGGGAGAUAUGGUGUAUUUGAGGAUCCAACUUUACAGACAACAUUCGGUGAGAAGGAUUGUGAACCAAAAGUUGUCUCCCAAGUACUUUUGGCCCCUAUCUUGUGGAAGCCAAGGUUAGAAAGGUAGCUUACAAACUAUCCUUGCUAGAAGGAUCGAGAAUCUACACUAUGUUUCAUGUGUAUUAACUUAAAAAAACACAUCGGAUAGAUUCCCUACAAUUCUAAGUUGCCACUGUUAGUAACAGAUUGGGCUAUUCUUAAGGUGCCAACUCGAGUGCUUCAAAGGCGUAUGGUAAGAAAACGGCACCAGGCUACCAUAGAGGUGUUGGUGGAGUAGGAAAACACCUUCCCUGUAGAUUCCAUAUGGGAGAGCUUGCAGGACCUUCAAAAAAGGUAUUUAGAAUUUGAUCUUUAAGGACAAGGAUCAUGUUCGAGAGAGGAAUAAUUGUUACUGGAAGCAGCAACAAUGGUCUAAUUUUUAAAUUUUUUUUAUUUUCUGUUUAAAAUGUAAUUGGAAAACACAAUGUUUUACUACAGUAAACAUUAAUGAAAACGGUGCAUUGAGUGUGGGUCAAGGUAGCGCCCAAAAUGGUUCGUUUUGGUUGGAAACUAUUUAAUGAAACGAUGAGUAUUGUUGAAACAAUUAUUUAUUAGCUGCUUGGUUGUCACACGAGCAGUUUCCCUUCCCCUUUUAGCACCAGUCAUGGCCAAAGAAAGGUCGUUAUGGUCUCUCUUUUUAUCUCUUUCUCUCUACUCUCUUCUUUCUCCGUUUUCUUCUAUACUUUUUCUCGUGAAUUUCUUCUUCCAUAUCAUACAACAAUGGAAUCUGAUUUAUACGGCUUAUCUCCUUAAAAAAAUCUCUUUUGCUACUGGUUGUUAGUUUGUUGUCCAUAUAAAAAAAGAAAAUAAUAAAUAAAUUUAAUUUUUAAUUAUGUUUAAAUAAAUUUAUCUUUAUUUAUUUAUAAGUCCUUUAAUAUUUGUUUAUUUUAUUAAAUGAUGAUGUAACUUGCUAUGAUUAAUUAAUGGUGCAUAAUAUGUAUGCAUUGACAAUAUAUCAAAUAUUAACCCAAGAAUAAACUCUAUAAAUCUUUCAUGACAAUUUGAAUGGCCCAAGUUUGAAUAUUUUUUUAGCUUGUGUUUCAUUUAAGAUAUUUAAGUAGUUGUGAAAUGAUAAUAUUGGUCGUUAAAGGAAAAUGGAAACUUAGGGUUCAAUACUCAAAGGAGCUUAAAAAUCAUCUUAAUCUAUCUUGAAGAGUUAAAAAGUAUGUUGGGUUUUAUAAUUUUAGAUGGCAGUUAGUUGGUUUCUGAGGGCAGUUGUUUCACUUUAAGAGUGCAGGAACCCGUGUAUUGUUUGUUCUUUUUCACCCUUUUAUUAUUGUUUAUUUUCCUUGGCUACAAUUAAUUCUAUUUUUUUAUCUAUUAUCUUUCAGCUUGAUUGAGGUCACUUGAGGGCCAAAGUGUUUUUUCUCAGACCCUAGUCCAUUACACUAUUUAUAGUCCCUAGUUAGAUUUCAAGACUUUAUCGACUUGAUUCUUUUCCUAUGAUUUGGCAAUGAAUUGUUGUGUUAAAACUUCUUAUAUCCAAAGCAACAUAAAAUUUUCAUAUUUGUUCUAUUUUUGUUUACUGUCUACAAGCCUCUAUUUUGUUGUUUUAAUUAUAUUCAUUCAUGUUACCAGAAAAAGAGUGACCACUUAUAAAGUUGGAAGAGCGUGGCUUUGCUGGAUGUUUAUUCAACUCAACCAAUUUCAUUAAACCUUGCUUAAAAGAGAGGGAAAAAAUAAAAUCAUCAAACCUGCCAUUUUUUGCGAACAGUGGGAGCAAACAUGACAAAUUAAGGAGGACUUGAGGGUUUGAACAGUGGGAGCAUAUUGGAGACAAGACAAAUGAAACUUAAAAAAUUCUAACAUAUGAAAUUCAAAAUGACUUGGGGGUUUGAACUGGUUGUAGGGUUUGGACUUUGGAAAAAGUAACUAGCCGAAUGGAAAAGUGUUUUGGAAUAAUUACAGAGAGGUUCUUAAGUUUUAGUCAAUAGUAAAAAAAAAAUUACCACGUGUUGUCAUUCAAUUGCGUAAUGUACUACAUUAGCAUUCCGUUAGUGCAUAACGAAAGAUUUUAAUGGGAGUGACUAGUUUGAUCAAUUAUUUUAUCUAAAGUGAUUGAAUUGAGAAAAAAAGAGUGACCAAAAUAGGACAAACCCUAUUUUAGAGUGACCUCGGUUUAAGUUUAAUAUUUAUUGAAAUGACAUUGUAAAGUAAAACCAAUUUAAUUUAAAUGAUAUUCAAAUUUAUUAAUAUUAUAAUAUAUGAAAUUUAAAUUUUAAAUACUUUUAAACAAUUAAUAUAUUUUAUUUGUAAAAUUUAAUUUGAAAAUAUAAAUAAUAUUUUAAAUAUUAAAUUACAUAUAAAUAUAACUCAUAUAAAUUAAAAAAGAUUUCAUCAGUGAUGAGAUAUGUAAUACCAAGUUUUGGGCGAUUUUUGAAUUUGGAGAGUAACCGAAAGUAACCUGAGUGGCAUAGUGCUAUUCUCCCAAUAGUUGUUCUGGUGUAUAGAUCGGGCGCAUAGUAGAUAUUGGAUUGCUAAGCGAGGAUUGUUCUCAAAAUGUAUUAAGUUAUAAAGAAGAAGAGAUUUGGUAAGAGUGUUGAGGAUUUCUGCCAAAUGUAUUGUAUAUCCAGUUUAUUUCGUUGUUGUGCUAGUAACGUUUUAACAAGGUAGUUAGAAAGGAGCAAAGGGACGAACCAAGAAUAUAAAAAUAAUGGAUUUCUAUUUAUAGAUGUAAACCAUUUAUAAAGGUAGCUUUGAAGGUGUGUGACACAUGGUAGGUUCCAAUAAGAGCUUGAGUUCUAUAUAUAGACAUUUAGGUCUAAAAAUAGGGAGUUUCCUUCUUCAAGAAGUAUUUCUUUCUAGAUCUAAAGGACCCCAAAGUAUUUCUUUCUCUCUCUUGAGCUAAAGUUGAAGAUUUGGAUCUUUACUAGUGAUUACUUCAUGUUGAGGUGAGGUUUAUGACUUUGCAUAUUGUGUUGUGAAGAGUAAAUCUGUUAGAUUUGGUACAUCAAUAAGAUAAAGGAUAAAAGAACUCUACUUGGGGAUUUCCAGUAUUAAAAAUGAUGGAAAAAGGAGUAUAUGAAUAGAUCUUGAUGGGCUUCCUUGUUUUGUAGCAAUAGUUGCCGCUGAUUGCACGAUGAAAGACUAGAUCUGGAGCUUUGAACUGCAGUAGGAGAGAAUCAAGUGAGUUUCUAUGUUGACUCUUGUUUAUAUGAUGAUGGUACUUGUAAAUUUGUAAUAGAGUGGCUGAAAGAUUAUGCUAUGAUCCUUGAGGUUACAAUAUGCUAUGUAUGUGACCCUCUGUAAGGUUAUUGAUGUAUGCCUAUGACCAUGCUAAUGUUUGUUGAGGAUGAUAUGCAUUUUUGGUAUAGAUUUGUGGAGUUCAAGUAAGUCGGUGUGAAGUAUGGUUGCACCUAUAUGUCUGGAUUAUGUAUAUGGGUCUUAGUUGUAUGCUAUUCGAAAUGCUCUGAUGAGAGUGGGUCUGAGCAUGAUGAGUCUCUGCCUGUCUUCGUGGAGUCAUCUAAAGGGGUUCGUCAGGACUAAAAACAUGAUCUCUUAUAUGAAUAUGUGAAAGAGAGUCCAUGGCCAUGACACCAUAUCGUGUAAGACCAUAGUUGUGUUAUGGUAUCAUAUAGAAAGAACUCAAUGAAGGUGAUUACCCAAAGGGUUCUAUGCAUGCCCUAAGGCGAUGAUCGGUAAACCUCACAAAGUGUGAAUCUAGGUGAAUUGUAACACCCCUAACCCGUAUCCGUUGCCAGACUAGGGUUAAGAGGCAUUGCCGAACAAUUCACAUCAUUAUACAAACAUUUCAUAUACAUUGAUCAUGUAUCAUCAUAUUACAUUCAUUCAUAAUCACAUUGUCCCUUAAAUAGGUCUACGAGAUUUAAAACAUGCUUUUAAGAAGGUUCGGGACUAAACUGGUUACACAUAAAAAUUUCUGAAACUUCAAGAAUUUUUUAAGUAACAGACGUCACACGCCCGUGUGAACAGCCGUGUGGACGAAUAUAGGCCAUUUGUAAGGCCAAUUCGCCAACCAUAAGGGUCAACCUUACACAAGCGCAAAAUAUACCAUUUUUAUACACAAUAGGCAGCUUAAACAUUAUGGAUUCAUGCAUCAAACAUUAACCACAAUUGCAUCAAACUUGCCAUACCAAUUCAACCAUUUCAUCUAUUCAUACAGAAACUUUUAUCUAAGCACAAACAUACCAAAUCGAUAUGAUUUAUUAUUUAAUCAAACAAUCAUCAUUUAAACCAAUUUAACAAGGUAUGUAACGCCCCAAAAAUUUAAGUCUUUAAUUUUUGCAUGAUUUGGCAUUGAUUGCUUGUUUGCUUUAAUGGCUAAGUGAUUUGGGUAUGUAUGGGAGUGUUUGAGAAGCCUGGGUUCAAGUCUUGGCUUUUGCAGAAUUUUUAGUUUUUCUCUUAAAUGAAUCUGGACACUGGCAUAUAGGCCUUAUAAAUUAAUAGUGCAUGUUUUAUGACAUAAAAAGAUCUUGUGGUCUAGUGGCAAUGUGGCGUGUUGUGUAACUGUGAGGUCUAAGGUUCAAGUCCUGGGUUGUGUAAUAGAGUAUUUAUUUUGCUGCUUGGGCUGUGUAGGUAGAGGAGUUGGACUGAAACGCAGCUAAGGGAGUUUGAAUGAAUUUUGAAUGGGUUGUUAGAUGGAGUGAUUCAAGGAGGGAUAAGGGGAGAGAUACGAGGAGAAAAUCAAUGAGAUGUUGAGAGGGAAUGUUGUGCCGAAUUUGGAACUUUGUACCCAGGAAAAUUCGAUCAGAGGGGAUUUUUGCUCAUUUUUUUGGUACACUGUACAUUUUCGGUUUUGCUUCGAAUUUGCUCUUCCCUCUAUUGCUUGAAGGCCAAAAGUGGUAAGGGUUCUGUUUUACCUCGUUUGUUUUCUUUUCGAUAACCAUUCUUUAGCCGAACACUGCCUCCUACAAAUUGCCUUUUCUCGUUUCUUUUCUCAACUAAUUCUACCAUUGGCCGAAUACACUUUCUUUUUCCCCUCUCCUCUUUGAUUGUCGAAUACACCUUUCUUCCCCUUCUGUCCUUUUUGAAUCUAUCUUCUCUACCGUUCCUUGUCCAGCUUCACUGCUGCCGAUUUGCUCCUCUGGCUUUCCCCUUCUUUCAUCUUUCCUUUUUAUUUUCUAGUUGCCGAAUCUUUCCUUUCUUUUGGGGGCCGAUCGUGUGUCUCGCAUUUCGUAGUUUGAUUUCCUUUCUCGCGUUAUUGGUAAGGGUAAUAGUAUAGUGUUACUUUAUUACCUGUUGAUUAAGUGCUUACCUAGUUUUGAUUGGUGCCUGGGAACUUUUCAAAGGGUUGAAGGGUUGUGAUUACAUUUGGAUAGGCGAACUUCCCUUUUUGCUCGAUCAAAAGUUGUGGUAAGUAACGAAUGUGAUAACUUGUGUUUAUUUGAUUGUUUAACUGAGUAAGUGAGUAAUUGGAGAUUGCUGGUUAAUUGUAGGUUUCAAUAGCAUGGGAGGUUUUCUCAGCAAAUAGAAUCUAGGUGUGUAUUCACAUCUCUUAACUGCAAAUCGGCAAAAGCCGAAAAGCCGGAAAUGACGACGUUUGAGGCCAUAUGAGCGUACGAACGCUCGUGUGGUAAGCCAAGCCCACGAAACAUGGUGUUGGACUGUAAAGGCCUCCACGAGCAUUUUCAUGGGCUUAGGCAAUAAUGGGCCACGUUGGGCCGAAAUGGGCUCGUGGGCCCCACACGGAUGAAAUCCACGAAUGGUGACAAAUACUGGACUAGGUGAUAUAGAUCCCAUUGUCGUGGCAAAUUUUGGGCUGAACGGGUCGCACGAACGUGUGGGCCCACUUGGGCCGAGUAAUGGGCCUUGAGCCUAUUUACAUUAUUUUGACCAUUUAGGUUACCUAAGUCACUCGAGGCGACUGCGGACCUUUCGAGAGGUCAAUAAAUGACUGAAAUACCCCCAUAGGGUAAAAUGACUGAAAUACGCCCAUAGGGUAAAAUGAUCGAAAUACCCCUGUAGGGUAAAAUGAUUGGAAUACCGCCAUAGGGUAAAAUGACCGAAAUACCGCCAUAGGGUAAAAUAACCAAAAUACCUCCACAAGGUAAAAUGAUCAUAUUACUCCCAUAAGGUAAAAUGACCGUAUUACCCCCAAUGGGUAAAAUGACCGAAAUACCCCUAUAGGGUAAAAUGACCGAAAUACCCCAUAGGGUAAAAUGACUGUUAUACCCUUAGGAGAUGAAAUGACUGAUAUGGCCUUAUGUUAUGUAUAUCUGAUUUGCUCUAUGAUAUGUAUGACUAUGAUUUGAGUAUGACAUUCUGCAUACACGUAUGAUUUAUGACAUGACAUACUGCAUGGGGUUAGGAUAUUGUUAUGGAGGAAGUAUACUGUUAUUGGCAGCUUUGCUGCGAUAUUGGUGUGUUGGCUGGGUGGGUCGAUUUUAUCCCCAUAUGGUGUGUUGGUGGUACAGAGAGGUGUGUUGACUGGAUUGGGAUGGGUUGUAUUAUUGCACUGUACUGACAUUGUAUUGGGCUAAGGCUCAUACUGUUACUGUAUCAGGCUAAGGCCCACACUGUACUGAUACUGCAUGUUGUAUACUGUUUGAUUGAUAGAGCAUUACACACUAAGUUUUCGUAAACUCACUUUUUCCUUUCAACUGUACAGGUAAUCCUCAGCCUUAAGCAGUUUGGUGCUAUGAGGGACUCGGAGGUGGCCACACAACUGCAACUGUACUACACUUGCUUUUAUUUAAAUUUAUUCUAUAUGUUGGGUUUUGUUUAUGUAAUAAGGCCUUUAAGUUUGUUUAAUUUUUUUAAUUGGGCUUUUGCUUACUUACUUUAAACUGCUAGUUUAGGAGAAGAUGAAUUUUUAAAAUAAUUAAUGUUUUCAAAGACACGAGUUUUAAACAAAAGGAUUUUUAAAAGCUUCCGCAAUUUUAGAUCAACUUAAUAUGACAAAAGCAGACAACAAGGCAAACAUUUUAGCUAGAUGAUUGUAAAUAAUAACUAAGAGGUUUUUAAAACUUAGAAACGAAUGUUCUUCCAACAAGUUCAAUUUUCGAAAGGCACUUCAAUGUGACAUGCCAGAUUCGACCAUAACGUCUAGGUCGGGUUUGGGGUGUUACAAGGCAUGUAAAUCAAUGUAUUUUAGACCUAAAAUACUCCAUUCCUUUUUCAUCAUCUCAAUUACAACCUAACCUCUCAAUACCAAGAUAAACAAACACAUAAAUACCAUUAUUCAUCAAUUGUGAAUAUCAAUUUGGACACUUCCACUAAUGCAUCAAUAACUUGACUAAAGCUUACCACAUAACCACAAUCACAUACCAAUUAUAAGGUCAUCUACAUAUCAAACCUCACAUUAUAAACAAGGCAAAUCUCAUGGCUCAAUACAUUUCAAACAUAUAGGCACCAAUAGCCAAAAUCACUUAUACAUUUAACAAACCAACUAGCCUAUACAUGCCACAUAACCAAAAUUACAAAUAUUUUAAGUACCGAAAUCAUAGCUGGAUAGUGUGAUGGGAUCUUCGACGACUUUCAACCCGAGCGAGCCUUCGAAACACUACAAACAUAGAAAAAUAACACAAAGUAAGCUAUAAAUCUUAGUAAGUUCGUACGACUAAUAAACUCAUAUUAGCAAUUAAACACAUUUACGUACUUACAUAAAGUAUAACACAAUUCAUAUGAUCUCACAAUUCAAUCACAUAAUCACUUACAUUGCUAACCUUAACCUUCACAAGUUUAAUCAAUUUAAUUCUCAUAUAACAUUCAAUUCAUACUUCCAUAUAGCCAAAUGAGCACAUUUUGGUAUACAACAUAUUUAAACACAUAUCUUUCUCAUUUCACAUACAUGAUAUGGUAUGAACUCACCAAUUCACUUUCAUUCGAUUCUCACAUAGGUCCUAUACGUACCUGUCUUGCUUAACUCGAUCGUACUUUCAUUCUCAACUUUCACUUACUUGUUGAUUUCUGUCACGAAUACUUUACUUUCGUUGUACCAUCACUUAUAACCAUGUUUCAUACACUUUUCCCGUUGAACCAUUUGGAAUACUAAAGGAUACUCGGGGAUCUCGUACACAUAGUACCGUAACAAUGUCAUAUCUCAAAUAUGGUCUUACAUGUAAUCUCAUAUCGAUGCCAAUAGCCCAGCCAUGGUCUUACACGAAAUCACAUAUCGAUGCCGAUGUCCCAAACAUGGUCUUACACGAAGUUUCAUAUCGAUGUCAUAUCCCAGAUAUGGUCUUACACGUAAUCUCGGUAAACCUAAUGUCAUGACAUUUGUAUCCUAUCUAUUCCUAAGGUUCAACCGGGACUUUUACUUUGUCGAAUCUCCGUCAAAAAUUUCCAAAGCAUUGUAAUCACAAUUAAAUUCAAUAUUUAAGUAUUCACCGCAAUUAUCUCAAUUAAGAAUUUAAACAUGUACAAUUUAAUGCUUAUUAAACAUACAAACUUACCUUAUUCGCUGAAACGACGAAUUAGGUCGACUAAUCCGAUACUUUGAUUUCCCUCGAUCUAGAUCCCAAUUUCGUUUUUCUCAAUCUAGAUAAUAUCAAAAUUAAAUUCUUUAAUUAUCUUCUCUUCAAUUUAAUCCAAAAUUUACUUUAAAGUAAUUUACACUUUUGCCCCUAUAAUUUCACAUUUUUGCAAUUUAGACCUUGUCACAUAAAAUCACAAUUUCAUGAAAUUAAACACAAACCCAAACUAGCCGAAUUUUCCAUAUAUUACUAUCAGACCAUAAUUUCAAUUUAUUUCACAUUUUAACCACUAAAUUUCCACAUUUCACAAUUUAGUCCAAAAUUGACAUUUUUCUCAAAAAUCACUUUAUAAAAUAUGAAAAUCUAACAUCAAAUAUUCAUAAUCUAUCAUAAAUCAUCAAUUUACUCAAGCAUUCAACAAUGGCAACAUGUUAAAUCUUUAACAGUUUCGAAUUCAGAGGCACGAGCUAGCUAGAUUACGAAGCAACGAUCUCAAAAACGUAAAAAUCAUUAAAAUAGGAACAAAAACAAACUUACAAUUUAGCUCACAAGCUAGGCCGAAUAUAGCUUCAUCCAUGGCUAUUUUUCUUCAUGUAUUUUCGGUGGUGGAAAUUAAAUGGUGAAUAUGGCACCAUGUUUUAUUAUUUAACUUAAUUUAUUUCAUAAUUACCAUUAUAACCUUAUUAAUUAACUUUGAAAUUUUCAUUAAUAAAGCACAUAUUCGUCCAUUCAUAAUUCCAAUGGGUUAAUUACCACAUAAAACCCUCAACUUUGAAAUUUCAUAACUAUCUAAUGCUUUUAGCUUAUAGAGUUCAACUUUUACGCCUUACGCGAUUUAGUCCUUUUUACCGAAUUAAGCCUUUAAACGGUAAAAUUUCUUUACGAAAAUUUCACACAAUAAUUCUAUCAUGCUGUAAACUAUAAUAAAAUGAUAAAAUAAAUAUUUUUACUUUGAAUUUGUGGUCUCAAAACUACUUUCUGAUUAACCCUAAAAAUGGGCUGUUACACAAACCCAUAUAGUAAAACACGUUAUGCAAAAAAGUAGCCUUCGUGGUGAAAUAUGAAAAGAAUUCCUUUAUUAAAAAAUCCGUAAGGACUGUCUUUGUGGCAUAUUCUGCAUGGAAAGCCUUUGUGGCGAUCAAUGAAAAAAGGAGCCUUUGUGACACACUUUAAAGAAUGACCUUUAUGGCAACCAUUUGAAGGAAACGCCUCUAUGGCGGAUGCUGAUGGAAGGAAAUGGUAUCCAUUGAGAACUCUAAAGGAACGAUAGUUGUAAUGAACUUAGAAGGAAAAGCCAGUAUGGCAUAUCAUGUUACACCUUCGAUGAGAUAUUCUAAUGAGCUUCCUUUGUGGUGAGCUUCGUAUAAAAUGUUGUGGCGUAUCCUGCAUGUUCUUAAGAAAAGAACAGAGAAAAUGGAAUGCGCUGGAACAUGUGGUGAGUUCCAUGUAUGGGUUAAGUAAAAUUAAAGAACAAACCUGAGUAAAGGUUACAUCUGAUCGUUUGAUGAAGGGCAUCUAUCAGUGAACAGUAAGAAGAAAGGGCAGUCGGAGAAAGAUAAGGUAAAGAAAGUGAAUUCAAACUUGGUUUUACGAAGAGAAUCAUGAUUAAGAUAAGUAUGAAAGGAAGAAGUUCUGAAAGGAUGAAGCCACUGAUGAAACAAUGUUAAGAAAAAUUGACCAUGGUAUAGCAGACAAAAGGAAUGAUUAUAUUUCGUUAAUGGUAAAUUGUUCCUGGUGACAAAUAACUAAAUAUUUUAAGAAAAUGAGCUGAUGGUGAUGGACUAUCCACCCGUUAUAGGAAUCAACGACUAAGGUAUAAAUGAUUAUUUUUCACUAAGUUCUCAUGAACUCAGGUUGAAUGUGAUGUUGUGCCUAGGGGAAACGAUGUCAAGACUACGCCCAAGGAGCGAUGUAUCGAAUUAUUAUACAUAUAGAGCAAGCUUUGAUGGCGUGAUCGAGUCAAUUUGGCACAUAAAAACCCUUGAAUCAGGACAACUAUGUUAGACCAGGACAUCGUUUUAGUAAUACUUGUAAUCAAAUUCCCUAUAUAUUAUAACUGAAAUUCUUCAAUGUUUAUACUUACGUAUUAGACUAUGAAGUCUUGUAAUUAAAUAGUUCAAUUCAAUUGUAAUUUGUCUAAGUAGAGUUAAGUUACAUCUAUAUUAGAGUGGUAACACCCAAGGUUCAAAUCUAGUUCAUCGGAUCGGGUUUGGGUGUUACAAGAUAAUUUAUUCAAAUGUAAAAUACCUUUCUUUCCUCGUGUCUUUACAAUUAUUAUUACCAUAAUGACGUGUUGUCAUGUUUGAAUUAUUUUGGUUUUAACAGAUAUUCAAAUAAGAUUAUCUUGAAAAUAUAUAAAAAAAUAUUAUAAAAAAUCACUGUUAAUAUUAUGAUAUACGAAAUAUAAAUUUUAAAUACUUUUAUGUAAUUAAUAUAAAAUUUUUUAAUUUUUUAUAUUAUAUAUGUUUGUUUUACGGUUCAUUUUUUAUAUUCAUAACUACCCCACUUAAUAAUAUUAUUUUUAAGGUUUGAACCUACAUUCACCCUUUAGGAAUGCAAUAUGCCUUACUAUUACACCCAACCUCUUAUUAGUAUUUUUUGUAAAAUUUAAUUUAAAUAUAAAUUAUAUUUACAUAUUAUUAUAAAUGAAGGAAAAUUAAAAAAAAAUGAUUUGACUUGAGACGUGGUUUUGGAACACAAUACUUAACAAACCUUGAUAGCUACAAUUUAGAUUAAGAAAAUUAAAAUAAAAAAAAUUAAUUAGGCAUUUUUCUACUUUGUGUUUUUCCAAUGCAAGCCAAAAAGGAUCAAACGGAUUUGGUCAAAGUGAAAGCAAAAAACAAUUAGGUUAAAAGUAUGACACAAUGUUGACACCAUUUUUUGGAUGAAAAAAUGGGGUCGACUUGGGUUUUGAAAAAUGAAACGGGAGUCGCCACCAAUCCUUUUUUAAUGAGGUGUGAUUGGAUCACCUCGAAAUGUGGUUGUUUUUAAUAAUCGGUUUGAUUUUAUUAAAACAACAAGUUUGGUCCACGAAAUUCAGAAAAAACGGGUUCGGGAGUCGGUUACGCACGAGGAAGGAUUAGCAUCCUCGAUACGCCCAAAAUUGGUACCUAGUUGAUUACUUAAUGUAUUAAUGUCGAAAAUUGAAAACUUUAAAGAGAUUUAAAAAAUACGAUCCUUGUAUUAAAACGUUGAAAAUUUUCAGGGAAAGGGGGCAUAUUUCACGUUAUUCGAGAAAAAGAAUCAUGUCCAGUAAGUUAGGACACAAUGUCUCGAAUUCCCGAUACGAGAAUGAAAAAUGCUUAUUUAAAAGAUAUUUAACUAUCUUGGAUUAAAAAAGGGAUCACGACCAGUAAGUUAGGACACGAUCCUUUUUUAAUUCCCGAUAUCGCUUAAAACUUGAGUUUGAAAAGAUUCGUGUAAUAAAGUUUAAAAGAAUAUUCAAUUGUUUAAAUCAAAUGAAGAAAUCGCAACCCAAUACGUUAGGGCACAAUUUAUCAAAAUAUUAAACAUUGAAUAUUACAUUUAUUUCGAAAACUCCUCGUUUCGAGAAAACAACGCGUCACAUCCAAUGCGUUAGGACACAACGUAUUGAAUUCUCGAUAACAAGCUUUUUAUAAUUUUUAAAAGAGUAAUCUCGAUUAUUUAAGUUCAACGAAGAAAGUCGGAACCCAAUACGUUAGGGUUAGAUUUUCUCGAAGAUCCAAAAUACCGAAUAUUACUUAUAUUUUUAAAAUUUCUUUCUUAAAAUCUAAAUAAAAAUGGGUGUAAUGGAAUAACAAUGAUAAUGAUGUAAGUAAAAAUAAUACAAGCAAAAACAAAAGAUAAAUAAAUAAGAAGUCACAUGUAUAUAAAUAAAAUCAAUCACAUAUGUACAAUAACGAGCAAUAAACAAAUAAAAAUUCUAAAGCAUAAUAAAUAAUAAUAACGGACAUGUAAAUAAAUAAAUAAAUGAAGAAAAUAAAUAAAAGAUAUACACAUAUGAAUUAUAAAAUAUAAAAAUAUAAGUAUUUAUACAUAUAUAUAUAUAUAUAUAGGUUAUAAAAUACAAAAAUAUAUAUAGAAUAUAAGUAUGUACAUUAUAAAAAGUUUGUAUGUACGAGCAAGUAUGCAUUUUAAAAAAUAUGUGUAUAUAUACAUAUUUUGGAAAUUAUAAAUAUAAAAGAUACAUGUAUGUACGUAUAUGAUAUAAGAAAAUAAUAAAAAGGCAUAUAGAUGUAUAUAGACAUAAAUAUAUAAAUUAUAAAAUAUAAAAGAAUGCGUUUGUAUGUAUAUAAAAAUAAGCUAAAAAAAAGUGCGUGCAUAUGCAUAUAUGUAUAUGGAAUAAAAAUAAAGCUAAAAUAAUAUAAAACUAAUUAAUAUAUAUAUUAACACAAUAGUAACGAAUAAAUAAAAGGAAAAUGAAACUACUAUUAAUAAUAAUAAUAAUAAUAAUAAUAAUAAUAAUAAUAUUGCUAAAACAAGGACUAAAUCGAAAUAAAAACGAAAAUAACGGGCAAAUUCGAAAUAAAAAAUAGAAAAAGGAUUAAACUGAACCUAAGGGUGAAGUUUCGGGGCGAAUUAAUAAUAAAAAACAAAAGGAAGGACUACCCUGAACGCGCGAAUAACAUGCAGGGACCGAAAGGGAAAUUUUCCCUUCUCCUCCAAAAUGACGUCGUUCGAAUAGGGACCGAACGGAAAUCUCAGAAAAUUAUGGGGUAAAAUUUAAAAAUGUAAAACUUGAUUAAAAAUAUUAACAAAGCGGAAGGACUAGGGUAGUAAUUAUACCCUAGUCACAAAACACGCGGAUCCUCCUGGUAAUGGGUCGGGUCACGCACGGGUCAGGGCCAAAACAGCGUCGUUUUGGCACUUGACCCCUAAGGGCAAAACGGCGUCGUUUUCUUCAGGGUAUUUAAACCCAAUUUUCUUUAAAAAAAUCAUUUCUAGGGUUUCUUUAAAAAAAACUGCAGAAUAAAGAAAGAAAGAAACCAUUCUUCUCUCAACUCCCCCCCGUCGCCGGCCAAAUGGGCCACCGUCGACCCCGCCGUGAACGGUGGUCAGAAGCCCAAACGUCGGGUUUUUAAACCCUGCUUUAAGGACCAACUGAAGAACAAGUCUUCCUGGCCUCGGGGUCGCGAGAGAAAAAUCAAAUCGCCGCCUUCCCCGCCCAAUUUCGGUGACCCGAAGUAGGACUCCGGCGACGACGCUUGCGAGACGAUUCAGGUAAGGUUCUUUCUCCUUUUUUUAUUUCGUUUUUGUUGAGAUAAAUUCGUAUAUAAAAAAAACAAACAAAUAUAAAAACGAACAGAAUAAAAGAAUAAAAAGUCUGAAUCAACCUUUAAAUGUUUUCUCUGCCUUUUUUCAUUAACUAUUGUGUUGUGAAAAUGUUACAAAAGAAAAGGAAAAGACCCGAUUACAGUGAUGAUGCCUCCCCCCCUUUUACAAAGUUGAUAGUUUCAGCCUUUAUAGCCGAUUACAUCCAUUUUUUUUCCUACUGUUAUUGUACUUGUUGUUGCACGUGCUCUCCUUUGCAGGUGCCAGAGGAGUUGGUGGUGGUGGUUGCGGCGGUAUCAGGGGGCAGGUAAUGAUGUUGGUGGCUGCGGUGCUAGGCUAGGGUCGGUGGCAGUACUAGGGUUUCAGAAAAGCUGAAACCCUAGUUUGAUAAAUUAUUUUUGGGCUUGUUGGGUAUUUGGGCUUGGUUGGUAUUUGGGUUAGGCUGUUGGGUUUAUUUUUGGGUCUGCUAUUGGGCUAUUUGUGUUUGGGUUUCUGUUUAGGUGGGUUGUUGGGUCAAAAUGGGCCUGUGCACACAAGUCUCGAUAUUCUUCGUAAAUUUGAAAAGUAUAAGGUUUAAAUUUUUAAAAAUAAAAGUAUAAAAAUUAAAUUUUAAAUUUAUAAAGAAUAUAAAAACUUAUCACAUAUUUUAACUAAAUAAAUAUAAACAAAUAAAUAAACAGAGCAAAGUCUUUGAUUACUACAAAAUUAUUUUUAUCGUGUUUUUUUUAUUCUUCUUUUGUCUCUUUCUUCUUAUUUUUUAGUUCCAUUGGAUCUUCUUACUCUUUUUUUUUUCUUUCCUACCAUCAUUGAUCCUUAUACUUCACUUUCCCCUCUCGUUAAUUCUUAGUGUUAUAGACUCAUAGUUAUUUUCUAUUCUUAUGUACUCUAAUAUUUUUCUUGCCUAUCUUCUAGUGCGAAAACAAGUUGUGAUGAGUUUUAAGAAUAAUAAAACAAGCCAAGAGAAGAAGUUAAAUUGCUAGAAACGCAUGAAUGAUUUAUUGCAUUUUCAAACAAAUUCAUAUUUACUCUUGGUGUAUAAAUUUAUAUGCAGACAAUAACUUAAGCAAUGCAAUGUGUUACAAAAUUCAAUUAUCUAAUAAAAAAUUAUUUAUAUUACCACAAAAAGUUUGAUUAUAUUUAUUUGAAUUUGAGAGAUUUUAUUAGGUGUGAUGUGUUGUCAAUACAUAUAUUGCGACAAUGAAUAAAAUACAUACCAUUUUCAAAAUGCCCCAACUUUAUUACACGGAUACAUCUUGUUAUAUCACAAUACAAAUAUUAUAUUGAAAUUUGCAUUUCUACAUGCGAUAAAUAGGCUUGGCACAGAGAUUAUUCUUCCUUGGCAACGUGGAACUAAAUUUUUCAGUCAUGUCCAAUUCAUUUGGCGACAUUCCACCAGGCAGCUCCCAAUCAAAACAAUGCACCAAUUGAGCUAAAAUAAGUUUAACUGUGAUUAAUGCUAAUUUCCUCCCCGGGCAUACUCUACAACCUGAACCAAAUGGGAUAAGUUUAAAAUCAUGUCCAUGAAGUUCUAUAUUUCUAUUAACGAACCUUUCUGGAAAGAACUCUUCAACAUUAUUAGACCAGACAUUAGGAUCUCUCCCAAUUGCCCAAACGUUCACAAUGAUCCUUGACUCGCGAGGAAGUAGCAUAGGUGUAACAGGAUAAAGCCUUAAAGUUUCUUUCAAAACCAUGUCUAGGUACUCAAAUUUUGGUAAAUCAUUUUCCUCCACCAUUCUCUUCUUGAUAAUUCUUUCUAACACUUUUUGGAGUUUUAACAUUACCCUCGGAUGCUUAAUGAGCUCUAAUAAAGCCCAUUCCAAUGGAGCAGUUGAGGUGUCCAAGGAAGCGACAAUCAUAUCUAUUGUUAUGGCUUUGAUGCAAUUUCGGUCCAUUAUAUCACCAUUAGGAUUUAUUUGCUUAUUUAACUCUGUAAGCAUCGUACUGAUGAAAUCAUCCUAUUUUUGUUGUUGAUGGUCAUUAAUGAUCGUUUCGAGGGCUUUGUCAAGUUUUUCACCAAGAAUCCUUGUACGGGCUUUGAGUCCCUACAUGGUUGACAAUAAUUAACAUCAUUCACUCAGUAAUUGUUCAUAAUGUGUAUGGUUAAUUUGUUUUGAUAUAGUAUAUUAAAAUAAUCACAAACACAAUACCUGUAGGUCAAAAGCACCCAAAAAAGGCACAAAAUCUGCAAGAUUGAAAACUCCUACCAUGUAAAGAAGCUCUUCAAUAAUCUCUUUGAGGUUAAAUUCCUCAUACUUCUUCACAGGCCCUAAAAUCAUAUUCAGAAUCAUUUUUGCAUUAAGAUUCCCCACCUUCUUACUAAUGUUAACCACUUCCUUUGCUGCUGCUGCUUCCUUCAAAGAUUCAAUGAAAUGUGUUAGCACCUCCUUCCUCGAUGGUGCAAAUGAUUCAAUUUUCGAUGCAGUAAAAAGUUGUUGAUUACAAAACUUCGUCAGACUGCGCCAAUAUGGUCCAUAUUCUGUGAAUGCUAUGCCCAUUUUGCCAUUGUAAAUUGAUUGUAGCACUUGAAAUUUUGGCCUGCUUGCGAAAACAACGUCAUGUGUCUUAAGAAAUAUCUUGGCUACUUCAGGGGAUGAAACAACAACAGCUGGCACAGAGCCUAGCCUUAUAGACAUUAUAGCACCAUGUUUUUUGGCCAAGUGAUAAAGGGAUUCGUGUGGAAGCAUGCUUAACAUGUGGAGGUUCCCAAUGAUUGGCAAGGGUUGAGGACCAGGAAGGGCUUUCCCUUUUCCUUUUCCAUGUUUCGAGAUGUAAAAUAGAAUGUAAAAUGAGCAAAAAAUUGCAAGGAUUGUAAGAAAAUUUUCCGCUAAAGGAUCCAUUCUUGGUAAUCAAUUAACCUAAUGGAUAUAUAUCCCCCUUUCUAUUUAUAAAUUUAUAUACUAGCUCUAUUUGGUAAUUGGUUGAUAGUUGAUAGUUGAUUGUUGAUUGCAGUGGUCGGGUUGAUCAACUAGUUCUAUUAACUAAUUUGACCAACUGAUUCUAUUAAUUGUUUAUUUAAAAGUGUUUGGUAAAACUUAGUUGAUAGCUGAAAGUUGAUAUGUGUAAAAUGACAAAUAAGGACAUGACACAUUUUAUUGUUAAGUCUUUAUUGGGUAAAAUUAUUGAAAUAAAACACUAUUACCAAUGAAUUAAAACAUCUAUUAUGAAAGUUAAUUAGUGAAUAUUUUUGAAAAAUUAAAUAAGCAAAUUUCUUAAGUUCCUUAUUUGCAAAUAUUAACCAUGUGGAAAUUGAUAAAUCUUAAUAGUGUAUCAAUAUAAUUGUAAAUUACAUUUUUAGUGAUAAUUAUGUCAUGUUCUUAGUCUGUAAAUUAGUGAUAAUUAUGUCACACUCUAAAUAAAUUUGUCAAGUAGCAUAUUUCAAGUAAUAUAAAAUUGUAUAAGAAAUUAUUUAAGUAAGUUGAAAUUAAUUAAGAGCAUGUGGCAAAGGGAGUAAUUUGUUAAUAAACAUGAUCAAAUAUGUCAUUCCACAUAUCUCAUUCCCAAACAGCUAUGAAAAAAGCUACCCAUCCCUAUGUUUUUUAUUUUGAAGGUUUUAAUUCAACAAGCUCUUGCAAACCUUCAUUCACUAAAUACUACAAAUUAGAGAGUUUGACUACCAAAUCCUCUAUUUGUGCCCAAAUUAGCUAAAAAAAAUUUAAAACUCUGUUUACCAAACACCCCCAUCAACUAUAAGAAAUUAUUUUAUUCUUUUUUAUAUGUUUUAAUAUAAAUGGAUAUAGAAGGACACAACUCUCUCGCCACCAUAUUUGAUUUUUUAUCAUAUUUGAGCCCAUUUAUAAUUUAUAAAAUUUUAAAUUAGUAGUAGUAAAAUUACACUUUGCGAUAAAAAAAUUAAUUUAAUCUUUUAAAAAUUAUAAAGAUAUACAUUAUUAAAAUGAUAAAAUUUCAUUUUUUCUAUUAUAAAAUAAUACAAUUUAAUUCCGCCACUAAAAAAUUUCUUCAUUUGCCCUGCUUAAGGCAUACCCCUAACCAAAUAAAAUAAUUUAGAGUAUUUAUUUUUUGGUUAUACUUUCCUCUCAACACACCCAAUGGUUUUCUAACAUAUCAAUGUUUUAGGCGAUAUUGGUAAAGAAAUUGAAAAAAGUUCUAAUAAAGAUAAUAGAAAACCCCCAAAAGUAGAAUCUCUUUAUAUGACCCAUAAUCAAUGACCCAUGUAUAUAUUUAUUAAAAUUAUUCAGGUCAUGCAAGAAGUGUUGCAUCAGUAAGAAAGAAAUGAAGUAUGGGAACUGGUUCCUUGACCAUCUGGUUGCAACAUUAUUAACACCAAAUGGAUUUUCAAAUAUAAGACAAAUGAUUAGGGAAACAUCACAAGGAAUAAAUCCAAAUUUGUUUCUUAGGGAUACACUCAAGUAGAGGGCAUUGGUUUUGAAGAAGCAUUUACCCCAGUAGCAAGGUGUAAUACCCAUUUUUGCCCAACCCCUAAAUUAAUUAUAAAAACAAAAUUAAAUGUCUAAACAAAUAGUCUAUACGGCCCAAUUACGAAAUAAUUAAAUAUCCCAAAAUGUCCAUUUACAGAAAUUUAAACCCAGAUCAUUAAACUCAAAAUUCAAGCCCAAGUCCGCUACCCUAACCCGAAACCCAAUUCUGCCCAAUUAGCCCAUUUGGAAAGACUAUUCCAGAAAUCACUAGGGUUUCUAGAACCCUUCAGCCGCCGCUGCCACGCACGGGCUCCCUUUCGAGCCACUCCUCACGCGCGUGAUGCCUUCGCCCGCCACGCAUGCCUCCGUACGGCCACCUCUGUACACCAGCUGGCCUUUGUACCUGCAAAAAAGAUGAAAACAACAAAUAGGAAAAUUGGGGGGAUUGAAAAUUUUUUUGCUAUUUUUUCUCCAUUUUCUGUAAUCGGGUAUAAGAAGGCUAUUAGGACACUGUAAAAGGGGUUACGCAUUCAAUGCACAAAUUUUUUCGAUAUAUAGAAAUCAAAAAGUUCCAAAAGGUGAUUUCCCAGUUUUUUUUCUUGUUACGAUUUCGAUUUCUUUUCUUUUCUUUUCUCUUCUGCGUUCAAUCUUUAGUUUUUUUUAAGCAAGAAAACGAUAAAGAGAGGAGGAAAGCGUACCUGGCAGAGGGAUUUCGGCCUCUACCGUUGUCAUCGGAGAGUAGGUCAGAAUCAGAGAUUCUCCGCAGGCCCCCUGGUACGCAAAACGGCACAAACGGAUGGGGGGGCUAUUGAUUUUGAUGCGGCGCAGAACCCUUCUUUAGUUUAGGUUUUUCUUAUUUUAAAUGAUAGGUUUUAGGUUUUUAGAUUUUAAGUAUCUGAUUUCAAAACGCUGCUGUUCAGAGCCAAUACAAUGGCACUGAAACGGCACUGUUUCAUAGACCUGAUCCAAGUGGUGACCCGGUCCGAGAAGGAUCCGCGUUUCAUGGAAUCCUUUGGCCUAUUUAUGCCCCGAGCACCUUUUAGUUUGAAUUAGUCUUAAUUCGGUUACUUUAGUUCUUUUAAUUUAUACUGCGUAUUUAAUUUUGUUUGCAUGUUGAUCCAAAGUAAAGCGACACCGUUUU